This 142050-nucleotide long non-coding RNA is filed under the name Zea mays. Its description in RNAcentral is "long non-coding RNA (ZMAY_LNC000458)". The record is from RNAcentral. Lineage: Eukaryota; Viridiplantae; Streptophyta; Magnoliopsida; Poales; Poaceae.
GUGUUAAAAAGGCGAAGGCGAAGGCGUAGGUGGUAACUUACUUGCGGCAGAUCAUCUUGUCCUGGUUGUACUUGCGAGCGAGCGCCUGCAGCGAGGGCUCAAUGAUGCCACCGCGGAGCCUGAGCACGAGGUGGAGCGUAGACUCCUUUUGGAUGUUAUAGUCCGCAAGGGUGCGGCCAUCCUCCAGCUGCUUCCCGGCAAAGAUCAGCCGCUGCUGGUCCGGCGGGAUCCCUAUGGAAUGGAACAAACACAGCCUCUUAGCGCCUGCGCUACAUGCUAGUAAUACUAUUGCUACCAAAAGAUGGGCUGGCGCGCUCGCGUACCUUCCUUGUCCUGGAUCUUGGCCUUGACAUUGUCGAUGGUGUCGCUGCUCUCGACCUCGAGGGUGAUGGUCUUCCCUGUCAGCGUCUUCACAAAGAUCUGCAUCUUGUCGGACCUGGCCGUUCUCCGGGCUGCUGUGAUUGCUGCGACGGCGGCUUCUCCUCUCCGAGGAAUAGGACGGCGGCGGCGGCGCGUGCGGUGUUUUUAUACGUGGUUGCGGAAGCGGUUUUAGGGUUUGGUGGAGUGAUAUGGGCCGUUGAAAUCGGGUAGUUCGUUUUGCUUUGUGCCCUUCGCCCAUUGGAUAUGGUGGACAGCCAUUGAUUUGUUUUUAAAUUUCUAUUGAUCCUCUCUCUCUCUCAAAUGAAAUUUUUUAUUUUCACUCUCUCGCGGUAAUUAAUGGUGUGUUUGGUUGCGGGACAGGGAUGUUCACUGGCGUCCUUUUUUGUCUCUCCAAGUUUGAUGGAUAACUAGAUAGUUUUGUCCCAACCAUUGACCCUAAAUCAAGCAAUCUUAUUUUAGGGGUCGUCCCGUUCCAUCCCGUCCUGUCAUUGUAUAAAAUUACUGAUAAUAAGACCAUGAUUUCCUACAAUUUUUUUUAUUAUAACUAGUCGGUUGUCCGUGUGUUGCGACAGCUCACAACAAUACCCAUGUAAAUUAUCCACCAAAAAGAUCGCAAGAUUUUUUAUUGAUUGUCUCUGCUCUCCAUAUAAUUUUUUUAUUUGACUAACUGACGUUGUUGUUUACUCCAUCCAAUAUGUUUUAGUACAACACGGCCAAUGAAGCGAGCAAUUAGAAAAUAGUUCACAAUGACUUACUGAACGAAUAGAGAUUAUAGAAUGAUAUAAUUCGACCAUACAGAGACCAAAUAAAAGGAAGUUCGUGAGCUCAAGUUUCUAAAAUAAGUCACGUGAACUCAAACUUAUAAAAAACAUAGAUCAAAAUAUGGAGUGGUUGCUAAAGUCAGUCAUCAAUAAAAACUGGAUGUGCUCCAUACAAAUUAUGGUACUUCAUAUCAAUUACUAAUGUUUGAAAUCAACAAAUAACAUUUCCUUUUACUGUUAGCAUGACAAAUCAUAGUUGCUCCAUCCAAUUCAGCAACCUCAAACACCAUGGAGUCCAUUGUGCCAAUGUGGUGUCAGAAACGACUUAAUGCAUAAAUAGCCAAGAACACAAGGGACGAGCACCAUGUGGUAGUGCCCGUAUGGAUCUCUAAAUUCUAACACAUAUUUUGCAGGAUCCAUGAGCCAUCAUCAGAAGAACACAAACCACGUGUAGACAAUGAAUAAAAUAUUAACACACAUAAAUUAUGUUCAGUCCUUAGCACAACAAAAAAACUAACACCCAAAACAACAGAGGAGCGACACAAUCAUUUUUACAAUCAUUUUUGCAAUGACAGAAGGAUGGAUGACAGGUAAAUAGAAGUGGUAGAAGCAUAUCGAGUCGACACCGUGGUAAGAAGAAGGCCAUGUAGACAAGCGAUAUCGAGCCAUCGAACAGGUACCAUAGGCAGCAAAUCAGGGACCUCUAUCCCUCGCCUCUGUAUAGCAUAAAGGGAAGGGAAGAGGCGGGCAUACAUGUUCGUUGCCGGAGAAGGACACGACGAAGUCUUGGGCAUCUGGAGGCGACAUAGGUAGUAUACCGCUAGAUACAUAUAGGGAGAGAGCACACAAGCGAAGAAAGAAGUUGAAAGGGAAAUUGGGUUAACCAUUUCCUAUAAUUAAUUUUGGUGGUUGAUAGUCAACACAAACACAUGGACUAACUAGUUAGUCUAAAAUUUAUAUAUUACAGGUGCAUAAGGUUCAACACAAACCAAUAAAAGAAUCAAGUUAGUGACACAAUUUUAAAGGAGCAAAAGGACUUGAGUGUGCUAAAGAAUGGCGCAUCGGACUGUCCGGUGCACCAAGACCGUACAGGUGUCAACCAACUACUCUCGGGAAAACGGAGGCGCGCUCCGCUAUAAUUCACCGAACUGUCCGAUGUGCCACCGGACUGUCCGUUGAGCCAACGAGCAACGGCUAUCUGCGCGUAACGGUCGACUCUGACAGACGAACAGUGUCACGGGAGAAGUUAGAGCAGGAAGUCAGAGUGGCAUCGGACUAUCCGGUGUGACACCGGACUGUCUGGUGCCGCAAGAGGACAAAGCUCCAACGGUCGACUCAGCUCCGAACCCUAACGGUUGGGUGACGUGGCGGCGCACCGGACACGAAACAGUGCCUGUCCGGUGGUGCACCGGACUGUCUGGUGCGCCCAUUGCCAGCAACCUCCCCAACGGCUACCAAAGUGGUUGGGGCUAUAAAUACCCCCAACCACCACAACCUUUAGCAUCCAAGUUUUUCAGAGAUAACAUUCAAUACAAGAGCUAGUGCAUUCACUCCAAGGCACAUUUCCAAAGAUCAAACCCUCUCCAAGCCUAGAAUUCAACUCAAACAUUUAGUGACUUGUGAGAGAGUGUGUUCAUGUUCUUUUGCGCUCUUGUUUCUUAGAUUGCCUUUCUUCUUUCUCAUUCUUGUUCUCAAGUGACUUGUAAUCAAAGCAAGAGACCUAAGUGUGUGGUGGUCCUUGCGGGGUCUUAGUGACCCGAUUGAUUAAGGAGAAGGCUCACUCGGUCUAAGUGACCGUUUGAGAGAGAGAAAGGGUUGAAAUAGACCCGGUCUUUGUGACCUGCUCAACGGGGACUAGGUUCUUUGUAACCGAACCUCGGUAAAACAAAUCACCAUGUUCACUCGCCUUGAUUCUUGUUGAUUUGUUUUCCCCUCUCAUUCCAACUUGAAUUUAAUUCUAACGCUAACCCCGACCUUAGUGCGUGCUUAAGUUUAUAAAUUUCAGGUUUCGCCUAUUCACCCCCUCCCUCUAGGCUGUGAAUCAUCUAGGCCCCUUAGUGAUGUUGAAAGGGAAAUAGGGUUUAACCUUUUCCUAUAAAUGAUUUUGGUGGUUGAAUGCCCAACACAAAUAAUUGGACUAACUAGUUUGCUCUAGAUUAUAUAUUCUACAGGUGCCAAAGGUUCAACACAAACCAAUAAAAAGAUCAAACUUAGGGUUCAAAAGAAAGGAGCAAAAGAAGUCGAAGAGAACCCUGGUCUGGCACACCGGACUGGCCGGUGUGCCACCGGACAGUGUCCAGUGCUCCACCAGACAGUGUCCGGUGCACCAGGAGUCAUACACUCUGAACUCCUCGCCUUCGGGUUUCUUAGAGCACACUCCGCUAUAAUUCACCGGACCGUCCGGUGUGCCACCGGACUAUCCGAUGUGCCAGUGGAGUAACGGCUACCCAACGCAACGAUCGUCUGCAAAAGCGUGAACAGUGCGCUCAGAAGUCAGAGCAGGCGUCAGAGGCGCACUAGACAGUGAACAACACCUGUCCGAUGCCGCACCAGACUGGCCGGUGCGACAUGAAGUCAGCGCUCCAACGGUCAGAAUCUUCAGAACCCUAACGGUUGGGUGACGUGGCUGGCGCACCGGACUGUCCGGUGCGCCCAUCGACAGACAGCCUCCCCAACGGCUAUGUGGUGGUUGAGGGAUAUAAAUACGCCCAACCACCACCACUCCAAGAAUCCAAGUUUUUCAUACAUCUCAUUCAAUACAAGACCUAGUGCAAUCAAUACAAGACACAAUUCAAAAGAAUCAAAGCCUCUCCAAGUCCCAAAUUAACUCCAAACUCCUAGUGACUAGAGAGAGAGUUUUUGCUCGUGUUCUUUGAGCUCUUAUUCUUGGAUCGCUUUCUUCUUCCUCAUUCUUGUUCUAUUCUUGUUCUCUAAGUGACUUGUAAUCAAGGCAAGAGACAUUAAGUGUGUAGUGGUCCUUGCGGGGUCUAAGUGACCCGUUUGAUUAAGGAGAAAGCUCACUCGGUCUAAGUGACCGUUUGAGAGAGGGAAAGGGUUGAAAGAGACCCGGUCUUUGUGACCACCUCAACGGGGACUAGGUUCUUUAGAACCGAACCUCGGUAAAACAAAUCACCGUGUCAUCCGCUUUAUUUCUUGGUUGAUUUGUUUUUCCCCUCUCUCGGACUCGGUUUUUAUUCUAACGCUAACCCCGGCUUGUAGUGUGUUUAAAAGUUGUAAAUUUCAGUUUCCGCCUAUCCACCCCCUCUAGGCGACUUUCAGAUGUUUUGGUAAUUAAUAACAACUGUUUGUGGACUUGAAAGCUCUCUUGUGGGUUUUGGUGUUUGGAUGACAACCCAAUUAAAUGACUAACAAGUGUGCUAAGUGUUGAACAGGUGCUUAAUGCAAAGCUAACAUGGUUUAACACAAAUGAACAAGUGUGAUGGUCCAAAGACUAAUUUAUCUAUAGAUAUUGAACACUGCUUAAGUGAGACUCAGUGUGCGUAACCCAGAGACAACUGAUCAAGCCAAGGUUGGAGGCAAGAAGAGCUUCGAGGUACCGAGUGCAUGGGAGAAGGUCAAGGAGACUAGGAACCCAAAGCCAGGGGUGAAUAAGAAGACUUGCAAAGUCAAGGUUGAUCGAGUUAAGAGUUAUGGUGCAUCAAGGAUCACUACAUAAGGACAUGACUUACAACCAAUGAGGUAACAUCUACAGUUAUGUGGUGUAAGUCAUAAGGCUCAAGAUCAAGCUCGAGAAAUGAACAAGGGAGUUGGAGCUCAGAUAUGUCAAUCUAGAUCAAGUCAAGUUGACUUAAUGGUUUAGAGUCCAACAUCGACCUCAACACAUGCCAAAUUGGGUAAAACGAUGAAAAAGGUUAAGUAUGUAAGGUUUGAGUGUUCAACCAUGUUGCAUACACCUUUUACUACAAAUUUGGUGCUUUGGUUUGCUCUCUAACUCUUUCUGUAGAGAAAGUACCAUUCUGAGCUCUGCUGGAGGAGAAACAUAAAAGCUAGGAGAAGAACAAGAAAGAUGUAAGUUUCUAGGACUAAAUCAAUUGGAUUAUACUCUAAAUGUGUUUGUUUAAGUCUCAGGAAAAUCCUCCCAAAAGUUGAAGUCAAACGGAGAAAGAACGGAGGAAAAAUCAGUUAGUGUGUUGUUGGCUGGUGCACAGGACAGUGAAUAGUAGUUGUCCGGUGCACAGGACAGUGAAUAGUAACUCUGUCCGGUGCACAGGUCAGUGAAUAGUGACAUGUUUGGUGCACAUGACAAUGAAUAGCAGCUAUGUCCGGUGCACAGGAUAGUGAAUAGUGACCUGUCCGGUGCACAGGAUAGUGAAUAGUGGCCUGUUCGGUGCACAUGAUAGUGAAUAGUAACCUGUCCGGUGCACCAACGUCUAGCUGUUCCAGAGAAGGAAACUGUCAAUCAGAUCUGUUACUGUUCACUGUCCGGUGCGCCACCGGACAGUCCGGUGCACCCGCAACCAGGGAAGGCUGGGAGCUUCCAAAUGAAGCUCCAAUGGCUCCUAGGCCCUUUGGGUCUAUAAAAGGGACACCUAGGCACCUCAAACAAGUACACAAGUGCAGCCAACAAGUCCAUACAUCAUUUGGAUCAAUUCUUUCUCUUCCUCUCUUGUGUAUCUCUCUAGUUUGUGUAGAGGCGAAGUUAUAAGCCUUUAGAGAGAGGGGAAGUGCUGCUGAGAGCUAGAGCAAUAUCUUGAGCGCAUUGUUACUCUGCCGGAGUGCUAUCGAGAAGAUUAUAAGCAGCCACAGCAUCGUUGUAACUGAUAUCAACAUAGUGGAAGGCUCUAUCUGUCGCACUGACAGAUCUGAGCAAACGGAGGAAGGAGUUGAAAUAGACUCCAAGCCAAGGUGUGGCUAACUCCAACGAGGACUAGACAAGCAUUUCAGGCUUGGCUGAACCUCGGGAUAAAUCCCUAUGUCUGUGUGCUCUGCUCUGUGUUGUGUGCUAUUUCUCUGUCUUAUUUGUUGUUUAUACUUACACUUGAAUAUUUAUAUGUGGUUCAAGCUAUCUUUGAAGUGCAGGGUAUUUUAAGACAAGAAUUUCUAUUCCGCUGCAACCUAUUCGAAGGGUCUUUCAUUCCACUACGAUCCAGCCUUCGAGCAGAGUAAGAAUUUCCAGUUUUAAAGUGAUAAUUAUUAUUCGCCUAUUCACCCCCCCUCUAGGCGACAUCCAGAUCCUAUUCCCGGGCAUAGGGAACUUUCAGGACUAACAGUUCUUAGAGAAAUAAGAAUGCAUGUUGGACCACAUAGAACAGAAAAUCAUGGAGACAUAUAAGCAUUGGUUGUGGAUCAAGUGAAGGCAAAGGUAUAACAUAAGUUUUUGUUUUUGUCGGUCUCUAGGAGUUUAGAGAAGAUAUUUGACCCGAUUAGUAGGCUAGAUGGCCGUACUAUUAAGAGGGGUCAAUGACUUUGGCCUGUGUAAAACUUAGUGCCUCAUAGAGCAUCUAGUAGUUGCAUUUGCAUGAGGUCUAACAGCGCUUCCAGUUUCGAGAGUUAAAAAUCUUUUCGAAAGAGUGAUUGAAAAGUUGCUAAGUCAUGGGUUCUGCGGACUGUCCGGGCCAAGUGGACGGACCGUCCGCGAUCUAUCCAGAGGGGUCCGAAAUAUAUCCACUUUGGACUGGUCCUGUAUGUUUGUACUGUGGACCGUCCGGGCCUUGGGGCCGGACCGUCUGCAGUCCUGACCAGAGAGGGUCGCUCUGUGCACAGUCCCUAUAUUAUUGUGCGGACUGUCCAGCCAGGGUUGGCGGACCGUCCCCAAGUGCCAAAUUGGUUUGGGCAGGGACUGUGUGUUUUUGGGUGUUUGUAUUACGGACUGCCCAGGGCCUGAGCCCCGACAGUACUGACUCCCAGGUUGCAGACCGUCUGGCCUUGUUGGCGAACAGUCCGCGUGUGUUAUCUCAAUAUUGUCAGGGCUCUGGUGCUCCAUGCUGCCAGGUGUCGGACGGUCCGGCCAAGGUUGGUGGACUGUCCGAACCUCGCUUUUCUGAUAGCUCUGACAAAUUUCAAACGGGAAAACUAGUCGUUACUUGUACGGCGGACCGUCCAGCCUAAGGGCGCGGACCGUCCGCGUGUGCGCAGAAACUGUGCUAGUUGCACAUAACGGUUAGAAUUGUGAGGUGGGCUAUAAAUAGAAGGGGAGCUCGUGUGUGAGGGCUCUCUCGGCCAUUCCUUGCACAUAUUGAGCUCAUUUGUGAUCCUCCCACUCAUUCUCUCACACUCCUUGCUUGAGAUUGCAUUCUAGUGAGAGAUUGAGAGUUCCUAGUGCAUUUGCAUCCAUUGGUGAUUCUUGAGGCACUAGGUGGUACACCGAGCAAGCGUCAUCGGCUUGUUACUCUUGGAGGUUGCCGCCUCCUAGACGGCUCGGGUGUUGUCUCCGUCGAGCUCUCCAAGAAGAUUGUGGAGAAGUCGCGGUGUCUAUUGUGAGGGGUUCGCUCCUACCUCGUCGGAGCGGCAAAGGCGACGCUAGUGGAAACGAGGUAUUGAGUGAUUUCUUGUCCACUUGGCUCAAAGAUCAAGCCGCGUUUUGAUAGAGGAGCAAGUGAGAGCUUGAAGUCCACCUCAACGUGGAUUAGGGGUGAUCGGCAAAUCACCGAUACCACGGGAUAAAUCUGGUGUCUUUCUCUUCUCGCAUUACUUAUUAUCGUGCAAGUAAUUAGUAUUUCGCAUAUUGUCUUUCUCGUAUACAAUUACCAUAGUUGUUUCUAAUAGAUUGCUUACUUGUUGUCACUAGAGAAUUUAUACCUCUUGUCAUAUUGAUUAAAUUUCUCUACUGUUUUUUAUUUUAGUCAAAACCGUAUAUUCACCCCCCCUCUAGCCGGUGUCCUAGAUCCUACAAGUGGUAUCAGAGCCGAGGACUCCAUUGUUUGUGGAUCUAAUCAUCCCAGAGUUUGACAAAAUGGCUAGUAACAACAAUGUGCACAUUGGGAAGCCACCGUAUUUUGAUGGGAAUAACUAUGACUAUUGGAAAAUAAGAAUGUCAAUGCAUCUUAGAGCGAUGGGUGGAAAAAUUUGGCCAAUUGUCAAGGAUGGGUUUGUUGUGUUGAAAGAAGAUGAACUAUCAGCUAGUGACAAUGAAAACAUUCUUACAAAUGAUCAAGCCAGGAAUGUAUUCUAUGAUGCUCUUGACAUAAAUGAGUUCAACUGUAUCAAGAAUCUCACAACUGCUCAUGAGAUUUGGAUUAAGCUAAUGGAAAUUCAUGAAGGAACUACAAUUGUGAAGAGUGCAAAGCUAUAUGUGUGCAAAGGAUAAUUUGAGCAAUUCAUUAUGAAAGAAGAUGAAAGUGUAUCCGAUAUGUUCAAUCGGUUAAAUGAGAUAGUGAAUGGGCUCAAGGGACUUGGUUUUGAUGUACCAGAUGUGGAUUUCACUCAUAGGUUCCUUAGAUCUCUUCCGGAGAAGUAUGAGACUAAUGUGACCAUGUUAGUAAGAAGUGAUCUAUCUACAACUUCUCCAACUGAAGUAUUGGGGGAAAUUCUUACUCAAUAUAUAUUCAAGAAAUCUCAAGCCGACGCUAUAAGUUUGGCAAAGAAAGUGAAGAAUAAAUCAAUCGCUCUCAAAGCUAAAGCUUCUAAGGCAAUUGAAAAAGAAGAUAGUGAUGAUGAAGAAAAUGAAAGUGAGAGUGAUGGAGAUAUGGCUCUAUUUGUAAAGAAAUUCAACAAAUUCAUGAAGACAAAGAGGGGUCAACCUAGAAGAGGCCAAACAUCAAGAAGAAAUGCUUUCAAUGAUAUAUAGUGUUUUGAGUGUGGGGAACCCGGUCACAUCACCAUGAAUUGCCCUAACAAGAAGAAGAAGGGCAAAGAUGGAGAUGAUAAGAAGAAGAAGAAAUUCUACAACAAGAAGAAAGAUGGCAAAGCCUACCUAGUUGAAUGGGAUUCAGAUGAUAGCUCAGAUGAUGAUGAUGAUGAUGAUGAUGACACCUCAUCCAAGCUUAAUGCCGAAAUUGCCAUCAAGGAAGCCCCUUCACUUUUCUCAUCCCCUCAUUGUCUCAUGGCAAAGGGAGAUGCUAAGGUAAAAAUCAUCACCGAUUUAAAUGAUAUAGAUGAUGGUGUUGAUGAUGUUGAUGAUGAUGGCUAUUCAUAUGAUGAUCUUGUUAGAAUGUUAGGUGAGGUCGAUGACUACAUGCACAAAGAAAAAGAGAAGUUUAAGACCUUGAAGGAAUUGUAUAAAAACCGCCAAGUGUCUUUUGAGGAGCUCAAGACCUCUCACAACGAUCUAAAAGAGAAUUGUGAGAAGCUUAUGGAAGCUCAAAACUCAUCUAUUCUGCAUGAAGUUGUGGUGGUCACCGAGGAUGUUGGGGUCACUUGUGACUUACUUGAUAGUCCUACAAGUGAACCACAACCUACUAACUCUUUUUUUGAUAAAUGCAAAAUUUCUCUUAUGAAUGAUAACAUUGCUCAUGAUGAAUCACAAAUCAUUGUUGAGAAUAAAGUAUUAGUAGAUAGAGUGAAUGCUCUAACCCAUGAUCUACAAAGGCAUAUGGUGAAAAGGCUAAAUUGGAUUUCAUAUUGGGAAGUCAACGGUGCUCAUUUAAUCGUGAGGGUCUUGGAUAUUGUUGGGGAGGAAAUCUCCCCGGCCGGGUGGCGGAUUGCACCCGCCCUAAAUCCUAAAGAGAGGAGGGGCCUAAGCGUUUUACUUGCUACGAGACUGGUGGAUCAACACACGAGAGCACGCGAGGGUUUAGAGUGGUUCGGGCCGCCGGAGCGUAAUACCCUACUCCACUGUGUGAUGUAUUGCUUGGGAGCUUGUAUGAACUUGUGAGUGUCUGCCUAAAGCUAGGUCUGAGAGCCUCCUCCCUUGUAACGUCGUAUGCCUCCCCUUUUAUAGCUGAAGGGGGGCAUGCACAAAAGGACUGGGCCCCGACAUGUGGGCUUAGGGACAUAAAGAAUAUAGUGCUUGGAUCCUCUAAUGUCUGUUGCCGAGGCAAUCUUCUUAUGCCUGAGAGCACCUAGAGGGGGGGUGAAUAGGUGAUCCUGUGAAACUUAAACUUAUAGCCACAAAAACUUGUUAAGUGUUAGCACAAUAAUCGCCAAGUGGCUAGAGAGAAGGUCUUGCACAAUACGAUAAUCAUAAAGAAUUCAACACAGAGAAGACACAGUGAUUUAUCCCGUGGUUCGGCCAAGUACAAAACUUGCCUACUCCACGUUGUGGCGUCCCAACGGACGAGAGUUGCACUCAACUCCUCUCAAGUGAUCCAAUGAUCAACUUGAAUACCACAGUGUUAUGCUUUUCUUUUCUUAUCCCGUUCGCGAGGAAUCUCCACAACUUGGAGCCUCUCGCCCUUACACUUUUGAUGUUCACAAAGAAUCACGGAGUAAGGAAGGGAAGCAACACACACAAAUCCACAGCAAAAUGCGCACACACACGGCCAAGAAUCGAGCUCAAAAGACUAUCUCAAAGUUCUCACUAGAACGGAGCUCGAAUCACUGAGAAUGACAAACGAAUGCGCAAAGACUGAGUGUGGAUGAUCAAGAAUGCUCUAAGGUUGCUUGGUAUACUCCUCCAUGCGCCUAGGGUCCCUUUUAUAGCCCCAAGGCAGCUAGGAGCCGUUGAGAGCAAUUCUGGAAGGCUGAUCUUGCCUUCUGUCAUCGGGCGCACCGGACAGUCCGGUGCACACCGGACACUGUCCGGUGCCCGAUUUUCUUCCUAAAAUGGCACAGCCGACCGUUGCUGAUCUGGGAGCCGUUGGCGCACCGGACAUGUCCGGUGCCCCCUUCUAGCCGUUGGCUUGGCCACGUGUCGCGCGCAGAUUCCGCGGUCGACCGUUGGCCCGGCCGACCGUUGGCUCACCGGACAGUCCGGUGCACACCGGACAGUCCGGUGAAUUUUAGCCGUACGUCGUCGGCGAAUUCCCGAGAGCGGCCACUUCGCUCGAGCCAGCCUGGCGCACCGGACACUGUCCGGUGCACCACCGGACAGUCCGGUGCCCCAGACCGAAACAGCCUUUUGGCUGUACACAGCCAACUCUUCUCUUUUCUUCUUUCUGUUUCUGAUACUUAGACAAGUAUAUUAGUACACAAAACUAAUGUACUAAGACUUAGAAACAUACCUUUGCUCUUGAUUUGCACUUUGUCCAUUCAUGGGCAUAGAUUUACAUUUAAGCACUUGUGUUGGCACUCAAUCACCAAAAUACUUAGAAAUGGCCCAAGGGCACAUUUCCCUUUCAAUCUCCCCCUUUUUGGUGAUUUAUGCCAACACAACAUAAAGCAACUAGAACAAGUGCAAUAUCACUUCAAAUAAAAACUCAAAUUUAUUUUGAUUCAAUUUGGCAUAUAUGGAUCAUCCUUUGCCACCACUUGGUUUGUUUUUGCAAAUCAAACUCAAAAUCCUAUCUCUAAGUCAAAUCCACUUGUAGAGACAUAAAGAGAGGUUUUCCAAAGAAAAUUGAUUCAAGAUUCCAAAAACUCCCCCUUUUUCCCAUAAUCAACACUUCUCCCUACAAGAGGCCAACUUUUGACAAAAGAGACAAUGCAAGAGUUUUGACAAACCAAAAGCUCUAUCCUACUAUUUUCAAAGUUUCUCAAGUGGUAGCUGAUCCAUUUAUUGCUUUGGCCUUUAUUUUCUCCCCCUUUGGCAUCAAGCACCAAAACGGGAUCAAUCUUGGCCCUUUAACCCCAUUGCCUCACCAAAAUCUUCAAUUAAGAGCAAAUAGGCAAUCUCUACUACUUAUUAAGUAAGCAAUAGUAGUCUGCCUCUGACGCGUUCUGCCGUUCUGCCGUUCUGCCGUCGUUAGUCCCGCGCAACAAAAUAAACAGUACAUGCACAAGUUUAUACACCAUGUUCUGUUCCAUCUCUCUCAAUAAGCAACAUAGAAUCCACAGCUGCCCUUAUAAGCCAUGUUUCUUCACUCUCAAUGCCCGAUGUGGCACUAAUAAAAUAAAUGGCACGCGCCUGUGGCAUUUUUUCGUGCGGCCCAAUGCAUUUUGUGGAUCUGAGGCCCAUUCAUUUGCAGCCGGCGUCCAGCCCACAGAGGGAGCGUGCGCGUGACCUAGCCUCCUCCAUUCCUCGCGAUGCCCGAGUCCGAGUGGGAGGUACGACGGUGGAGGAGCUCCGUUAUCGGCGUCGAAGCGCGGUCCCAUGCCGAGUCCAACCCGCGCCGCUGCGACCUCUCUCUCGACCGCGAGUACGCCGCGCGCCAAGCGAGAGCCAGCUGCUCUACGUCAAGAUCCGGUAAACCUUACCUCCCAGCAAUGGCGAGAACUUCCAAUUUCAUUCCUUGCACUUCCCGCCUCUCCCUCGAACUCUCGGUCCCACCGCUGUUCCCCCGACCCAACGAUGAAUCCGCCAUCCACGGUAGCAAGCGGCGGGGUCCCCCACCCCUCGCUCGUCCGGUGCUGUGGCGAAGAGGGUCAAUCCCUACCCUCGGCUGCCUUUGUGCGUUCCUCGCCACUGCCCAUGGUACGCUGAUAGCUGAGGUCUGAUGACGAAGGUGUUGUCCGUAUUUACGCAGUCACAGCUCCCACCCCCGCCCUCGCAUAUGUCUCCCUCCCAUGGAGCUCGUCGUGCCCCUGCCCCGGCUCCAUCAUCGCGUGAAUCUAGCCCCCGCCCCCUUCUCCUGCAUCCUUGCAUCGACAGCGCCGAGAUUGCAGCAGUCCUGAUUGCAGAGAUGCACGCCCCCUUCCAACCACCAUGCCUCCUUCUAUCAACGGAGCGCCCCCGCCCCAAAACAUCGCCGCCACGGAACUGUAGCCCCCGUGGCACGUGGCUGCAGGCCCCCUCCCCCAACCCCCUUCCACCACUUGAGUCUACAGCCCGUGAGAAAAAGCGACGACGUCGGGUGGUCUCCCGGUUGGUGGUCCUGCUCGGAUCCUCACCUUGAUGGGCCACCCUUCCCUCGUUGCCCCACCACGUCGGCUCGAGUUCCUUUUGACGGGCGCCGGUGCUGUGGCGGCGUUGGUGGACGCCGGGCAGCCUCCCGAUUGGUUGUCCUUCUCGGAUCCUCACUUUCCGCUGUGUCGGAUUGAGUUUGUUUCGAUGGGCACCUGUGCUGUGACGGCGUUGGCUAUGGUCGGAGAUGGGUCGCCGGCGCAAGGCGCAAGAUCUGAGCCGCCAUCCAUUUUUUUUAAAAAAAACUGUGAAGCCUUGCGUUCGUCCUGGUGUUCUUCAUUUGUUUUUUUUUGCCAUCGUUGUCAUACGUAAUAUUCUUGUCCACAUCGUUCUGGAGUCCAGCCACUGGUCCACAUCGAAGUAAAGUUACAUACAUAUGAUCAGGUGAGUAAGUAGUAUUCUUUUUUUUUGCGGACACAUCGAAAUACCGAAUAAUACUGAAUGUCCAAAGAAUAAUCUCUGAAUGUGAUCUCAAAAGUCUAACAAUACAAACCUGAUGAACACAUAAAGUGGUUUCCCAGGAUAUAGACCCAAGAAGUUAUAUGCUAGGCUGCUAACGUCGGAGAGAGUGAGACCCAUGACCCUAAAACAUACAUUGUAUACUUUUCAGAUUUCAUUUGAGUCAAAGACAAAAAGAAAGGAAAAAUCAUUUUUUGGUAUUUGUCGGGCAAGGAAUAUGAAAACCAUUUAUUUUGUUUAUAUGAGUUACUCCUUUCCCUUUCCUCAACUGUUCUAUAUCUUGGAAAUAAUCUCUGAGGAUGAACACCACGGUUCAGUUUUAGAGACCACACAGUUCACCAAGUAUGAUAGUGGUCGUUUACCAUUUCUUAACUAAAUAUCUGAACCAUUGUUGUUUUGUUCGAGUAGGGAAGGGAAGUUGUGUUCAUCUGGCAAUGUGAUAAAAAUAAAUAUGCAUUGUGUUGUUCUUUUACUGGAUAAAUAUGCAAUGUGAUAAAAAUAAAUUUCCUUAUUAUUGAAGAUGGACAUAAACGGCGUCUACUAGCCCAUCCACGUCAUCGGAAAACUUUGUAGCCGUUCAAUCAUGGAUCAUUGGUCCACCUUCCUCGCCUGCUCUCUCAUACGCCCCUCGUGUAUAAUGAUCCAUUGCGAAACUUCGAUUAUGCUUUUACUACCGUCCAGAUUUAUUUGGACUGAAGUUCAUUGUAGAUUCUAAAUAUUUGAAGUACUUUACCGUUGUUGUGGAAGAUGAAUAGAUGGUUAUAUUACGGUCAUACAAUUACUUUAGCAUUGCCUCGGGUCAUCAUGUUUCUACAUCAUUUUUGCUGUCAAAAAUAUAAAGCAAGGCAUAUUUAAACAAUGUAUUAUAAAAUGAAUUUUCUUGUUUUCUAGAAACUCAAUAUAGCAUGUUGUUCUUGCCUCCUCCUACCUUCCUAUUUUGUAAAUCUUUGAUAGAUUUAUUUCCUUAGUUCCUAAAUUGAUGCUCCAGUUUGUGUGACCUAUUUUCUACAGGUUUCAGGAUGGCAGGAGGGUUUUUAACUCACCAUCAUUACAUUGGAAUUAUUUUCGGUAUAUUGCAGCUGUCACCUUCUUAGUACCAUGGAAUUUCUUUAGCACCACAGAGUUAAGACACUAUCCUAAAUUUAUGAGGGCCCGUGCGUUGCGACGGGAGUAAACCCUAAACAAUAAGAACCAAUUACUAGAUAUCUUAAUCACUGCUUACGUCUGUUGACAUUGUCUUCCACAUGGUAAAUAAGCUUUCAGAUAAUGUAAACAAGCUCUCCCUCGCCCAUGCUGCUGCUAGCACAUCAGUCACCGACACCACAACUCAGGCAACUUCCUCAGCUUUCCGGGCACAUCAGUCACCUACUAAUCUCCAAUUGUAUGUUUUUCUUAUACUAGGUGUUUCUACUGCUGCUGCUAGCACAUCAGUCACCGGCACCACAACUCAGGCAACUUCCUCAGCUCUUCAAACAAGCAAGGAGUGUACAAUUUUCCUUAGCCUGUUUCUACUACUAAUUCUUGUUUCUGAACUGGUAUUUUCAUUUUCUUUGUGCAAUCCAACUACUACAUCUAUCACUCCAGCAUCAUCCCAAACGUUUCAAAUAUGUACCAUAUAGUAGUCUGGAGUUGCACAUAUAUAUUUUAGGUCCCAAUGCCCAAAAUCUUUUAGAUCCCAGUUCAUACCAAUUUAAUGUUAAAUUUGCCCCCCAACUGAUCUUGAUUUCUAUUCUCAGCAUUACAUUGGUGAUAUCUCAGAGUUGAAACUAUAUUUUUAUUGUAAAUAAUAAAAUGGUGAACAAUGUGAAGAACUUCUCCCCAGCGGGAGGCACAUGCGUGUUUAUCCAUCUUGUUGCCAAUCAUCGGUUAAACUACUAGGUAAAAAGAUUGUAGUCAUAUCAUUGGAUGCAUUGGAAGGCUUUGCUAAAGGUUUUCCUGUUUUUUAUCAUAGAUCCGUGCACAAGAUUUGUCUUGAUUUUUUGUUUGUUUCAGAGACAUUGAAGAAGCAAGAUAUUUUUCUCCACCCCAAAAAGGAUGACAGAUGUGAGCACCAUGAAGAUUCCAUUAACAACUCACAGUGGCAUUAUGUCAAGUGAGCACCUGUUUCAUCAAACUCAAUGGAGCGAUCCUUGAUUUCGAACGAGACAUUGAAGAAGUAAGAUAUUUUUCUCCACCCUGAAAAGGAUGACAUAUGUUUUGUGACCAAGAAGAGGAGACUUCAGAUGGAUAUAUAGCAGAUCUGUCGCAGCUUGAUAUGUUUUUGACGUCCGGAACUAAUACCAAUGGUAUUGUGUGGAUACCUUUAUAGUAAUGCUUUGAACAUUAUGAACCAUGAAUACAUCUAAACUAACACCAAUUAGUUGAAGUGGUUGGAUAGAGACAUCCACAACAAAAUUCUGAUGCAUGAAUUCAGUGACGAAUCAUUCCUUUCAGGUGGAUCUAUUGAUUAUUACAGAACACUGACCAAACCAGAAAGACAGGUCCGUCCUCAUGGUUGCCUGGGAGGUUCAGUGCACUAAAUAAAUUGGCUUUCCUCAGCAAGUAUGUGGUAUCCCAUGGCAAGGUAAUCAUUAUUAGCUUCUAUUGGCAAUCGACUAACAUGGUGAGCUAUUAACUGUAGAGAAAGCAGUACAUCUGGCGAUCCGGACUGCCCCGCGCCUCCAUCCAUUUUAGAGAAAGCAAUAUUCUGUUCUCAGCAGUUUUCUAUAGGUUUACCCAGCAAAAUCUCCCAGCUUGGAAGCCAGCAAUGACACCUGGAUUUGUAAUAGAAUGGUUUGAUAAAGGUUAGCUAGAAUUUUACUGUCAUCUCUGUGUGGAAGGUGUCAAUGAAUCAUUAACAGUUUUGACCAAUGUCUUCUUGACUUCAUGUUUCCAUUGCCUUUCUUAUAAAAUGCAGCUACAUGUACAUGUAUCUGGCACAAUGACAGAUUCUAUCUUCAAGAAAGUUUUCACAAAGAAUGUUGCCGCCGCACAACCCCUUCCUGGUUUUCGACUAAUGAAAGGAGGUAUACUUCUGAAACUUUUACAACCCCAGAUUUCUGUCCAUCAUUUGGCGAUUUCAAAUUGCCUAAAACUGUGCUCGUGUGAUUUGUACCCUCAUCCCACAAACUUUGAAUUCACCUCAGAUGUACUUAAAGGAUACGUGUUCAAUAUGCCAUAUCAGUUAAGCUGUAAAGUAGUUUGGUUGCUUGUAUCAUACCUUGUUUAAAAUUGCCAUAUGAAAACUAACACUGCUUACGUUUGUUGACAUUGUCUUCCACAUGGUGCUAUCUUAAUCAUCCAGGGAAAACUCCAGACGUAAGUUCCCAUUCAAAAGUAUUGAUUUCAGUUAUCUAAGUUGCUCCUAAUAGGCACUCUUUUGAUGUACCCUUUAUCAUCUUUUGAGUUCUGGUGUAAAGUAGAGAUGCCUGGUGAUUGUCUCUUUGUAGAUACUCUUAGAUUUGGGUUUAGUUUUUUCAUGUAUUUAGUUCAUUCAUUAAUUUUCAUGAUUCAUUUUAGUUUUGUAUUGGUUGUUGCCAAAGAAUUUGUAAGAUUUUGAGGUCGAUAAUAUAUAUGAUAUUUGAUUUUAUAUAAUCGUUGUGCACUAACAUUUUAUCGAAUAUUUUGUAUACCGUUGCAACGCACGGGCAUAUACCUAGUAAGAGUUUAAAGAUGAACUUGGAAAAAGUUACCCUCUCAUCGGAGUGCAGUGGAAGUCUUUCACGGUCCAAGUCCACCUUUCCCUUUCAAACCUUCUUUGAGACUAAAACAAUCAAACUCAAGCAAACGGUUAGUCUCAAAGGGUCAAGUUGUAACACAUCUCCCCCUAAAUAUGUGCAUUACUGGCACAAGGACUUGUGAGGUCCGGGGAGUGCUUGUACAACUUGAGCACCAUAACAACACAAUGCAGAAUGAACAUGAUUAAAGGCAUAAACACAUGUAUGCUAUAAAUCAAUCCAGGUUCCGCGAAUCUAAGACAUUUAGCUCACUACGCAACCUGCAAAAGGUCUUCUCAUCUAGAGGCUUAGUGAAGAUAUCGGCUAGCUGAUUCUCGGUGCUAACAUGAAACACUUCGAUAUCCCCCUUUUGCUGGUGGUCUCUCAAAAAGUGAUGCCGGAUGUCAAUGUGCUUUGUGCGGCUGUGUUCAACAGGAUUUUCCGCCAUGCGGAUAGCACUCUCAUUGUCACAUAGGAGUGGGACUUUGCUCAGAUUGUAGCCAAAGUCCCUGAGGGUUUGCCUCAUCCAAAGUAGUUGCGCGCAACACUGUCCUGCGGCAACGUACUCGGCCUCAGCGGUGGAUAGGGCAACGAAGGUUUGUUUCUUAGAGUUCCAUGACACCAGGGACCUUCCUAAGAAUUGGCACGUCCCCGAUGUACUCUUCCUAUCGACCUUACAUCCAACAUAGUCGGAAUCUGAGUAUCCAACCAAGUCAAAGGUAGACCCCUUUGGAUACCAGAGCCCGAAGCAGGGCGUAGCAACCAAAUAUCUAAGAAUUCGCUUCACCGCCACUAAGUGACACUCCUUAGGAUCGGAUUGAAAUCUAGCACACAUGCAUACGCUAAGCAUAAUAUCCGGUCUACUAGCACAUAAAUAAAGUAAAGACCCUAUCAUUGACCGGUAUGCUUUUUGAUCAACGGACUUACCUCCUUUGUUGAGGUCGGUGUGUCCGUCGGUCCCCAUCGGAGUCUUUGCGGGCUUGGCGUCCUUCAUCCCAAACCGCUUUAGCAGAUCUUGCGUGUACUUCGUUUGGGAGAUGAAGGUGCCGUCUUUGAGUUGCUUCACUUGGAACCCAAGGAAGUAGUUCAACUCGCCCAUCAUCGACAUCUCGAAUUUCUGCGUCAUCACCACACGUGGUCGGGGUACCGUUCAUCCUCGAAGCCAGGGGGUUGCUCCACGUACACCUCCUCCUUGAUUGCCCCGUUGAGGAAAGCGCUCUUUACAUCCAUUUGGAACAACCUGAAAGAAUGGUGAGCGGCAUAUGCUAGCAAGAUACGAAUUGAUUCUAGCCUAGCCACAGGAGCAAACGUCUCCUCAAAGUCCAAACCUGCGACUUGGGCAUAACCUUUUGCCACAAGUCGAGCCUUGUUCCUCGUCACCACCCCGUGCUCGUCCUGUUUGUUGCGGAAUACCCACUUGGUUCCCACAACGUUUUGCUUGGGACGAGGCACCAGUGUCCAAACUUCAUUGCGCUUGAAGUUGUUGAGUUCCUCCUGCAUGGCUAACACCCAGUCCGGAUCUAGCAAGGCCUCUUCUACCCUGAAAGGCUCAAUAGAAGAGACAAAAGAGUAAUGCUCACAAAAUUUAACUAAUCGAGAUCGAGUAGUUACUCCCUUGCUAAUAUCACCCAGAAUUUGGUCGACGGGAUGAUCCCUUUGAAUCAUCGCUCGAACUUGGGUUGGAGGUGCCGGUUGUGCUUCUUCCUCCAUCACAUGAUCAUCUUGUGCUCCCCCUUGAUCACACUCCUCUUGAUGAACCUGUUCAUCGUUUUGAGUUGGGGGAUGCAUCAUUGUUGAGGAAGAAGGUUGAUCUUGCUCCAAUUGUUCCUGUGGUCGCACAUCACCAAUUGCCAUGGUGCGCAUAGCGGCCGUUGGAACGUCUUCUUCAUCUAUAUCAUCAAGAUCAACAACUUGCUCUCUUGGAGAGCCAUUAGUCUCAUCAAAUACAACGUCGCUAGAGACUUCAACCAAACCCGAUGAUUUGUUGAAGACUCUAUACGCCUUUGUAUUUGAGUCAUAACCUAACAAAAACCCUUCUACAGCUUUGGGAGCAAACUUAGAAUUUCUACCCUUCUUUACUAGAAUGUAGCACUUGCUCCCAAAUACACGAAAGUAAGAUACAUUGGGUUUGUUACCGGUUAGUAGCUCAUACGAAGUCUUCUUGAGGAGGCGAUGAAGGUAGACCCUGUUGAUGGCGUGGCAAGCCGUGUUCACGGCUUCCGACCAGAAACACUCGGGGGUCUUGAAUUCUCCAAGCAUCGUCCUCGCCAUAUCGAUUAGUGUCAUGUUCUUCCUCUCUACCACACCAUUUUGCUGUGGUGUGUAGGGAGCGGAGAACUCGUGCUUGAUCCCUUCCUCCUCAAGGAACUCCUCCACUUGAAGGUUCUUGAACUCGGACCCGUUAUCGCUCCUUAUCUUCUUCACCUUGAGUUCAAACUCAUUUUGAGCUCUCCUGAGGAAGCGCUUGAGGGUCCCUUGGGUUUCAGACUUAUCCUGCAAAAAGAACACCCAAGUGAAGCGGGAAAAGUCAUCAACGAUAACUAGACCAUACUUACUUCCUCCUAUGCUCAGAUAGGCGACGGGUCCGAAGAGGUCCAUAUGUAGCAGCUCCAGGGGUCUUGAUGUUGUCAUCACAUUUUUGGUGUGAUGAGAGCCUCCCACCUGUUUCCCUGCUUGACAAGCUGCACAAAGUCUAUCUUUUUCGAAAUGAACAUUGGUUAGACCUAUCACGUGUUCUCCCUUUAGAAGCUUGUGGAGGUUCUUCAUCCCCACAUGUGCUAAGCGGCGAUGCCACAGCCAGCCCAUGCAAGUCUUAGCCAUUAAGCAUGCAUCUAGAUCGGCCUCUUCUUUUGCAAAAUCAACUAAGUAAAGCUUGCCGUCUAGAAUACCCUUAAAAGCUAGUGAACCAUCACAUCUUCUAAAGACAAACACAUCUACAUUUGUAAAUAGACAAUUAUAUCCCAUAUUGCAUAAUUGACUAACAGAUAACAAAUUAUAUCCAAGAGACUCAACUAAAAACACAUUAGAGAUAGAGUGCUCAUUAGAUAUUGCAAUUUUACCUAACCCUUUUACCUUGCCUUGAUUCCCAUCACCGAAUAUAAUUGAAUCUUGGGAAUCCUUAUUCUUGACGUAGGAGGUGAACAUCUUCUUCUCCCCCGUCAUAUGGUUUGUGCAUCCGCUGUCAAUAAUCCAGCUUGAACCCCCGGAUGCAUAAACCUGCAAGGCAAAUUUAGGCUUGGGUCUUAGGUACCCAACUCAUGUUGGGUCCUACAAGGUUAGUGCAAAUAUCCUUAGGGACCCAAAUGCAAGUUUUGUCUCCCUUGCAUUUUGCCCCUAACUUCCUAGCAACUAUUUUCCUAUCCUUUCUACAAAUAGCAAAAGAAGCAUUUAAAGCACGAUAAAUUGUAGAAGGUUCAUUCAUUACUUUCCUAGGAGCAUGAAUAAUAUUCUUUCUAGGCAUAUGAUGAAUAGCACUUCUCCUAGACAUAUUUCUACCAUGCAUAUAGGACGAACUAGAAGCAAACAUGGCAUGAGAAUCAAAAUCAUCAUAAGCAUUAUAACUCCUACAAGCAUUUCUAGUUUGUCUUCUAUCAUGAUACAUAAAAGCAUGGUUCUUUUUAGCACUACUAGCCAUAGGAGCCUUCCCUUUCUCCUUGGCGGAGAUAGGAGCCUUAUGGCUUGUCAGGUCCUUGGCUUCCCUCUUGUAGCCAAGUCCAUCCUUAAUUGAGGGGUGUCUACCAAUUGUGUAGGCAUCCCUUGCAAAUUUUAGCUUAUCAAAAUUACUCUUGCUAGUCUUAAGUUGAGCAUUAAGACUAGCCAAUUCAUCAUUAAGUUUGGAAAUUGAAACUAGGUGUUCACUACAAGCAUCAAUGUCAAAAUCUCUACACCUAUUACAAGUUUCAACAAUUUCUACACAAGAUGUUGAUUUACUAGCUAUUUCUAACUUAGCAUUUAAAUCAUCAUUAAAACUUUUUAACUUAGCAAUAGUUUCAUGACAAGAAGAUAAUUCACUAGAGAGCAUUUCAUUCCUCUUAAUUUCUAGAGCAAGAGAUUUCUGAGCUUCUACAAAUUUAUCAUGCUCUUCAUACAACAAAUCCUCUUGCUUUUCUAGAAGUAUAUUCCUAUCAUUCAAUGCAUCAAUUAAUUCAUUAAUUUUGUCUACCUUGGUUCUAUCUAAUCCCUUGAAUAAGCAUGAGUAAUCUAUCUCAUCAUCAUCACUAGACUCAUCCUCACUUGAAGAAGCAUAAGUACUAGUAUUAUGAGUGCUUACUUUCUUCUCCCUUGCCAUGAGGCAAGUGUGACGUUCGUUGGGGAAGAGGGAUGACUUGUUGAAGGCAGUGGCGACGAGUCCUUCAUUGUCGGAGUCGGACGAAGAGCAGUCUGAGUCCCACUCCUUGCCAAGAUGAGCCUCGCCCUUUGCCUUCUUAUAGUUCUUCUUUUUCUCCCUCUUGUUCCCUUGAUCCUGAUCACUAUCAUUGUCGGGACAGUUAGCAAUAAAAUGACCAAGCUUACCGCAUUUGAAGCAUGAGCGCUUCCCCUUGGCUUUGGUCUUGCUUGGCUGUCCCUUGCGACUUUUAAGCACCGUCUUGAAUCUUUUGAUGAUGAGAGCCAUCUCUUCAUCAUUAAGUCCGGCCGCCUCAAACUGUGCCACCUUGCUAGGUAGCGCCUCCUUGCUUCGUGUUGCCUUGAGAGCAAGGGGUUGCGGCUCGUUGAUCGGGCCAUUCAUGGCGUCGUCCACGUACCUUGCCUCCUUGAUCAUCAUUCGCCCGCUAACGAAUUUCCCAAGAACUUCUUUGGGCGACAUCUUGGUGUACCUGGGAUUUUCACGAAUAUUGUUCACCAAAUGAGGAUCAAGAACGGUAAAUGACCUUAGCAUUAGGCGGACGACGUCGUGGUCCGUCCAUCGCGUGCUCCCGUAGCUCCUUAUUUUGUUGAUAAGGGUCUUGAGUCUGUUGUAUGUUUGUGUCGGCUCCUCGCCCCUUAUCAUCGCGAACCGUCCAAGCUCGCCCUCCACCAACUCCAUUUUGGUGAGCAAGGUGACAUCAUUCCCCUCAUGAGAGAUCUUGAGGGUGUCCCAGAUCUGCUUGGCAUUGUCCAAGCCGCUCACCUUAUGGUACUCGUCCCUGCACAAAGAGGCUAGCAACACAGUAGUAGCUUGUGCAUUUUUAUGAAUCUGUUCAUUAAUAAACAUGGGACUAUCCGUACUAUCAAAGUGCAUUCCACUUUCUACAAUCUCCCAUAUGCUAGGAUGGAGAGAGAACAAGUGACUACGCAUUUUGUGACUCCAAAAUCCGUAGUCCUCUCCAUCAAAAUGAGGAGGUUUACCAAGUGGAAUAGAUAAUAAAUGAGCAUUAGUAUUUUGAGGAAUACGAGAGUAAUCAAAAGAAAAGUUUGAAUUGACCGGUUUCUUUCUCUCGUAUUCGUUGUGGUCGUCGUCCUUUUGGGAGGAAGUAGACUCAUCGCUGUCAUAGUAGACGAUCUCCUUGAUGCGUCUUGUCUUCUUCUUCUUCCCAUCUUUGCGUCUGUGGCCCGAGCCCGAGUCGUUGGACUUGUCAUCCCUUGGCUCGUUGACGAAGGACUCCUUCUCCUUGUCGUUGAUCACGAUUCCCUUCCCUUUAGGAUCCAUCUCUUCGGGCGGUUAGUCCCUUUGUGAAGAGAACUGCUCUGAUACCAAUUGAGAGCACCUAGAGGGGGGGGUGAAUAGGUGAUCCUGUGAAACUUAAACUUAUAGCCACAAAAACUUGUUAAGUGUUAGCACAAUAAUCGCCAAGUGGCUAGAGAGAAGGUCUUGCACAAUACGAUAAUCACAAAGAAUUCAACACAGAGAAGACACAGUGAUUUAUCCCGUGGUUCGGCCAAGUACAAAACUUGCCUACUCCACGUUGUGGCGUCCCAACGGACGAGAGUUGCACUCAACUCCUCUCAAGUGAUCCAAUGAUCAACUUGAAUACCACAGUGUUAUGCUUUUCUUUUCUUAUCCCGUUCGCGAGGAAUCUCCACAACUUGGAGCCUCUCGCCCUUACACUUUUGAUGUUCACAAAGAAUCACGGAGUAAGGAAGGGAAGCAACACACACAAAUCCACAGCAAAAUGCGCACACACGGCCAAGAAUCGAGCUCAAAAGACUAUCUCAAAGUUCUCACUAGAACGGAGCUCGAAUCACUGAGAAUGACAAACGAAUGCGCAAAGACUGAGUGUGGAUGAUCAAGAAUGCUCUAAGGUUGCUUGGUAUACUCCUCCAUGCGCCUAGGGGUCCCUUUUAUAGCCCCAAGGCAGCUAGGAGCCGUUGAGAGCAAUUCUGGAAGGCUGAUCUUGCCUUCUGUCAUCGGGCGCACCGGACAGUCCGGUGCACACCGGACACUGUCCGGUGCCCGAUUUCCUUCCUAAAAUGGCACAGCCGACCGUUGCUGAUCUGGGAGCCGUUGGCGCACCGGACAUGUCAGGUGCACACCGGACAGUCCGGUGCACCCUUCUAGCCGUUGGCUUGGCCACGUGUCGCGCGCAGAUUCCGCGGCCGACCGUUGGCCCGGCCGACCGUUGGCUCACCGGACAGUCCGGUGCACACCGGACAGUCCGGUGAAUUUUAACCGUUGGCUCACCGGACAGUCUGGUGCACACCGGACAGUCCGGUGCACACCGGACAGUCCGGUGAAUUCAGUGCCCUGGCGCUCGAGGUCUGCGUAUCCUUGGCGUGCAGGGGAAGGUUCUUGCGGAAGAGAAGAUGAGUACAGCGCGCCGCUCGGCACGGGCGCAAUGUUUGCCAGCCGACCCAGCAAGCGCGCCGCCUGCUGGAUGACCUUGACGCCGCCUGCCAGCGGAUGGGACGGGACGCAUUAAAUGCUGAGAGGGCACGUCGCCCGUCAGCGCAGUGGCAGGCGGCACGUCUUUUCCUCAACAAAUGCAGGGGCUGCACGACUUCUCGUCAGGUUUGGCCCGGUAGCUUAUGUUAUGGGCCACAAGCAGCGGGUCUCCGCCUGAGCGGGAAGUGGAGGGCAAGGCCCGCACACGUGUCAGCACCGGACCCCUGCACACACCAUGGUCCUUCUCGUUCCGGGACCCUGCUGGAGUUCGGACCUACCCGGAGGCUCCAGACUUAUAUGUAUAUAGGGGUCCGGUGUCCUUCUGUAGGGGUCCGGACUUAUUGAGGUGUGGUGUCUUUCCUUGCCACGUGGUGCCUUUGGCCUGCCCAUCCGGUGGGGUCAGGCGCCGUCCUCUGCAUGGCUAGAAGAUGUCACAUGGGUGCGGUGUCUUCAUGCUGUAGGAGAGGGUACCCCUGAUUUAGGGUACCGACAGUGGCCCCCGGUCUCGCCUCAGGGGAGGAUGUGAGCCUGCAGGUGAGACCAGAGUCUGAUCGGCGGUUGGACCGCUGCUUCCGUGCGCCUGUUGCUGCAAUUACUGCCGGCCCGCCUAUGGCCACACCAACUGUCGUGCCUAUUCCCACGGCUGGCUGACCCGUGACCGUCGUACUUAACGACAUUGUUGGGCCAUGUGCGGGGCUGCCUCGAGUCGCUGCACUGGUUCUGAAAAUUUUACUUUUUCAGAAUCCCGUGAAAGCCCCGAGAAGACGUGGCAUUGGCGCAGGCGGCGGUGCUGUUUCUUUGCACACGAUAACCGGCGCACCGGUUACAUGGCGUGUAGGCCUGGGCCCCUGAGUUGGACUGCCAGUUGCGGCGGAGCUGAGGGAGCGCACAGCCGUGGGACGGUUGUACGCUUCUUGCGCGGCGGUUCGCCUCUUUGACCGUUGGAUACGACGAAGAUUAAGGGGCGCUUAAUCGUGGGGCGGCUGGAUGCCCCUUGCGCGGCGGUUUGCCUUCCUGACCGCUGGUUGCCCCGAAAAUGAAGGGGCGCGUAACCGCCGGGCAGUCGUACGCUCCUUCUUAGGGUUAGUUUGCAUGACAUGUGGGGCCUGGCCCCCGUGUCAUAAGGUGGGAUCCUUGGUGCACGCCGGGGGAGACUUCACCCGUGACGCUUCAGGGGCGCGAGCGGGGAAAUCUGCCUUUAAAAAGGGGUCGAUCUCCCGGGCAGUAGUCAUGCCUUGCUCCUCUUGCGACCACCGCGCCCUUUCACCUUCCGGGCCUCCAAAUGGGGUGGGCCGGUGUUCUCUGGAGGGAUCCGCGUCAAGGCCGUCUCUUCCGGUGACUUCACCAUCGGAGAGCGUGCGCUCGUGGUGGUGUCGCCGAUCUUGUCUUCUUCCUUCUGCUGUUGGAGGGGUGCAACCCCAUGGGGGUUGGUAUCCUUCCACCAUUCGGCUUCAAGGAUUUUCAUCAUGCAGCCCGGCUGCAGUCCCCCGCCGGCGGUCACCCAGAAGGAUGACUACCAGCCUUGUCGUGGGGAGAAGCAAGCCGGGCUGCGACCUCCCUCCUGCCCCCAGCUUCAAGGAUGUUCAUCAUUCGUGCUGGGGAGGAGGGUGUGCCGAGUUGGGGCCCCACCUCUGCGCAGGUAGCGGACCGCUUCUUCCCUCAGUGUUCGGAGGAGAAGGGCGUUCGCUACUCAUGCGGAGGAGGCAAACUUCGGGUACGCGAGGCUGGCUGACUGCGGGUGUCACCAGCCAUCGCGUGCCCGAUGCCUUAGCAUGGAUGGCUUCAGCGCUGCCUCCGAUGCUGCCUUCUGCUGCUGGGUCGGGGCGCGGCUGCCCGUUCACCGCACGGGCGACGGUCACGCCGUGCGCAGGUCCGCCACACCCACGGCUUCUCUCGCGUCGCCGGUCAUGUUCUUGGAUGUCCUCACUCCCUUAGCAAAGACGGGAGUGAGGACCUAUAAGCGCGUUGAGGCAGCCGUCGCCCACCGGUGCAUGGGUGGUUGUCAUCGCUGGUGAGGCCAUCCUGUCGCCGGGCCUCCAACUCUUUGGCUUUAAUGGCCUGUUGUCACCCCCCCCCCCCGCAGGAGGACGGGGGCGAGGUCCUACCCGCAACGGCGUACAUGCUAAGAUGAUCACUGCUGCUGGCGAGUCGUCGGUGCAGAGGCGGUCGUCGCCGUUGGUGCUGAUGCGGUCGCCUCCGCUGGCGAGCCGCUCGGGGCUUGUUAUCCCGCGGCCCUUACUGGUGUGGAGGUACUUCAUUCCUGCAGAAAUGGAGCUGGGGUCCCACUUGUAAGGGAAUGUAACGACAUUUGCUUGAGAGCAAAAUGUAAUAACAUAUGUAUACAAGAUUUUAGCCUAGGAAGCCCAGUUGUGUGUCUGAACCCCCUAGAUGGUGGCUUCAAGUACUAAGACACCUGUCGCAGGGCGGCGGAGUAUGCAGGCUCACGGUACGGGACCAGGAUGAGCGGCUACAUGGCUUCCAGACCCCCCAGGAGACAAGUGUCUGUUCUUCAAAGCCGGACCUCCAGGUUGUUGGACGCAUAGGACUAUAGUUUUAAAUACUAGGACACCUGUCAUGGACUGGUGGAGUGUGCAGGAUUUUGGGUACGUAACCAGGCUAACCGGCCACACAGGCUCUGGACCACCCUAUGGAACGGGCAUCCGUUCUUUAGAACCGGCCCCCAGGCCUUCCCCUAUUUUUGUAAAGUAAUAGAUAUUAUCUGUUAAGCAGUAUUUAACACUUAUCUGUGUGUUGCUCGAUCUUGUUGUUAACUUCCCUUGGUACCUGCCCCCCGCCUGGGGUGCAGGUUCGAUGUGUCGAGGCUAGACACCAGCGUGUAGAAAAGAGUUGUCAACGGCCUUCGGGAGGUAGCCUCACCGAGACCUGGAUCUGUAUACAGCUUUAGCUAGAGAGCGUUAGUGAUACACCCGUAGACCCCGUCAUUUGGCAUUUUUCAUCCUUUGAUACAUGCUCGGGAUUUGCAGUGUUUUAGCUAGGGGAAGCAAGUUGUGUGUCCGGACCUCCUGGAUGGUGGUUCUAGAUACUAGGACGCCUGUCACAGAGUGGUGGAACAUGCAGGCCCACGGUACGGGACCAGGCUGAGCGGCUACAUGGUUCCGGACCACCCCAGGAGACAAGCGUCUCUUCUCUAGUUCUGGACCCCAAGUUGUCGGACCCACAAGACUUAUAGCUCUAAGUAGUAGGGCGCUCGCCACGGAGUGGUGGAGUGUGUAGGGUUUUGGGUACGGAACCAGGCUAACCGGCCGCACAGGCUUCAGACCACCCCAUGGAACGAGCACUCGUUCCUCAGAGCCGGCCUCCAGGCUGUCGGGUCCCCCUGCUUUCGCAUAGAGGUCCUAAACUGCAACCCUGGCUGUUCAAUCCAGAUGUUAUUAUGCCUGGUGGGAUGGAGCUAGGCGGGUGGGUUAGAUAAAACACAAUCAGAAACUGCAGGGUGAGACCAUGGAGUAGUAGGAUAUUGUUAUCAUAGAGGCAUAUCUUGAGAGGGUAGUUUUCCUUUAUAGCUAAUCAUGCAUGGGUGCGGGCCAACAGGCCGGGUUUAUGGGGGCAGACCCCACCGGGUUGGCGUACCCGUAUGCACUACCUAGUUACAAAAGGGAAAAACUUCGACCCCUCAGACUUGCUUUAUAGAUAAAACUUACAGAGAUAUUUCGACACUGGGGGAUGCAUUCGCAUUCCUUCGAUCGUAGCUAGACAGUUGCCCUUGGGUCGGGGUACUCCCAUUACCAUGAAGGGAUUUUCCCAACUGGGGGAGUGUUACGGAGCCCUAAUUUGGUCUUGUACUCUUGUAAGAUUAGGUCUCGACCCUGGGUUCCCAUCUGCAUUUGACGAAGGAGGCCCCGCCUUUGGCUGUGGUCAUUCCUGGAUGAACCUGUCAGAAAGCUAGACCCGUGAGGAAUCCAGAUGGGUUUCCGGAGGAAGGCAGACUUCAGCUCCGUAGGCCAGGGGACAUGGGGUCCCGCCGGUGGUCCGCCUAGUCGUCACCGUUGGAGUGGGAGUCUUUUGCGAAGACGUCCUUCAGGUCCCCUUCGGGUGACUGAUACCCGAGGUCCUGUUCAGUCGCAGCCACCUCACCGUCAUCGACCUUUUCUUUGCCAGGACGACGAUGAGGUGGGGAGCCAUCUUUGGAAGACUGCUCACGUCGCUCGUUGGUGUGUUCGCUGACGCGUUUUGCGAGAUCAAUGAUCUCGCGACACUCCGCGGUGCUGUGGCGGCCGUUGAGAUGUAUAGGGCACGAGCCGCCGUUACCCCUUUGUGGCCGUGGUCGUUUGUUGCGGUCGCCCGGCCCCCAGUCGCAGCUGCGACGACCAGCGCGGUAGACUGUGGCCUCUCAUAGCCACAACCCUUCUUUUUCUUUCUGUCGUCCUAGGGAAUGGCACCCAAACCACUCGUCUGGGUGGUCCCAGUUUGUGGGGCCGAGUGCCAUGCCCGGCCUUCAGCAGCUCUGGCACACUUGUCCGCCAGGGCGAAGAGCGUGGGGACAGUCUCCACAUCAUGUGUGACCAGUUUCUCCAACAUUUUCUUAUCACGUACCCCCUGUCGGAAGGCCGUGAUGAUGGAGGCAUCGGAAAUAUGCGGUAUAGUACCUCGUACCUUGGUGAAGCGGGAGAUAAACGUCCGGAGGGUCUCUCCGGGUUCCUGCCUUACAACAUGGAGGUGGGCCUCCACACCAUGCUGUUGGUAAGCGCUGGCAAAGUUCGCAAUGAACCGUGCACAGAGCUCUUCCUAGGUGUAGAUUGACCCUAGGGCGAGGUUCAUGAGCCAUGUCCGGGUAGGUCCAGACAGGGCGACAUGAAAAUAUGUCGCCAUUACGGCGAUGUUUCCACCUGCUGCCAUGAUGGCGGUGACAUAUACUUGCAGGAACUCCGAUGGGUUCAUUGUCCCAUCGUAUUUUUCCGGCAGUUGUGGCCGGAACUUGGGCGGCCAUGACGCCGUGCGAAGAUGGUCUGCGAGGGCGGCGCAGCCCACGCCGGUCAAGGGGACACCCGUUUGGGACCGGACGCCCACUAGUGUCUGCGGUGCGUCCGCAGCGAAAUCUCGGUCGAGGUUGCGACCCUCAAUGUUCUGUCGGCGUUCACGCGCCCUUUCCAAGGAGACUCGGGCGUCUUCUCCCGUACACCUACGGUUGAGCUCCGCCCGGAGGUCGUCGGUCUGUGCACCCCUUAUGGAGGGCGAGCGCACAGACGCCGUCGCCUCGCGUUGGCAUCGGGAUGACCGAGGCCUCGACCUGGUCGAAGUAGAAUGCGCCAUGCCGAGAAGCCGGUCGACGUCGUCACGCCACUGCUUCAUGGCCCCCGGUGAUUCCGUGGAGCUAGGGGGUGGCGUAGCAACUCUCUGGCCGCAGACAGUGUCGUAGGCGCUGCCCUCGGCGGAGUCCAAGACGCUUGCGCUGGCGUGUGCUGCUGCACGGCAUGUACGACAGCAGUCCCAGAGUCGGGGCGGUCGGGCACUCAUGGCGCGGAGGAUGCAACCUCUUGCUCCAUCACGAAAUCCUCCAAAGUUUCGGCGCGGUGCUCGAUGAUCCACACCAUCAUGCUAAGCGAGAAAACAAGCAAAAACUUGAAGCCUAGCCCCCUACCUGGCGCGCCAAAUGUCAGGGAGGAAAUCUUCUCGGCCGGGUGGCGGAUUGCACCCGCCCUAAAUCCUAAAGAGAGGAGGGGCCUAAGUGUUUUGCUUGCUACGAGACUGGUGGAUCAACACAUGAGAGCACGCGAGGGUUUAGAGUGGUUCAGGCCGCCGGAACGUAAUACCCUACUCCACUGUGUGAUGUAUUGCUUGGGAGCUUGUAUGAACUUGUGAGUGUCUGCCUAAAGCUAGGUCUGAGAGCCUCCUCCCUUGUAACGUCGUAUGCCUCCCCUUUUAUAGCUGAAGGGGGCAUGCACAAAAGGACUGGGCCCCGACAUGUGGGCCCAGGGACAUAAAGAAUAUAGUGCUUGGAUCCUCUAAUGUCUGUUGCCGAGGCAAUCUUCUUGUGCCCUGGCGCUCGAGGUCUGCGUAUCCUUGGCGUGCAGGGGAAGCUUCUUGCAGAAGAGAAGAUGAGUAUAACGCGCCGCUCGGCACGGGCACACUGUUUGCCAGCCGACCCAGCAGGCGCGCCGCCUGCUGGAUGACCUUGACGCCGCCUGCCAGCGGAUGGGACGAGACGCAUUAAAUGAUGAGAGGGCACGUCGCCCGUCAGCGCAGUGGCAGGCGGCACGUCUUUUCCUCAAUAAAUGCAGGGGCUGCACGACUUCUCGUCAGGUUCGACCCGAUAGCUUAUGUUAUGGGCCACAAGCAGCAAGUCUCCGCCUGAGCGGGAAGUGGAGGGCAAGGUCCGCACACGUGUCAGCACCGGACCCCUGCACACACAGGGUCUUCUCGUUCCGGGACCCUACUGGAGUUCGGACCUACCCGGAGGCUCCAGACUUAUAUGUAUAUAGGGGUCCGGUGUCCUUCUGUGGGGGUCCGGACUUACUGAGGUGUGGUGUCUUUCCUUGCCACGUGGCGCCCUUUGGCCUGCCCAUCCAGUGGGGUCAGGCGCCGUCCUUCGCAUGGCUAGGAGACGUCGCAUGGAUGCAGUGUCUUCAUGCUAUAGGAGAAGGUACCCCUGAUUUAGGGUACCGACAGAUAUUUUCCCAAGAAAGGAAAGAAUGCUUUUGUAAAGCAAAAGACAUUGUUUGUGAAAGAAUGUGACAAAGUGUGUCACAAGAAGGGACAUAUCAAGAAGAAUUGUCCUAAGCUCAAGAAUGUAUCCUCCACUUGUUUUGAGCAUUGUUAUGUUCUUUCUCAUAAUGCAAAAGGUGUUCAUGCUAAAUUUGUUGGUACUUCAAUUGUUGGCAAUAAGAAGAAAGCUAUUUGGGUGCCAAAGACCUUGGUCACUAACAUCCAAGGACCCAAGCAAGUUUGGGUACCUAAAAGAGAUUGAUUUCCUUUUGUAGGUGAACUACAAGGCGGGAGGGAAUCAUUGGGUGUUGGAUAGUGGAUGCACUCAACACAUGACCAGAGAUAUGAAAAUGUUCACCCAAAUGAGUGUGGAAGAUUGCUCAAGCUAUGAUAGUAUCACAUUUGGAGAUAAUCGCGGAGGAAAGGUUAAAGGUUUGGGUAGAAUUGCUAUUUCGAAUGAUCAUUCCAUAUCAAAUGUGCUCUUGGUUGAGUCUUUGAAUUUUAAUUUACUAUCCGUAGCUCAAUUAUGUGAUUUAGGAUUUAGUUGCAAUUUCACCGUUGAUGAUGUUAUUAUCUCUAGUGUUGAUGGUAGCAAUCUUAAGUUUAAAGGCUUUAGAUAUGAAAAUCUUUAUCUUGUUGAUUUCUCAUCCAGUGAGGCAAUGCUCACAACUUGCUUAUUCUCAAAGGCUUCACUAGGUUGGUUAUGGCAUAGAAGACUUGGUCAUGUUGGAAUGAAGCAACUCAAUCGUUUAACCAAACAUGACUUAGUCUGUGGCUUGAAAGAUGUGAAAUUUGAGAAGAACAAAUUGUGUAGCUCUUGUCAAGCCGGGAAGCAAGUGGUGAAUACUCAUCCAAAUAAGAGUCAAAUGUCUACUCAUCGACCUUUGGAAUUACUCCACAUGGACUUAUUUGGACCAACAUUUUUUGUGAGUAUUGGCGGUAAUUCCUAUUGCCUUGUGAUUGUGGAUGAUUAUUCUAGAUUCACUUGGGCUUAUUUUCUUUGGGAUAAAUCUAAUGUGUUUGAAACAUUCAAGUCAUUUGCUAUACUGGCUCAAAACCAAUUUGAUUUUGAUAUCAAGAAAGUUAGAAGUGAUAAUGGGUCGGAAUUCAAAAAUGCUAUAAUUGAUGAAUAUUGUGAUGGCAAGGGUAUUAAACAUGAAUUUUCUUCCAAAUAUACUCCGGAACAAAAUGAUAUUGUUGAAAGGAAGAAUAAGACUCUCAUUGAUAUGACUAGGUCUAUGCUAGCGGAAUAUAAUAUGUCGGAUUCUUAUUGGGCCAAAGCCAUAAACACUGCAUGUCACUCAUCAAAUAGGCUAUAUUGUCACAAGUUCUUGAAGAAAACUCCCUAUGAAUUGCUCAUUGGUAGAAAGCCAAAUAUCUCAUAUUUUAGAGUAUUCGGUUGCAAAUGCUACAUUUUGAGAAAGGGAAGCCGGCUCUCUAAAUUUGAGAAGAAAUAUGAUGAGGGUUUUCUACUUGGAUAUUCAUCAAAUAACAAGGCUUAUAGAGUUUUCAACAAGACUCAUGGUAUUAUUGAAGAAGCAUAUGAUGUUAAGUUUGAUGAAACAAAUGGGUCUCAAGAUGAAAAUGAUAAUCUUGAUGAUGUUGGUGGAGCUCAAUUGAGAAAUGCUAUGAAAACAAUGGCUAUCGGUGAAAUAAAGCCAAAAGAAGAUGAUGAUGAUAGUAGUGUGGUUGUCAUUCCAUCCUCUUCAACCCUAAAUGAAGAAAAUCACCAAAGCCAACAAAAUGAUGAAAAUGUGGAUGCUCAUGAUCAAGAUGCUUCAAGUCAUUCGGUCCCUCCUCAUGCUUCAACUAGUAAUUCUCAAAUGGUAUCAAGAAUCCAUCAUUCUAUUGUGAAGGAUCACCCAGAUGAUCAAAUUGUGGGCGACAUUAGUAAGGUUGUUCAAACUCGCUCUUGUAUAGCUUCAUUUUGUGAACAUUUCUCUUUUGUAUCUUGUAUGGAACCUAACCGUGUAGAUGAAAAAGAACCACAAUGUUAUUGGUACCAAAUGGGUGUUUUGCAACAAACACAAUGAGGAUGGAUUAGUAGUAAGAAACAAGGCAAGAUUAGUGGCACAAGGAUAUAGUCAAAUAGAGGGAUUGGAUUUCGGUGAGACAUUUGCUCCCGUGGCAAGAUUGGAAGCAAUCCGGAUUCUUCUUGCUUAUGCUUGUGCUCAUAAUAUCAAGCUCUACCAAAUGGAUGUAAAGAGUGCCUUUCUAAACGGUAAGAUUAGUGAACUAGUGUAUGUUGAACAACCUCCCGGUUUUGAGGACCCCAAAAGACCUAACCACAUGUACAAGCUUUCUAAAGCUCUCUAUGGGCUUAAGCAAGCCCCACGCACUUGGUAUGAAAGGCUUAGGGAUUUCUUGCUUUCUAAUGACUUUAAAAUUGGGAAGGUUGACACUACCCUAUUCACCAAAAGAGUUGGCAAAGAUUUGUUUGUUUGUAAAAUUUAUGUUGAUGAUAUUAUUUUUGGAUCUACUAAUGAGUUGUUUUGUGAGGAGUUUGAAAAAAUGAUGUCAAAAGAAUUUGAAAUGUCUAUGAUAGAAGAAUUGAGCUUCUUUCUCGGUUUUCAAAUCAAACAAUUGAAGGAUGUGAUCUUUAUAAGUCAAUCAAAAUAUUUGAAGGAUAUGCUCAAGAAGUUUGGCUUAGAGAAUGCAAAGCCUCUCAAGACUCCUAUGGCAACAAAUGGUCAUCUAGACUUAGAUGAGGGAGGUACUAUGGUUGAUCAAAAACUUUUUCGCUCAAUAAUUGGUAGUUUGCUUUACAUUACCGCAUCUAGGCCCGAUGUUAUGUUUAGUUUUUGCAUGUGUGCUCGAUUUCAAGCUUCACCUAGAGAGAUUCACUUGAAAGCCGCAAAAAGAAUUCUAAGAUAUUUGAAGUAUACCCCCACUAUUGGUCUAUGGUAUCCCAAAGGUGCUCAAUUUGAAUUGAUUGGAUAUUCGGAUUCGGAUUAUUUGGGUUGCAAAGUUGAUAGGAAGAGCACCUCCGGUUGUUGUCAAUUUCUUGGGAGGUCUCUUGUUUCAUGGUCUUCUAAGAAGCAAAACUCUGUUGCUCUCUCUACCGCCGAGGCAGAAUAUAUAUCGACCGGUAAUUGUUGUGCUCAAUUAUUAUGGAUGAAACAAACUCUAUUGGAUUAUGGGAUCAUUUUCAAGAAUGUGCCUCUCAUGUGUGAUAAUGAGAGUGCGGUAAAAUUGGCUACAAAUCCGGUCCAACACUCAAGAACGAAGCAUAUUGGUAUACGACAUCACUUCUUGAGAGAUCAUGUUGGAAAGGGAGAUAUCACUAUAUAUUCGAUUGGCACGGAUGAUCAAUUGGCCGAUAUAUUUACAAAGCCAUUAGAUGAGACAAGGUUUUGCACAUUAAGAAGUGAAAUGAAUGUGAUAGAUCUCUCGAACGUAGCCUGAGGUUGAAUACACAUGUGUAGUAUUGCAUUUCGAUUCUAAAUAUGCUCUCUAGGACUGUCCGGACCAGAGAGGGUCGCUCUCUGCACAGUCCCUGUAUUAUUGUGCAGACUGUCCGGCCAGGGUCGGUGGACCGUCCGCAGGUGCCAAAUUGGUUUGGGCAGGGACUGUGUGUUUUUGGGUGUUUGUAUUACGGACUGUCUGGGGCCUGAGCCCGGACAGUACUGACUCCCAGGUUGCAGACCGUCCGGCCUUGUUGGCGGACAGUCCGCGUGUAUUAUCUCAAUAUUGUCAGGGCUCUGGUGCUCCAUGCUGCCAGGUGUCGGACGGUCCGGCCAUGGUUGGCGGACUGUCCGGACCUCGCUUUUCUGACAGCCGUUACUUGUACGACGAAUCGUGUGGCCUAAGGGCACGAACCGUCCGUGUGUCCGCAGAAACUGUGCUAGUUGCACAUAACGAUUAGAAUUGUGAGGUGGGCUAUAAAUAGAAGGGGAGCUCAUGUGUGAGGGCUCUCUUGGCCAUUCCUUGCACACAUUGAGCUCAUUUGUGAUCCUCCCACUCAUUCUCUCACACUCCUUGCUUGAUAUUGCAUUCCAGUGAGAGAUUCCUAGUGCAUUUGCAUCCAUUGGUGAUUCUUGAGGCACUAGGUGGUACACCGAGCAAGCGUCAUCGACUUGUUACUCUUGGAGGUUGCCGUCUCCUAGACGGCUUGGGUGUUGUCUCCGUCGAGCUCUCCAAGAAGAUUGUGGAGAAGCCGUAGUGUCGAUUGUGAGGGGUUCGCGCCUACCUCGCCAGAGCGGCAAAGGCGACGCUAGUGGAAACGAGGUAUUGAGUGAUUUCUUUUCCACUUGGCUCAAAGAUCAAGCCGCGUCUUGAUAGAGGAGCAAGUGAGAGCUUGAAGUCCACCUCAACGUGGAUUAGGGGUGAUCGGCAAAUCACCGAUACCACGGGAUAAAAUGCGGUGUCUUUCUCUUCUUGCAUUACUUAUUACCGUGCAAGUAAUUAGUAUUUCGCAUAUUGUCUUUCUCGUAUACAAUUACCAUAGUUGUUUCUCAUAUAUUGCUUACUUGUUGUCACUAGAGAAUUUAUACCUCUUGUCAUAUUGAUUAAAUUUCUCUAGUGUUUUUUAUUUUAAUCAAAACCGUAUAUUCACCCCCUCUAGUCGGUGUCCUAGAUCCUACAUAAGCGACUUUCAGAAGUCCAGCCGGAGCAACUCCAAACCGAGAGGCACCCGCACCAGGCGUUAGUCCGAGAAGGGCGAGAGAAUGAGGAUGGAUCCAACGCAGUCGCAAAAAAUGGUAUAGAGGCUCACGAGAUGCAUGGAAGCACAAAGUCGUUUCAUCUCUGUCACACCCGGUUUUAGAAGGCAAACCGAAUGCAAACCAUGUACGUGCCAGGAUCAGUUAUUCACGUACACAGCAGUUACAUAAUAUGGACAUCAUCACACAGUGCUCAAAAUAGUAUUAAAAGGGAAUAAUAGUCGAUUACAUCGUACGUCUGAGACGUCCAUAUAGUUCUUACAAUAAAUCAAAGUGCGGAAAAGAAACGUAGAUAACCGCGGCCUUCACAGGCAGCCGACUGAGGGUUGCCGCUAACCCACACCUAGAACUCGUCGUAGUCUUGGAACUCCUGGAAGUCUCCUUCCACAGCUUCAUCUUCGCCUGAGCAGUGGUUGCAAUGCUGACAACCUGGGGGGGGGGGGGGUUUGGUGUGUAGAGCAAGGGUGAGUACACAUCAACAUACUCAGCAAGUAUCCUGUUUGGCUGUAGUGGACUAGCUUUAUGUGGGGAUAAGUCAAGCAGUUGCUUUUAGUUGGUCAGAUUAUUAUUUACUAGUAGAAAGCCAAGUUUUAGCAUUAACCCAAGUUAUUAACCCGAUGUACCCUUUCCAAACGGAAAGAAUACCACUUACCAGCACCAUAGUCAUAACCAAAACCAUCAAUCUCAUAACCACCUAUACCAAAGUAUCUCUGAUCAAGUACCACUAAUCACUGGAGCUCCCUUGGCCGCUCAUAACCGCGAGCACGGCUGAUAUAUCAGUUUUCAAACACUCUGCAGAGGUUGUGCACUUUACCCACAAGCCGUGAUUCCCAUUCUGCCCGGAGAUCAUGACUCUCCAUUGAUCACUACCAAGGUGACCCAGCAGGGCAUCACUACGUAGCCUUUACAAAGAUUCCCCGGGGCUGUAGCCACCCGUUAGGUUUCCUAAAUGUACCGCACUCCUCCCCAAGGGACAAAUCAACCUUGGCAGAGCGAGCCGCAUACACCGAGCCCCAUUGACGGCACGACGGCUAAGUGAACUACACCCCGGAUCCUCUAAUUAUUCAGCUAAGGGCAUCCCAUUCCACCCUCAUGGUUGCACUGUUUUCCCGGGCGGUCAUCCAUAGAACAGGUCCUUACGGAGAGGCACUCGAGAAACCGCUCGAGCCCCCUUGAAUACCACAAGUACAACAUCAUAAUAAGAGAAGGGAAAACAGCGUAUCAUAGAUAAUCUCAUCAUGUUCAUUGAUUAGAGUUGAGCAAUAGCAUAAAGCUAAACAGUAAUAAUCCAACCCAAAUAGGUAAGCAAGGAUAGGGAUAACAAAAGCUAGUCAAUCCUUAGGCAUAAAUGUGUAAAGCGGGAGGUGAAUUAAAUAAUGAAUAGGACAGAGAUAGGUCAAGGGACACUUGCCUCCACCAACCGACUGCUGCUCAGGGGCUUCUCCUGCGAGUUCCUCGGGCUCUUCAACCGGAUCGUUCUCUAAGCGGGUGCAAACAUACAUACAUCCAUCCAUCGAAAUUAGGAAACCAACAGUACACCAUACAAGAGAACAAGUAAAGCAAAUAUGCAUAGAAUACCACAUACGAUAAUGAAUUUACCAUGGUUAGAAAGAAACGAGGGAAAGUUUCGCAGGGGUUGAGGCUUAUGCUCGAGGGACACUACGGGUAGACGAAAGACUAGACGUCACGUGCUCUAGUUUUAAUUAGUUCUAACAAAAGAAUUAGCUACAUGCACUAAUGUAAUCGCAACCACUUUUAGUAGAUUAACAUUGAACGAGAUAGAUGAUUAGUUAUACGAAUUAACUAACGUAACCAAUUUCCAAAUUGAGACUCCUAUCUUAUUAAUAUAAACGACGUGAUUAGCGCAUACAGGAGACGGGGGGGGGGGGGGGUAGACGAGGGGUUAGGGGGUAGACGAGGAACGACGAGUCGUGCCAAGGCACGCGCACUACGCGGGCACGCACGCGAGGCCGCACGCACACGCCGCGGACUAACCGUACGCACGUCGGGGCCGUGCGCUAGCCGAGCUCAAAGCCGCGCGCCAUAGGCACGCUGGGCCAAGCUCGAGGCCACGCAGGGGCCGACACGACGCGAGCAAGGCAUGGCGGGACGAGCGGGCAAGCACACCGGGGCCAGCGAGCGCGAGCGAGCGAGGACGCGACCGGACGAGGCCGAACGCGGGGAUGGGCGGCCGAGCCGGGGCACGGGGGCGGUUGAACCAGGGGGCGACCGAACUCGCCGGGAGGCGGCCGAGCUCGCCGGGAGGGGCGGUUGGGCCGGGCCGGGGCGCGAGCGGCCGAGCCGAGGCCGGGUAGGGGCGGGACGCCGGGGGCGCGGGCGGCCGAGCUCGCCGGGCGCGGGGAAGGGCGGGGCGCGGCCGGGCGGGACGCCGGGGCGGGGCCGAAGCGGGGAGGUGUGCCGGGGCGCGGGACGGGGCGGGGUCGCCGGAGCGGGGCCGAGGCGGCCGAGCUCGCCGGAGGGGCGGGGGCGCGGCUUGGCGGCCGAGCUCGGGGCGCGGGCGCCGGGGCGGGGUAGGGGAGGGCGCGGUCGGGCGGCUCGCCGGCGCGCGCGCGGGCGCGGGGCCGGGGACGGGGAGGUGUGCCGGGCGCCAUGGCCGCGAGCGGCCGGGCCGAGCCGAGCGGCGGGGGCGCGACCGGCCGAGCCGGGGGCCAAGGCAGGCGGCGCGGGGGAGGGCGCCGGGGAGAGGAGAGGGAGGAGGGAGAGGGAGGAGGAGGGAGGGGCCUCACCGGAGGGGAGAACGGCGGCGGCGGCGGCGGCGGCGCGGGGCGCGGGGGAGGGCGCCGGUUAGGGUUUGGGGAGAGAGAGGGAGAGGGAAUGACGGGCGGGGCCCGCGGGAGGAUUUUUGGAAAAAAGAAAAGAGGUGGGGGGCGGCUGGGCCGGCUGGGCCCAAAGGGGGGGAAGGGGGGCGCGCGGGUGGGCCGGCCAGGAGGCCCACGCGGGAGGGGAGGGGGAGGCGGCUUGGGCCGAAAUGGGAAAGGGAGAGAGUGAGAGAAAAAGAAAAUGAUUUUCUUUUUCUAAAAUCUAAUUUUCUUUGGAUGAAUGCUUUCACAUUUUAAUCAAUCAAAAAAAAUGCAUGGUUUGGCAUGGUGCAUCACAGAAAAUAAAGUGUUUUAAGGUUUUGCUUCACACGAGGUCUAAAGCCAAAACCCGCUGCGACUUUGGAAAAGAUCAAGGCUUAGCGAGAAGAAAAGGGAAAAGGAAAGAGUAACGCCUGAAUUUGGGUAAGAGAAAAGAAGAAAAAAAUCUACCCCCAAAUUCAGGGCGUUACAAACCUAUCCCCCUUAAAAGAAUCUCGCCCUCAAGAUUCAGGGUUGGCUAGCAAAGAGUUCAGGGUAUUUGGCCAUCAGAUCAUCUUCACGCUCCCAGGUUGCUUCUUCCUCUGAGUGAUGGUCCCAUCUGACUUUGCACAUUCUGAUGGUCUUCCUUCGGGUGACUCUGUCUGCAACCUCAAGGAUCUGCACUGGCUUCUCAACGUAGGUCAAGUCCUCCUGGACUUCAAGACCUUCCACUGCCAACUGCUCUUCUGGCACACGCAAGCACUUCUUCAACUGAGACACAUGAAAGACAUCAUGCACAGCUGACAAAUUCUCGGGCAAACUGAGCUGAUACGCCACUUCUCCACGUCUUGCAAGAACCUGAUACGGACCAAUGUAGCGGGGUGCUAGCUUGCCUUUCACUCCGAAUCUUCUGACUCCUCUGAUCGGUGACACUUUCAAAUAGACAAAGUCUCCGACUUCGAAACUCAGCUCUCUUCUUCUUGUGUCUGCAUAGCUUCGCUGCCUUGAUUGCGCUAUCCUCAGAUUCUCUCGGACCAUCUUGAUGUUCUCUUCGGCUUCAAGCAAAAUGUCUGGCCCAAACACUUGCUUCUCUCCAGGCUGAUCCCAUUGCAACGGAGUUCUACAACUCCUUCCAUAGAGCGCCUGAAAUGGUGACAUCUUCAAACUGGCCUGGUAACUGUUGUUAUAGGAAAACUCUGCAUAAGGCAAUCUCUUAUCCCAUCCGGACUGAUCUUGCAACGCACAGGCUCUCAACAUGUCUUCAAGAAUUUGAUUGGUCCUUUCGGUCUGACCAUCCGUCUGCGGAUGAUAAGCUGAACUGAAAUUCAGAUGCGUGCCCAAGGCUUCAUGCAACUGCUGCCAGAAAUGAGAGGUGAACUGCGUUCCUCUGUCUGACACUAUCUUCUUUGGCACACCAUGAAGACAAACGAUCCGAGACAUAUACAAUUCUGCUAAUACUGCACUUCUGUAAUUGGUCUUGACAGGUAUGAAGUGGGCUGACUUGGUCAAGCGGUCCACUACUACCCAAAUGGAAUCGUAGCCGGCUCGAGUGCGAGGCAAUCCGACUAUGAAAUCCAUACCGAUUUCGUCCCAUUUCCACUGAGGGAUCUGCAACGGUUGCAACAAUCCAGCAGGUCUCUGGUGCUCUGCCUUAAUUCUUCGACAACUAUCACACAUAGCCACAUGCUCUGCGAUUUCCCUUUUCAUUCCGUACCACCAGAAUUUCUUUUUCAGAUCCUGAUACAUCUUCUCACUGCCAGGGUGAAUCGAAUAGGCUGUCUCAUGAGCUUCCUUAAGAAUCAACUCCCGAAUAGACUGGACAUUGGGAACACACAAGCGGUCUUUGAACCAUAUCACGUCUUCUGCAUCUUCUCGAAAAUCUUUGCCUCUGCCAUCUAGAAUCAGUCGCCGGAUCUCACUGAUCUUCUCAUCAUUCUUCUGCGCUUCUUUAAUUUCGCGCUCCAGGGUAGGUUCCAACUCGACUGUGACUCCUCGCGAAUUGUUCAGAAAUCCGAGACUCAAUCUGUCAAACUUCUUGGCCAACUCAUAAGGCAUCGGACGAGCAACCAUCAGAUUGACUUGACUCUUUCUGCUCAAAGCAUCUGCCACUACGUUUGCUUUGCCUGGAUGGUAAUGAAUCUCCAACUCAUAGUCUUUGAUCAACUCUAACCAUCUUCGUUGCCUCAUGUUCAACUCUGACUGAGUGAAUAUGUACUUCAGACUCUUGUGAUCUGUGUAAACAUCACAUUUCUGUCCAUACAGAUAGUGCCUCCAUGACUUCAGUGCGUGAACCACUGCUGCCAACUCUAGGUCAUGGAUUGGGUAGUUCUUCUCAUGAACCUUCAACUGUCGGGACGAGUAAGCCACAACUCUUCCCUCUUGCAUCAACACGCAUCCCAAACCUGUGUAACAAGCAUCACAAUACACCGAGAAGGGCUUGUGCACAUCAGGCAAGACUAGGACAGGCGCUGUAGUCAACUUCUCUUUCAGCGCUUCAAAGGCCUCUUGACAUUUCUGGGUCCACUUGAACUCAACUUUGUUGCCUAGCAACGCUGUCAUUGGUUUCGCAAUCUUCGAAAACCCUUCAAUAAAUCGCCGAUAAUAUCCGGCCAUUCCAAUGAAACUCUUGAUUCCUCGAGCAUCUGUUGGCGCUUUCCAGUUCAGAAUGUCUGCCACUUUCUUCGGAUCCACAGCCAAACCUUCUUUGUUGAUUAUAUGACCCAAGAACAAGACUUCACUGAUCCAGAACUCACACUUGCUCAACUUUGCAUACAACUGGUGCUCUCGCAAUCUCUGGAAUACCAUCUUCAAAUGAUCUGCAUGCUCUUCUUCGCUUUGAGAAUAAACCAGAAUGUCAUCAAUGAAUACCACCACAAACUUAUCAAGGUAAUCCAUGAAUACACUGUUCAUCAAGUUCAUGAAGAACGCUGGCGCAUUGGUCAAACCAAAAGACAUCACUGUGAACUCAUACAAACCAUACUUGGUAAUGAAUGCCGUCUUCGGAAUGUCCGAAGGUCGGAUCCUGAGCUGAUGAUAACCUGACCUCAGAUCAAUCUUGGAGAACACACUGGCUCCUCUCAACUGGUCGAACAGAUCUUCUAUUCUGGGCAAGGGAUACUUGUUCUUGAUCGUGACCUCAUUCAAAGCUCGAUAAUCGAUGCACAUCCUCUUGGUGCCAUCUUUCUUUUCCACGAACAAGACAGGGGCGGCCCAAGGCGAGGUGCUUGGCCGAAUGUAACCUUUCUCUGACAGCUCAUCAAUCUGCUCCUUAAGCUCAACCAACUCUGGCCCAGAUAUUCUGUAAGCUCUCUUGAAGAUAGGGGCGGUUCCAAGAAGAAGCUCUAUGGCAAACUCAACUUUCCGCUCUGGUGGCAUACCCGGUAAGUCCUUUGGAAACACAUCUGGGAACUCGGACACAACCUUGAUCCUCUCGAUUGGGUCUGCUUUACUGCUAUCAAUAGCUAUCUGAUAACAACUUCCUUUCUUUGGCUCAGGCGGGACUAACUUGGUCACCACUUCCUCUCCUAGUGGGGACACCAACUUGAUUGUCCUUUUAUCACAGCUGAUAACUGCCUGAUACUUAUCUAGCCAAUUCAUCCCUAGGAUGACAUCUAUUCCCUGAGUACCCAUUACUAUAAGGUUGGCGGGAAACGCUAUCCCCCUUAUUUCCACACUUAUAUUCAAACAAAUGUUAUCGGCUCGAAUUCUUCCACCGGCUGAGUCAAUUUGAAUGGGGUUUGACAUGGUAGUAAUUGGAAGAUUAUGUGCUUCUACCCACGAUGCAGUAAUGAAAGAAUGCGUUGCUCCAGUAUCAAAUAACACUUCUGCAAUAUGGGAGUCGACUGGGAACAUACCUACUAUCAUGCCGGGGGUCUCCUGAACUGCUUCAGCCUCCAAGUGGUUCAGUCUUCCAUGAUUAUAGCGCGGCUGAGAGCGGUUGCCUGCUCCAGGCUGAGACACAUUCUGCUUUGCUGGGGCAUUGGGGCCUGACUGCUGCUGGGCUGCCUUCUUCGGACAUUGCAUCACCCAGUGGCCUUGCUCUCCACAGUGGAAACAUGCUCUGUUUCCAACCUGAGCUGGUGCUGCCUGAUUGUUCUGUUGGUUUGCUGGGGCAGGAAGACGAGGUGCUUGCUGAUUCUGCCUCGGAAACUGACCUCCUGACUGAUUGCUCUGACGGUUCUGGUACUGAUGCUGAGGAUACUGCCUUUGGAACUGCUGAUGCUGCUGAGGUGGACGCUGGUUUUGCCUGAACUGCUGAGGUUGAUUGCCUGAGAAACGAGGACGGCUGCUGCUUCCAGGCUGGGGUCCACUGAUCUUGCGCUUACGAUCUUCCAUCUCCUUGCGCUUUCUCUCCGUCAUGAUUGCUCUGUCAAUCAGGUGCUGGAAUGUCGGAAAGGUGUGAUUCAUCAGUUGGUACUGCAGAGGGUCAACCAAGCCUCUCAGGAAACGGUACUGCUGCUUGGCGUCGGUGUUGACAUCUUCAGGAGCAUAGCGAGACAAUUGCAGAAACCUGUCUCGGUACUCACUGACAGACAAUGACCCUUGCUUGAGGGCCAGGAACUCCUCCUUCUUCUCUGUCAUCAGACCUGCAGGAACAUGGUACUGACGAAAGCUACUCCUGAACUCUUCCCAGGUGAUGGCGUCAGGGUGGGCAUGGGUGGCGAGGUAAGACUCCCACCAUGACUGGGCUGCUCCUCUCAACAGACGGGGACCAUACAGAACUUUCUCCCUGUCAUCGCACUGAGCGGUGUGCAACUCCCGCUCCACAGUGCGCAGCCAAUCUUCAGCAUCCAUGGGGUCAGAAGAAUGAGCGAACGUUGGUGGAUGACCUCUCAUGAAUUCAGCACGCUUGUCUCUGGGCAUCUGAGGCAUCUGAGGUUGAGGUGGGGCCUGCUGCUGUUGCUGCUGCUGCUGCUGAAUGGCGGCCAAAGUCUGACCGAUGGCUUGAACUGCCUGAGUCUGCAUCAGAAACAUCUGCUCGAUGGACAUCGGGGGCGGGGGCGGCAGGUGCUGCUGCUGGGGCACCUCAUCCUGUUGAGCGGCUCACUCCUGCUGAGCACGCCUUCCUCCUCUGCGCCUGUUCUCUGACAUCUGCAGAAUGCAACCACACAUCAGAACUGAUCUGGCAAAUCUUGCAGCAUAAGGAAAGAGAAUAGAAUUCUUCAACAGCACUGAACAGAUGAGCAUCUUCACUGAUCUCCAACACAGACCACACAGCUUCUCAGAUAAAGAGGAAAGUGGAAUAAAAGGUUUCCCCACUAUAUAACUAACUUUAUUAACAUAAUAGGUGAACCAAAAUGCAGGGGAUACCCACACUCUGGUGACAAUCAUUACAAAGAUCCAAACCAAACAUAGUUCAUCAUGACAAACAUAAAUGCACAGGAUAUAGCAAACUACCCUGUCUAACUAAGACUAACUAAAACUGAGACUAACGCUAAGACUGAAGCUUCUAUGUAUAUAUAUUUCGUAUUAAUUACAAGAUCCAACUCUAACGAUCUAUGGUUCUAGAGUUAUCUUGGUCUUGCAGUCGGGGUUGCCAUAAGACUGGUGUCCACGCUGAGGUGAGCGGUACGGGUGCUGAGUCCCGACGGGAGCGGGGGAACCACCGUCCAGGUGACGACGUUCCGCGCGCUCAGCCCGCAGCAGGGCGAUCUCAGCACGAGCCCUACUCAGCUCGUCUAAUGCAUGGUCCAGCUCCGUGUUUAGCACGGCGGCUAGGUUGACUGUGCUGCUCAACCUAGGAUUGCCCUCACCGACAGGUGAGACAAUCACGCCUCCUGUGCUGCCAGAUGAACGGCGGGGGUAAUACUUCAGGUCAAGACCAUCAGCUGCCCCACCGAAAACCGAGCAGUAGUGCGAAAGCGCACGCCGUGCAGCAUCUUGCAUGGCUGCCUCAGCUGAGUCCCGCUCAGAGAUAGAAUAGUGCUCUGAGCAGACCUCAGCACCCUGGAGACUGUUCUCUGGACAGCGCACCAAGCAGGUUGCCUCCCAGCGGUCCGGGUAGACCCCGCGACUGUGCUGGUAGACCACACAGCGAUACUCGACGGACCAAGUAUGCCGGUCAAAUGCCCGACGUAGCAGGGUGUCGAGCGCAUCGUGGAAGUGACACCCGCGAGCAGCGUCGUGAGUGAUGGGUCGAGCAACCCAUCCUUCCGGCUCAAGGUUAGCAGAGAAGUCGGCGUCGUGGCUUGAGCUGUCGUCGCCAUCUCCGUCGUCUGGGUCUCCUCCAGCAGCUACUCCAGAAGCUGGGACGCCCAGUGGUGGUGCAGGGGGCGGCUCCAGAGGAAGCACAGGGGAGCAGCUCCUCACAGACUCUAUCUCCUGGUGGAGCGAGAAAGAAGAGCCCUGCUGCUCCUGCUCCUGUCAUCGACGUUCCUGCUCCUCAUGCAGGCGGUGGUGCAGUCUCUCCAAGUGGCUGGACUGUCCGGCCACGGGACGGCGAAGCGGACGCUCAGCAAGGCGGGAGGGUAAGAAGGGGAUGACUGACUUUCGUGCAGUGUGUCUAAGUCGAGCCAUCUACAAAAGACAUCGCAAGCAAAAGGGUAAGAACAGAAUCAAUAUGACCAGCAAAUAAUGAAUCAUGAGUGAAUGAAGGAUUAGAAUAAAACAUGUUUUUCAGCAAGGUAUAAUAUAUAGUAGAACAUAGGUUUGGUCGGUAUGACCAACUUUUGAAGAGAUAUCAAAGUCAAGGCAGAGACAGAGGUCCAUAGUCCUUAGAACGACCAUUCUACUCUAGGUUAGCGGUCCUACAGUCAGCACGGCUUUGAUACCACUUAUGUCACACCCGGUUUUAGAAGGCAAACCGAAUGCAAACCAUGUACGUGCCAGGAUCAGUUAUUCACGUACACAACAGUUACAUAAUAUGGACCUCAUCACACAGUGCUCAAAAUAGUAUUAAAAGGGAAUAAUAGUCGAUUACAUCGUACGUCUGAGACAUCCAUAUAGUUCUUACAAUAAAUCAAAGUGCGGAAAAGAAACGUAGAUAACCGCGGCCUUCACAGGCAGCCGACUGGGGGUUGCCGCUAACCCACACCUAGAACUCGUCGUAGUCUUGGAACUCCUGGAAGUCUCCUUCCACAGCUUCAUCUUCGCCUGAGUAGUGGUUGCAAUGCUGACAACCUGGGGGGGGGGUUUGGUGUGUAGAGCAAGGGUGAGUACACAUCAACAUACUCAGCAAGUAUCCUGUUUGGCUGUAGUGGACUAGCUUUAUGUGGGGAUAAGUCAAGCAGUUGCUUUUAGUUGGUCAGAUUAUUAUUUACUAGUAGAAAGCCAAGUUUUAGCAUUAACCCAAGUUAUUAACCCGAUGUACCCUUUCCAAACGGAAAGAAUACCACUUACCAGCACCAUAGUCAUAACCAAAACCAUCAAUCUCAUAACCACCUGUACCAAAGUAUCUCUGAUCAAGUACCACUAAUCACUGGAGCUCCCUUGGCCGCUCAUAACCGCGAGCACGGCUGAUAUAUCAGUUUUCAAACACUCUGCAGAGGUUGUGCACUUUACCCACAAGCCGUGAUUCCCAUUCUGCCCGGAGAUCAUGACUCUCCAUUGAUCACUACCAAGGUGACCCAACAGGGCAUCACUACGUAGCCUUUACAAAGAUUCCCCGGGGCUGUAGCCACCCGUUAGGUUUCCUAAAUGUACCGCACUCCUCCCCAAGGGACAAAUCAACCUUGGCAGAGCGAGCCGCAUACACCGAGCCCCAUUGACGGCACGACGGCUAAGUGAACUACACCCCGGAUCCUCUAAUUAUUCAGCUAAGGGCAUCCCAUUCCACCCUCAUGGUUGCACUGUUUUCUCGGGCGGUCAUCCAUAGAACAGGUCCUUACGGAGAGGCACUCGAGAAACCGCUCGAGCCCCCUUGAAUACCACAAGUACAACAUCAUAAUAAGAGAAGGGAAAACAGCGUAUCAUAGAUAAUCUCAUCAUGUUCAUUGAUUAGAGUUGAGCAAUAGCAUAAAGCUAAACAGUAAUAAUCCAACCCAAAUAGGUAAGCAAGGAUAGGGAUAACAAAAGCUAGUCAAUCCUUAGGCAUAAAUGUGUAAAGCGGGAGGUGAAUUAAAUAAUGAAUAGGACAGAGAUAGGUCAAGGGACACUUGCCUCCACCAACCGACUGCUGCUCAGGGGCUUCUCCUGCGAGUUCCUCGGGCUCUUCAACCGGAUCGUUCUCUAAGCGGGUGCAAACAUACAUACAUCCAUCCAUCGAAAUUAGGAAACCAACAGUACACCAUACAAGAGAACAAGUAAAGCAAAUAUGCAUAGAAUACCACAUACGAUAAUGAAUUUACCUUGGUUAGAAAGAAACGAGGGAAAGUUUCGCAGGGGUUGAGGCUUAUGCUCGAGGGACACUACGGGUAGACGAAAGACUAGACGUCACGUGCUCUAGUUUUAAUUAGUUCUAACAAAAGAAUUAGCUACAUGCACUAAUGUAAUCGCAACCACUUUUAGUAGAUUAACAUUGAACGAGAUAGAUGAUUAGUUAUACGAAUUAACUAACGUAACCAAUUUCCAAAUUGAGACUCCUAUCUUAUUAAUAUAAACGACGUGAUUAGCGCAUACAGGAGACGGGGGGGGGGGUAGACGAGGGGUUAGGGGGGUAGACGAGGCACGACGAGUCGUGCCAAGGCACGCGCACUACGCGGGCACGCACGCGAGGCCGCACGCACACGCCGCGGACUAACCGUACGCACGUCGGGGCCGUGCGCUAGCCGAGCUCAAAGCCGCGCGCCAUAGGCACGCUGGGCCAAGCUCGAGGCCACGCAGGGGCCGACACGACGCGAGCAAGGCACGGCGGGACGAGCGGGCAAGCACGCCGGGGCCAGCGAGCGCGAGCGAGCGAGGACGCGACCGGACGAGGCCGAACGCGGGGAUGGGCGGCCGAGCCGGGGCACGGGGGCGGUUGAACCAGGGGGCGGCCGAACUCGCCGGGAGGCGGCCGAGCUCGCCGGGAGGGGCGGUUGGGCCGGGCCGGGGCGCGAGCGGCCGAGCCGAGGCCGGGUAGGGGCGGGACGCCGGGGGCGCGGGCGGCCGAGCUCGCCGGGCGCGGGGAAGGGCGGGGCGCCGGGGCGGGGCCGAAGCGGGGAGGUGUGCCGGGGCGCGGGACGGGGCGGGGUCGCCGGAGCGGGGCCGAGGCGGCCGAGCUCGCCGGAGGGGCGGGGGCGCGGCUUGGCGGCCGAGCUCGGGGCGCGGGCGCCGGGGCGGGGUAGGGGAGGGCGCGGUCGGGCGGCUCGCCGGCGCGCGCGCGGGCGCGGGGCCGGGGACGGGGAGGUGUGCCGGGCGCCAUGGCCGCGAGCGGCCGGGCCGAGCCGAGCGGCGGGGGCGCGACCGGCCGAGCCGGGGGCCAAGGCAGGCGGCGCGGGGGAGGGCGCCGGGGAGAGGAGAGGGAGGAGGGAGAGGGAGGAGGAGGGAGGGGCCUCACCGGAGGGGAGAACGGCGGCGGCGGCGGCGCGGGGCGCGGGGGAGGGCGCCGGUUAGGGUUUGGGGAGAGAGAGGGAAUGACGGGCGGGGCCCGCGGGAGGAUUUUUGGAAAAAAGAAAAGAGGUGGGGGGGGGGGGCGGCUGGGCCGGCUGGGCCCAAAGGGGGGGGGAAGGGGGGCGCGCGGGUGGGCCGGCCAGGAGGCCCACGCGGGAGGGGAGGGGGAGGCGGCUUGGGCCGAAAUGGGAAAGGGAGAGAGUGAGAGAAAAAGAAAAGGAUUUUCUUUUUCUAAAAUCUAAUUUUCUUUGGAUGAAUGCUUUCACAUUUUAAUCAAUCAAAAAAAUGCAUGGUUUGGCAUGGUGCAUCACAGAAAAUAAAGUGUUUUAAGGUUUUGCUUCACACGAGGUCUAAAGCCAAAACCCGCUGCGACUUUGGAAAAGAUCAAGGCUUAGCGAGAAGAAAAGGGAAAAGGAAAGAGUAACGCCUGAACUUGGGUAAGAGAAAAGAAGAAAAAAAUCUACCCCCAAAUUCAGGGCGUUACAAUCUCAAGGCUCGGCGAAAGGGGAUACCAUUCUAUAAACUGCUCAAAAAAGUGGACAGGUUCUAGUGGACUCUAGAGGCUCAAGAAGCACUAGAGACACUCAAAAAGUUCUUGACCACCCCUAAGGUCCUCAAGCCACCACACUGAGCUAUGGCUAGCCGGACAGCUAAAGACCUCAUAUUGUACAUCUCCUGCACGACUCACACGUCGUAAGCACUGUGUUGGUAGUCGAGCGGGUGAAAGAAGGGCAUGCAUACCUAGUGCAACAUCCUGUCUAUUUCAUCAGCGUAGUCCUCGGGCCUUCCAAGAUAAGAUAUCCUCAAGUCCAGAAACUACUAUAUGUGGUACUGCGCGAAAGCUACGUCACUACUUCGACGAUCACAAAGUCACAGUAGUUACAGAUUUCCCAAUAGGAGACAUACUCUGCAACAAAGAAGCAGUGGGAAGAACAACCAAGUGGGUAUGCGAACUCGGAGCUCACGACAUAGAGUUUCGACCUCGCAAUGCAAUCAAGACCUAGGCCUUAGUGGACUUCGUAUCAGAAUGGACCGAGCACCAGGUUCCCGAGACCCUGAGUUAGCCGAGGUCUAGAGAAUGUACUUCGACGAAUCCCUGAAAUUGCAAGGAUCAUGGGCCAGUAUCCUUUUAAUUGCCCCUAGUAAGGACCAACUCAAGUACGCACUUCAACUCUUGUUCCUAGCCUCCAACAACGCAGCAGAGUAUGAGGCCUUGAUACAUGGACUCAACAUUGUUGUAUCGCUCGGCAUCAAGAGACUGAUGUGAAAGGAUCACGAUGCCCAAGAGGGGGGUGAAUUGGGCUUUUCUAAAAUUCAACAAUAAUUAAACCCUAAGCAAGAGCCCAACUUCUCCCCCAACAACUAGCAAUAAGAGAAUACUACUAGAAAUACAACAAUGCUAAGACAAUACUUCAACUACUUGCUAAACAAAUGCACAAGGUAAAAUACUUGAAUUAAGUGCGUAAUGUAAAGCAAGGUUUAGAAUACUCCAAUUUUUCCCAAGGCAUCGAAGAGUCGACACUCUCCCCUAGUCCUCGUUGGAGCACCCGCGCAAGGGUAUCGCUCCCCCUUGGUCCUCGCAAGAACCAAGUGCUCACUAUGAGAUGAUUCUUUGCCACUCCGAUGCGGUGGAUCCCUCAUGAUCGCUUACAAACUUGAGCCGGGUCACCAAUAAGUUCUCCAAGGUGAUCACCGAGCUCCCAACGCCACCAAGCCGUCUAGGUGAUGUCAAUCACCAAUAGUAACAAGUCGUAGACUUUCACUUGACCAAGAGAAGCCUAAUGCAUGCGGUGUGUGCUCUAGGUGACUCUCGCUGACACUAAUGAAGUCCAAAUGCGAGAUUAAGAUUUUCUAAUCACUUCACUAAGCUUUGUGGUGCUUGCAAUGCUUUACCAAUGUGUAGGAGUAAAUGUGGGCAGCAAGACAAUCAAUAUGGUGGGUGGAGGGGGUAUAAAUAUCCCUCACCCACCAACUAGCCGUUACCAGAACCUGGCUGCGCAUGGGCGCACCGGACAGUCCAGUGCGCCACCGGUGCGCCAACGGUCAUCUCCAAAGGCUAAUUCUGAGAGCUAGCCGUUGGGCAGAUGGCACACCGGACAGUGAACAGUCAUUGUCCGGUGCACCCCGGAUAGUUCGGUGUGCUGGCUAAAAUUCAAUUUUCCAACUCUGCGCUCUCGGUUUUCUGGAGGGGGAAGGGUCUUCCCCGGGCCAACCUAGCCCCACUGUCAGAGGCCGCACCGGACAGUCCGGUGCCCCUAGGCCAGAAACCCUAAGUUAUAUUUUCUUCUGUUUUUCAAAUCGGUUUUCGUUCUAACUCGUGAGUAUGUUCUAGAGUGACACCUUGCACUAUAUGUGAGUGUGAAUAUGCACCAACACUACACUAGAACUCCCUUGGUCAAACUACUCAUCGACAACCCCUCUUUAUAGUACGGCUAAAACAAAAUAAAAGACCUAACUCUAUACCGAGUGUCCGAAACUCCUUGACACUCGGAAUACGAAGACCUCCAUCUUUUGUUUCAUCGUUUUAGCUGUCGCUUCAAGUUCUUAUCUCAGGGAUUGUUUUCACCGUUGCAGUACAUCUUCCUGUAAUGCGACCUAACUUACCAUUUGUCUCCGCAAAACACAUGUUAGUCACAUAUAACAUUACGUUGUCAUUAAUCACUAAAACCAACCAGGGGCCUAGAUGCUUUCAAUCUCCCCCUUUUUGGUGAUUGAUGACAACCCUACAAGAGUGUGAGAGUAGUUUGUUUGAAAUUUCUGUCAAUAGAGAAGAUGAUUGGUUAUACUCAAUAAUCUUUGACAGAAAGAGCGUGUAACAUAAUAAUAAGAAUGAGCGCAUACACAACGUAAGUUUAUUGUUCAUAUAAGAAUGAGAUGAAAUUGAUGAACAAGAACUAGAAGACUGGUGAUACCAUAUUAGGUGAAAACACAAUACACACACAGUCAACAUAAGCAUCGAGAGCAUAUAAUAAAGUUUGUGAGUAAAAUCGUCAUACAAAAGUGGAGCUAGUACAGAGAGUAUCAAGCCCAUAUAUUACAUCAAAAUACACAAUACACUCUCAACUAACUCCCUAACUCCCCCUAGCUCUCACAUCUCUCAUAUCUCUCCCCUUUGACAUCAAACACCAAAAGGGUAACCCGAACCUACAGCCCAGAAGAGGAAGGAGGAGGCGAGGGUGCAUCCGUGUAGCAUCCCAAAAAUUCAAAUCCUGAAAUUUUCUCAAACUCGCUCUAAAUUCAAAAUGAAUUUCAAAUUUCAUUUCAAAAUGUUUGUUUGCGAGUUGAUAUCAACAAAUAAAGUAUAGUGGUCUAUAUUCUCUCUAAAAUCCUCCUCAAAAUAUCCUACAAAUAUUUCCCCAGUGAUCCUCCUCAAAUUGUUUCCAGAAAUAUUGCCCAGAUAUUUCCCUAGUGAUCCCCUUCGAGUUAUUUCCAGAAAUACUGCCCAAAUAUUCCACCGAUAUAUCUCCAGAUAUUUUCCUCUUGAGAAAUACCUUCAGAAUCAUUUUUUCAAGUCCCUACAAAUAUUUUCUUCAUAACUUUUCUCAUGCUCAUACGUAUAUGUAUGCCUCCAGUGUCAUACGGUGAGCUCUACAAGCAAAUCUCACUUAUACAAGGCAAAUACAUGCUAACCUCCCACUAAUCAUCUCAUCCUCCCACUAAUCCUCUCAUCCCUCCCCCUAAUCCACCCACCAUGGCGAUAAAUAGAGGGGCAAGGGCCUCCUCUCAUCCCACCCCAAGCCAUUUCAUGGCAACUCUCUCCCCCCCACACCCACCCACUCCAUGUUCCACACAAGCACACACUAGCACAAGGAUCGUCCGAUCGUUCUUCGAUCGUUCGUCCCCUGUUCUUAGGUUGUUCGUUCGUUCGUCCGAUCGUUCGAUCGUUCGUCCGAUCGUUCAUGGUUCGUUCGUCCGUUCGUCCGAUCGUUCGAUCGUUCGUUCGUUCGUUCGUCCAAAUAAUUUUUUUCCUACCGUUAUGCUGCCGAAAUUCCGAUCAUUCGUUCGUUCAAUCAUUCGGUCGUUCAUCGUUCGUUCAUAGUUCCUAUUCAUCGUUCUUCCAGAUAAUCUUUGUCCUGCCGUUAUGCUGCCGAAAUUCCGAUCGUUCGUUCGUCCGAUCAUUCGAUCGUUCGUCCGUUCGUUCAUAGUUCCUAUUCAUCGUUCAUCGUUCGUUCAUAGUUCCUAUUCAUCGUUCAUCGUUCAUUCAUACGACUAUUCACCAUCACUAUUCACCGUUACUAUUCAUCAUUACUAUUAACUGACACUAUUCACCAUCGUUACUAUUCAGUGUUACUAUUCAUCAUCGUUACUAUUCAUCAUCGUUACUACUCAUCGAUGAUAUCUAGUAACUUUUUCGUCGUCACUAUUCAUCGUUACUAUUCACCGAUUAGCCGAUCACCCCAAAUUUCAACUACUCAUACAUCAUGUUGUCCAGUCCACCUAAGACCAGCCAGACCCAUAUUCCAGUCAUACGAACUCCGGUGACUGUGAUUUUCUUUCCAGUGGAAACUUCCCAUCUGGUCACCCAUCCCAGGUUUCUCCAAGUUGAGCACGCUUAACUUGAGAUUCCUUCGAACCAGGCUCCCAAACUCAGAUUCCAAUAAUUCUCGUUUCUAAACUCUUAUCAAACUAUUCCCUAUCCAACCAUGUAAUCCCUUAAGCAUGGUCCAUAUUCCAGAAAACUCCCAAAAUACUCUUGUCCCAUAUUCUGCCUAUAACUCUCCUGUUCAUACUAAGUCAGACGAUUCAUUCGUCACUAUUCUCACCAACAGUGAACUUCACUGUGCUACACCACAUACACCCAGCUAUAAAUACACCCAGCUACCCUCUCCCCCUCCACACACACUCAACACCCUCAGCCAAGGCAAACACCCCACCCACUCAGUUACUCUGCUCUGCCGGCUACACGCAUAGUGUCGCUUCGCCUCCAGUCCACCCUCCUGGUAAGCACCUCCGCUCCACCACCAGUAAUAUCACAACACCACAUGACACAUAUUCUACUCAAGACUCUACCCAUCCAUAUAUCGCUUUUCUGACCACUAUACUAAAUAUUUGUUGGUAUACUUGCUGGUUUGUAUGUUUGCUUGUUCAUGUUGCAUAGUUAUCGGAGCGUUCGUGCCAUCUCGUGGAGGCCAGAUCUGCAAGUCUACGCUAGGCGGUGGAGCCAGAAGCCAGUUCCGCGAGCUCUCCUUCCCCCUUCGCCGAAUAAGCACGACAAGCUCACUGGAUCCCUUUGAUGCAUAAAUUACCUAUGUUUUUCAACCACAACCCUCAGCCUGUUAUUUUAUGCAUGAUAUGAUUUUGAGAUAAGCUAUUAUGGCCACCCAAGCCGCUUGCCGCAAUCAAUCCUUAAUAUAUUUGUUACAAAUGAUUUGAGAAAGGGUGUGAGUUUUCAAAAGAAAAUGCUUUUCAAAAUGUGUAUGAUGAAGGGUUUUCACCCUUAUCACCAUGUGAGUGGGAUAAUCAGGGACUCCCUGGUUUAGGGGAGGGCCUAAGGUGAUGGCUCAGCUGGUUUAGGCGUGAGCAGAAGGAUUGUCCCCUCGUAUAAGGACCGGUUUGUCAUCUUUCACUACCUGUACUCAUGAUAAGUACAACCACUCGAGACUGUGUGGGCAGUCACUCAAUCUGAACUCGUACGGUCCAACCCCAGGGUUAUGAAGGCUGGGGAGCACCGGGAGGAUAAGGAGGGGGAAAGUUUUGUCCGGUUUGGACAUGGUGGUGGCCUGACUCCUUCCGGAUAACCAUUAAGGUUAGGACGUGCGGGGAAAGAAAGAGAUUCGGAUUCAGAUCUCAUUGAUCAUGAGAUCGCAGAGCCGGACUAGUGGGUAAAGUGUACACCUCUGCGCAGAGUUUAAACCUAUUCGAAUAGUCUGUGUCCACAGGAAUGGACGAGUCUGGUAUGGUAUGGCAAUUAAUGUUUUGUUUUUUUAAAAAAAGAUGCUUUUGAAAAGUGGUUUUUAAAAAGGUUCGGCGGUUGAGCCGUGAGCUAUGGUGGACGGGAAGUCCAAUAGCUGUUUUUGAAAAGGAAAACCAGUGGGAAACUGCUGAGAUACCUGGAUGGUUUAGUCCAAGGGAUUUUGUUAUAAUACUGAAAAACUUCCUGCUCCUUUUGGAGAGGAUGCACUUUGCAAAAAUACAAAAUGUUUUUCAAAACAACUCUGCAUAAAAUAUUGCUGUUUCUGCAAAAUAUCCUAAGCUCCACAUAUUCCAUGCAUUAUAUCUGAUUUCCCCAUUCCGCAGGUGAAGGUGGGCUGCUGAGUACGUUUGUACUCACCCUUGCUUAUUUGUUGUUUUUCAGAAAAAGGAGAUCGGGUAAGAGUUACGACUGUUCCCAACCUUGCCUGUGGCUGUUGGACCGCUGAUUUGCUUCACUGCGUAUAUCGGGCUGCUUCAGCCCCACUCUGAUGAUAUGUCCCGAGUUGUGGACCAACUCUUAAAGUUGUUCGCCACCUUUAUAGGUUGGUCUCGUUUAAGCAGAUCUGGAAUCAUCUGAUGUAUAAAUGUGUUUACUAGCCUCCUGGGACUAGUAAUUGUAUCACAUUUGAGUCCCAGAGGAUCGGGACGCUUCAGGUGGUAUCAGAACUGUUAGGUUGGCCGCAGGACGUAACCCUUAGCCUGAUCAAAAGUUUUUGAGUCAAAACUAUUUUCUUAAAAAAAAUUCUUGCUCUCAUCCCUUCAUUUCAAAAAUGUUUCCCCUUUCCUUCUCUUAGAAGUCAGAUGGAGGUUCAGUGCCAAACCAGCUUCUGCCAGAAUGAAGAUGGUUUCCCCAAGUUGUUGAGAGCAUGCACAGUUCGCCUCGGAAUCAGGAGCCAGCCAGAGUAUGAUGGUCAUGAAUUCGUCGAGCAUGGCACAGAGAAGUGUGUCGUGACUGUAUACAUUGGGUCCAGUCCACACCAUGUGGAAUGGAGUGUCACUGCUGCUGGGCACAGAUUCAAAGACACCUGCCAAGUCGUCGCUCGCAAGGCAUUGAGGGCCCUGUGUCAGAUCUAUGAAGAAGAAGUGGCCGACACCCCGCUCAGAUUCUUUCCGCCCUUUCAGAGAGACCGUCCCGCUUGGAUGGCCAGGAUGCGUGCAUUGGAAGGGCAGCAGCUGCUUGAGGACGACCCCACAGUCGUGUACCUCACUGCAUACCUGCUCACCCUUGAUACACAGUAUGAUUUCUUGGCUCGGUACCACCGUCAGAUGAUUGCCCGAGCAGAAGAUGCAGAGAAGCGCAACCGUCAGCUGCAUGUGGAUCUCACCACAGCUCAAGCCCGUGCAACUGCCUUGGAGAGUCGUGAAGUCAUUGCUGUUGAAGCCCUGAAGCAAGCCAAGGAUGAGCACAUCCAAAAGUUGAUGGAGGCCUACUUGGUAACCCAUAACCAACGUAGAGCCCUGCGGAUCGAAGAGCCCGCUUCAUCCAACCCAGUUCAACCCAGGAGAGUAGAAGACCCUCAGAUUCUUGAAGGUCACCCGGUCUCUACCAGAGGAGAAAAGAAGGCUUGGGAACUCCCGGAAGGAGCCAUAGUCUUGGAAGGAAUUCCAGUCUCCCCUCAGGCUAUGAAUAAGCAAGAGCACCCCGAGUCCUCUCAAGAUCCCCCGCUAGAGUUGUUUGAGCCCUUCUCCGUGAAGAAGAUUCCAGCACCGCCCCGUGAAAUCAAGGAAGAAGCUGCAAGCACCCCGCCAGCACCGCCGCCCUCUGAGGAGCUACAAGAGCCAGUCCCGCUUGAAGAAGAGUUCGACCCCGUGUUGCCAUCUCAGUCGCUGCCAAAAGAAGUCAUCAACAUCAGCUCCCUCUUGACCCAUCCAGGAGAUGUCUCAGAUUGAAGUUGUGUGCAAGCCUUGCCAGAAGAGAAGUUGCCAGAUCUGAAGUUAGUUAUGCCCAGUCCUUUGCAUGCAUUGGGUAGUGAAGUUUUCCUUCACUUUGGCUAGAGCCUUGCAUGUAUGAGAGGUAAUCGCGUAGACUCGUGUUUUGCAAAACUCUAAUUGUGUGGCCCCCUAGGGCAUUUCAUAAUGAAUUUCGCUUGAUGUUUUCUCCCCUUUUGAGUGCAUAUGUGAUGCUUUAACGUUAGUGCUCAUAAGUCGCAUUUAGCAUAGUUCUCAAUUCAGGAGCCAAGCAAUAGUAGUUAUGCUUAGCCCUCGAAUCUGAGUAGUCCGUGCUUUGGAAAAACUCUAUCCUUCCCUUAUUCAAAACAUUCGAUUUGUUUGUGCUUAUCAUUGCUGAUCUUGCGUGUUUCCUUUCUUUUUUUAAGAAAGGUUUUCUCUAAAAACAUAGAUCACAAAUUAGAGCUAAUCCUCACCUUAUGCUUCCAUUCUCAUCUUAACCCAUCUCAAGAGAAAAGUGCCUUAUCGAAGAAGAUAUCGGGAAGCUUACCCUUGAAGCAUGGAAGAAGCUACAGAGGAACCUAUUCAGUCGCCCAGUCAAAAGGAUUGACCGUGAGAAUCAAAGCACCGCCCCUGAGUCAAAGUAAACAGGAAAAGAGGACAGAAGGAGUUAUUACCAUACAGAGAGGCAAAGAUUCUUGGAACCAGAGACCACAAACAUCAGGGUCAUCGACCCCACCACUCACCCGUGCCCCCGCACGCGUGCCCGCCUCCAUGCGCACUAGCACCGCCGCAUACGCCCCCUUUGCAGCGCACUACCGCCGCCCACCCCCCUUUGCAGCGCACCCACUACCGCCAUCGUCGCCGGCAACAGCCCCCCUUCCCCUUGUCGCAUCUGCUGUCUUGUGUCACCUGCUCCAUCACUACCACUCCACACCCUCCCGAGCACCCCCGCUCGCCUAUAAACCCCCCCACCAACUCCCUCAACUCCCAACUCGCUCAAAGCACACUCCAGAUAAAUCCCCUCUGCUAAAUCGCAAGCAACUCCAUUUUCCACUCCCUCACCCCUAAGAUCAGAAUGCUUGGUGAUUCUUGGGUUGAAGACUGUUGUACAUGGUUCAUAGUCUUCGGUUUCCUCCUCUGUAUGAUGGUAAUACUCAUCGAUAGAAUCCUCCAGUGGGAAGAGCAAAGAGAAAGAAAGAGGCAGUAAGAAGAGAAAAGAAAAAGCGAAGAGAAGAUGUGAAGAAGGUUCUCCCAGAAUCAACCCUGUGCCAUUCUUCCCUCCGCAGCCUGCUCAAGCAGCAACAACAGAAGAAGGCCCCGUAACACCUUUGUUAUGAGGUAUUUCAAGGACUUCAAAUCCCCAAGAUUCAAGAGUUCUACCCUCAUUCUUUUUAAGUGGGGUAGUGUUCCAGCAAGGUUCCUGCUGUGGAGAAAAAGGAGAAGACUUGUAGCAAGCUUGUGGAGGACCAGAUCAUCAAAGCAUAUAAGUUUCUGGAUGAGAAGUGGUCACCCAAGUUUUGUUGAUGAAGCACCAGAAGACCAAUCAAGGAAGGAAUCCAUGUGGGAGUUCGCAAGAGAAAGGUUUGCAUGUUGGCAUCAAUGCUUCUUCAAUAAGCUAGCUGCCAAGUGAAAGCCAGAAGCCUGAAGAUGAUCUUUGAGUAGCCAAAAUCAGCGUUUGCAAUCAGCAACCAGAUGCUCCGCUAGGCCAGAUCUUGUUGAAGUUCCAUCUCCUUGAAGAGUUGCAAAGUGAAGAUAUGUAGCUGAAGUAAAGCUAUACCCAUAACCCUUCUAAGCCGAAUCUCGAGGACGAGAUUCAUUUUAAGUGGGGUAGAUUUGUAGCAUCCCAAAAAUUCAAAUCCUGAAAUGUUCUCAAACUCGCUCUAAAAUCAAAAUGAAUUUCAAAUUUCAUUUCAAAAUGUUUGUUUGCGAGUUAAUAUCAACAAAUAAAGUAUAGUGGUCUAUAUUCUCUCUAAAAUCCUCCUCAAAAUAUCCUACAAAUAUUUCCCCAGUGAUCCUCCUCAAAUUGUUUCCAGAAAUACUGCCCAGAUAUUUCCCUAGUGAUCCCCUUCGAGUUAUUUCCAGAAAUAAUGCCCAAAUAUUCCACCGAUAUAUCUCCAGAUAUUUUCCUCUUGAGAAAUACCUUCAGAAUCAUUUUUUCAAGUCCCUACAAAUAUUUUCUUCAUAACUUUUCUCAUGCUCAUACGUAUAUGUAUGCCUCCAGUGUCAUACGGUGAGCUCUACAAGCAAAUCUCACUUAUACAAGGCAAAUACAUGCUAACCUCCCACUAAUCAUCUCAUCCUCCCACUAAUCCUCUCAUCCCUCCCCCUAAUCCCCCCACCAUGGCUAUAAAUAGAGGGGCAAGGGCCUCCUCUCAUCCCACCCCAAGUCAUUUCAUGGCAACUCUCUCCCCCCCCACACACACCCACUCCAUGUUCCACACAAGCACACACUAGCACAAGGAUCGUUCGAUCGUUCUUCGAUCGUUCGUCCCCUGUUCUUAGGUUGUUCGUUCGUUCGUCCGAUCGUUCGAUCGUUCGUCCGAUCGUUCAUGGUUCGUUCGUCCGUUCGUCCGAUCGUUCGAUCGUUCGUCCGUUCGUUCGUCCAAAUAAUCUUUUUCCUACCGUUAUGCUGCCGAAAUUCUGAUCAUUCGUUCGUUCGAUCAUUCGAUCGUUCAUCGUUCGUUCAUAGUUCCUAUUCAUCGUUCUUCCAGAUAAUCUUUGUCCUGUCGUUAUGCUGCCGAAAUUCCGAUCGUUCGUUCGUCCGAUCAUUCGAUCGUUCGUCCGUUCGUUCAUAGUUCCUAUUCAUCGUUCAUCGUUCCUAUUCAUCGUUCAUCGUUCGUUCAUACGACUAUUCACCAUCACUAUUCACCGUUACUAUUAACUGACACUAUUCACCAUCGUUACUAUUCAGUGUUACUAUUCAUCAUCGUUACUAUUCAUCAUCGUUACUACUCAUCGAUGAUAUCUAGUAACUUUUUCGUCGUCACUAUUCAUCGUUACUAUUCACCGAUUAGCCGAUCACCCCAAAUUUCAACUACUCAUACAUCAUGUUGUCCAGUCCACCUAAGACCAGCCAGACCCAUAUUCCAGUCAUACGAACUCCGGUGACUGUGAUUUUCUUUCCAGUGGAAACUUCCCAUCUGGUCACCCAUCCCAGGUUUCUCCAAGUUGAGCACGCUUAACUUGAGAUUCCUUCGAACCAGGCUCCCAAACUCAGAUUCCAAUAAUUCUCGUUUCUAAACUCUUAUCAAACUAUUCCCUAUCCAACCAUGUAAUCCCUUAAGCAUGGUCCAUAUUCCAGAAAACUCCCAAAAUACUCUUGUCCCAUAUUCUGCCUAUAACUCUCCUGUUCAUACUAAGUCAGACGAUUCAUUCGUCACUAUUCUCACCAACAGUGAACUUCACUGUGCUACACCACAUACACCCAGCUAUAAAUACACCCAGCUACCCUCUCCCCCUCCACACACACUCAACACCCUCAGCCAAGGCAAACACCCCACCCACUCAGUUACUCUGCUCUGCCGGCUACACGCAUAGUGUCGCUUCGCCUCCAGUCCACCCUCCUGGUAAACACCUCCGCUCCACCACCAGUAAUAUCACAACACCACAUGACACAGAUUCUACUCAAGACUCUACCCAUCCAUAUAUCGCUUUUCUGACCACUAUACUAAAUAUUUGUUGGUAUACUUGCUGGUUUGUAUGUUUGCUUGUUCAUGUUGCAUAGUUAUCGGAGCAUUCGUGCCAUCUCGUGGAGCCCAGAUCUGCAAGUCUACGCCAGGCGGUGGAGCCAGAAGCCAGUUCCGCGAGCUCUCCUUCCCCCUUCGCGGAAUAAGCACGACAAGCUCACUGGAUCUCUUUGAUGCAUAAAUUACCUAUGUUUUUCAACCACAACCCUCAGCCUGUUAUUUUAUGCAUGAUAUGAUUUUGAGAUAUGCUAUUAUGGCCACCCAAGCCGCUUGCCGCAAUCAAUCCUUAAUAUAUUUGUUACAAAUGAUUUGAGAAAGGGUGUGAGUGUUGGGGACUUGUUCUUAAAUGCUAAGAAUUAAGAACAAGGCAACACAAAAAGUGUUAAGUGUUAAAGUCCUUCGUCCUUCGAAGCAUUAUGUCCCUUCGGGAAAUAAUGAGUUUCGGACGAAGGUCAUAAGAGACAUACCUUCGUAAACAUAACAAGUAAUGACGAAGGAUUCAUAUAAAGCAUGAAAUUUAAUAUAAGCAUCAUCAUAAAAUCAUUUCUAUUUUAUUAACAUGGAAAAAUAGAAAUGAUUUCAAAUUACAAAUGUACCUUCGGUCCUGAGAGAAGGUAGAAAGUACAAGCGUGACGCAAAAGCAAAUGCCAAGUCAGCGUGAACAGUACGGGAGUACUGUUCAUCUAUUUAUAGACGCGGGACGCAGCCCACGUAAAAUUACAUUUAUGUCUAUUACAUUUGUCAAUGACUUAUGGAAAUCUGACAAGGUCCACGUAGUCUUUUCAUCUUUAAGUCGGUUCCCCUCUCUGCUAUCGCGACGAAGCUUCCCUGCACACAGCUUCGGCUGUGCACCAUCCUUCGUGGAGCUUGGUAAUUAGCCCGUCCUUCGUCUGGUUCAGGCUUCGUCCUGACCGCACUUCAUGUUCGUAAUUCUGAGUCCGAAGAUACCUGUUCACAUAAUCCACUUGGAAAACAUUGUCAAAUCAUGUUUUUGAGGACCUUCGGAGGACGAAGACCCCCAACAGUAGCCCCUCGCAAUAUUAAUUUGUUUGAAAUAAUAAAUUCAGAUUGCGAUAUGAACGAAGGCUUCAUGCCGAAGGUCCGAAAAAACACCUUCCCUUUGCUAGAAUAGCAACACUCAAUGACAAGUGGGGUCUUUCAACUUUCAACGCAUCAAGCGUAUAAAUACGGCCAUACCGCAAACUUAUUUUGCACGCUUUCUGGCCAACCACUCUUGCUCAUUCAUUUUUUAGCUCUUGUGCACUGUGAUCUGCUAAGCUUUUAGCUUUGAAGCUUCGGCUUUGAAAACAGUUUUUUAGUGUUUCCGAAGAUGUCUGAAGCUGCUAAGAAGGCUGCUGCUGAAAUGAAGCUGAGUCUUGAUGAAGAGAAGAACUUAGGGUUUCUUAUAGCAAUGUCGAAGACCAACACAGAAAAGAUCACCAGGGAAAUUCUGGAAGGGCUGUCUGAAGAUACUGGUGACAGUGAAAGUUACGAUGUGGACAGCGGUGGCGAAGACUCCGAAGAUCGCCCCUGGCGACCAAGCCAUUCAGUUUAUGGUAAAUCAACUAUCAAAGAGAAUCAUCUUGUUAAUAUGAGAGGAAGGUAUUUCCGGGAUCUGUCCAUUGUGAGGGCGGACGAAGGGGAAAAGACUUGUCCACACCCUGAAGAAAAUGAAGUUGUGGUGUACCGAAGCUUUUUGAAAGCCGGAUUGCGAUUCCCCUUGAGCAGCUUCGUCGUGGAGGUGUUGAAAACCUUCGAAGUCUAUCUUCAUCAACUUACUCCAGAGGCUAUUAUAAGGCUAAAUAUCUUCGUGUGGGCCACGAGAAGCCAAGGUCUGAAGCCUGACGCAAGAAGCUUCUGUAAUGUUCAUGAAUUAUUAUAUGAAACAAAACCUUGGGGCAAAGAACAGUACCAUAACAACUUUGGCUGCUACAGCUUCGUCUCUCGGUCCGGGGCAAGCUGUCCCGUACCAACCUUUCGGAAGAGAUGGCCCGGGGAUUGGAUGACAGAAUGGUUUUAUGUGAAGAAUGACUUAUCAGCACGAGAAGACAUCAAAGGUAUAAUUAUGCGUCCUAUUUGGCAAAGCUUCGGCCUUCGGAGGCCGAAGGUUGAAAUGAACGAAGCCGCCGAAGAGUGCCAAAGAGCCUUCGGCGUUGUCUGCUCUUUUAUAGGAACAAGGGACUUAGUACAAGAGCAUAUUGCCUUCAGGGUGUGGCCGCUUGCGGAGAAAUGGGAAAUGCCACAAGAAACCAUUAAAGAGGCCGACGAAGGAGAACUUGUCAGGUUUAAGUACACUUUUAAAUUUGGAGAUAAAUUUAUUGAGCCAGAUGAUGAGUGGUUGAAAAGCAUUGACAAUUUAAGUGAUGAGCUGCUUGGGACCUACUCGAAGGCCGAAGAUAAUGCAAUGUCAGCAGCCUUCGGAGGCCGAAAAAAGAAAAGACUGAAUCGGGUAUUUGAUGCCAUCGGGUUUGUCUACCCUGACUAUUGCUACCCCAUUCGAAGGCAGAAGAGAAAAAAUACAACCUCUACGAAAGAAGAAACUGCAGCUGCUCCUAGCGAGCCAGAACCAAAAAGGAAGAAGAUAAAGGCUCUUACGCAUCGGCCACGUUAUAUUGAACCAGCUUCGGUGCCUGAGUUUACCGGAGAGACUUCUUCGGCCACCGAAGCUGAAAAACCAGCCGAGUCGACCUUGCUGCCAGAAGUCGCAGAAACAGCCGAAGUAUCAACGAAGACAAAAUUGGAGCAAUCAAAAAUUUUGUUACCGGAAACGAAAGAGAAGGCCGAAGCGCCAUUCACAGAAAAAAUGGAAGAGGUAAAGGAAGCAACCGAGGACUCCAAAACAUCAGAAGUUUUGAGUCCUGUGGCAAACAUUGAAACAGUAAGAAAUCAAAAAGUGCCAGCGGUGACUCCGAAAAGAAGGAGAAUGGCUAAUGUGCUGGAUGUGCUGGAAACGAUCAAAUCUUCAAGCACCCCUCCGAAGAAGGCUGCCGUCACUCCUGAAACAACAGUCGAAGCUUCGGGUUCUAAAGCUCCAGAGCAAGAUACUGAAGCCGAAGCUGGGCCCUCAGAGCCCUCAAAGGCAAAAACCUUGGAAAAUGAGGCAGAAAAAAUAACAAAGCCAACUUUUGCUGAAGGAACUGAUGUUGUUACCCCCGAAGCAUCCAAAAUUCGUGAUUAUAUUUUUCGUCAUGCUUCGGGGAAAAAAUUAACAGAAAAAGAAGAACAAGAGGCCCAACACUAUGCCCAAAAGUUGAAAUAUCCAAAGGGGGCGUUGAUAUUUAAUGGCAGUGGAGAAGAAGAUUUCUUGUAUUGCCUCCCCGACAGCAAGGAAAUUUCUGUCUGUCGGGAGAUGAGCAGAAGCUUCGGAUUUCCAACUUUAGAAGACGGACUUUCGGUGCUGUCAAAGAACGAUCUGGCUGACAGCCUAGCUUACAACAGUUUAAAGGUGCGACAAAUGGAAUUCUUAUAUUUUUGUUGAAUUCAAAAUUUUUCAUUUGUUUAAAACUAUUAACACAGACAUAUUCCUGUCUGCAGGGCCUGAUACUCAGCAAUGCCCUCAGAGCACAGAAAGAUGCUGAGGACGAAGGAUGUACUAUAGCCCUGAGCAACCUUCGUUCCGAAGUAAUUGAACUGAGGAACGAAGGUCUCGAAAAAGACAAAAUAUUGCAUUCCUUAAUAAAUAAAAUAAAAGAAGACGAAGCUAUUUUCAAAGGUCAGGCCGAAGCUCAGAAGUGUGAAAUUGAAAACCUUCGUAAACAAUUAGCCAGAGCUAAAGAGGAAUGCAUACUCGAAGAAACAAGGCGAGAACUCAGCGACCAAUGGGCAAAUCAUUUAGAAGAAACUGUUAAAGAGCUUCGGUCAGCCAAGAAGAAAUGCUUCGACAAAUCUAUAGAGUGUGUCAAGAAAAUAAAAACUAGCUUCGCCAGCGUUGGUGCAUUUUCGCAGGAAGAAAACUUUAUAAGAGGUAACCCCGAAGGUCCGCUGGAAUGGAUCAAUCAUGAGGCGGAGGCCUUCGAGGAAAUCCUAAGUAGCCGCGGUGACAUCUGCGCUUUUUCUGGUGCCAGAGGGAUUGCCACUAUUUUGGAGGGGAAAGGAUGUGAACAUGUAAAGAUUUUAUCGCAGUCCGAAGCCACCUUGUCCACUGAAGAUUUAAAAGAUCCUUCAGCCGAAGCUAGCGUGGUUGGGGGAAAAUUUUUCACCGACAUCUGGAACAACGGUGGUAGAGAAAUGGCCCAAGAAAUCAUUCAGAAAAGCGAAAAAGGGAUUCACGAGGCUAGAAAAGUAGCCGAGGCUGCUGAGAAAAACGCAGAGCCCGAAGGGCAAAUAGGUACUAGCGAAUAGUUUUCAUUGCAUUAUAACUUUUAAUUUUAUAGUUCGUUCGCGAUCUGUAAUAAUGAUGUAAUAGUAUCCCGUCCUCACUCAGAUCCUACUAAAGCAUCUUCGGGCCCUCAGCCUAAAGAUGACGACGAAAUUAAAAAGAUGGCCGAAGCUAUCAUGGAUCAGGUUGUCGAUCGACUGCUGAACGAAGCUGCAGAGAUAGUACUUAGGGAAGACUAAGUGCUAUUGCAAAAAACAUUUGAUAUAUGAUUUGUGUAAUAUUCUGUAAUCCUGUAUGUAAUAUACCUGUUUUAUGAUUUAAUUCUUUACGAUGCAUGAAACUUUAAACACGUACCAUUUUUGAGUCUUCGACGAAAAAACACCUUCCCUUCUUUUCAUGCUUCGUGAAGAAGAAUUUAUCAUUUAUCACGACAAUAUCCAUAGUGUUCUGAUAAGAAAUAUCCAAGCUUCGUAAAAAUAAUCUCCGAAGCUAUACCUCGAAAAUUAAUAUUGUUUCUCCCUGUAACUUGGCAUGAUUUGCCCUUUUUCAAAGCAUUUUCCGAAGAUCGAUAACAUGCCCCCUUCUUGUGCCACAUGCAGCAUGAUGUAUGAUGAUUAUGCUAUGCAAAAUGAUGUGAUGAUGUUAUGUUAUGCAGAAUGAUAUUUUGUGCCGAAGAUACGCACAUUCCUGCAAUGGGGCACAAUCUUUUGUAUCAAUACUGACUUUUUCAUUAUAAGUCUCCCUUAGGAGCUUCUUCGCCUUUUACUUCAGCGGAAUCAGCGUUUAUUUUUCGCUGUAAGUUCUGCAUCCCCUUAGGAACGUCUUUGGAACUUCUUCGCCUUUUACUUAGGCGGUAUAAGCUCUGCAUUCCCUUAGGAACGUCUUUGGAGCUUCUUCGCCUUUUUACUUAGGCGGUAUCAGCGUUGACUUUUCGCUGUAUGCUCUGCAUUCCUUUUGGAACGACUUUGGAGCAGAAAACUUACACUGCGCUCCCUUUGGAACGACUUUUUGUGACUUCGUCAGACUUACUCUGCGUUCCUUAGAACGACUUUUUGUUGCUUCGAAGGAUUUUCGAUAGUCCGAAGGUCCUUUUUAUUAUCAUAAACCUGUGAAGAAAACAUAUUUUUCUUGUAGGAAUCAACGAAACUAAUUACAUGAAAUCUAAACAAUGUCCUUUAUUACAAAAAAUAAAACUGAAUGAAAAAGAUUGCUAUUAAGGUAGGAUAUUUGUCAAUAGAUGUGUUUUGACUCUGGCAUGGUGCUGUUGACCGUGCGAGCUUCGGACUGUUCUCUGAAGUCCCUUUGAUGUGGAGCAUAUUGGCUCCCUUCUGGCUGUUGGCCUUGUUGCAACGGAGGUGGAGGCGGGGGCUGUUGCCAGGAGGCUGAAGGCUGACUUGCCGAAGCAGCAGAGAGUGCAGGAUGGUUGCCCACAUAUUCUGGGAUGUAGGGCGAAUGAUACGAAGCAGUGUGCAUGACCUGCUUCGGCUGAGCCUGUUGCGCGGCAGCUUCGGCUAUCUCUUUUUGCUUCUGAAUGGUAACAUGACACAUCCUGGUAGUAUGACCUUUGUUUCCACCACAGAAUAAGCAAAAUAUUCUUCUGGGUUGAUCCCCGAAUCUUCCGCCGAAGCCCCUGGCGCCUCUGCCUCUUGGAGCUGGUGGUCGGAAGGAGCUUUGCUGUUGCCCCGAAGCCUGUGAAGAGCACUGCGGUCUGUUCUGCUGACUCCCCUUAUCAUCAUUCUGAGUGGAGUUGUGGAUGGACCUGACAUGCCUCGGAUAGGAUCUUCCUCCGAAGCCCCUGGUCAUUUCGGAAAAUCUGAAGGCCUCCUCCCUUCUUUGGCGAAAGUCAUUGUCAGCACGAAUGUACUCGUCCAUUUUUUGGAGCAGCUUCUCCAGGGUCUGAGGAGGCUUCCUAGCAAAGUAUUGAGCAGCAGGUCCAGGACGAAGCCCCUUGAUCAUGGCUUCGGUGACAAUUUCAUUGGGCACCGUUGGUGCCUGCGCCCUCAAACGCAAGAAUCUUCUGACAUACGCCUGAAGGUAUUCUUCAUGAUCCUGAGUGCACUGGAACAAGGCUUGAGCAGUGACCGGCUUCGUCUGAAAUCCUUGAAAGCUGGUCAAUAACAUAUCCUUCAGCUUCUGCCAUGAAGUGAUCGUUCCUGGCCGGAGGGAGGAAUACCAGGUCUGAGCAACACUCCUGACGGCCAUAACGAAAGACUUUGCCAUUACUGCAGCAUUGCCACCAUACGAAGACACUGUUGCUUCGUAACUCAUCAAGAACUGCUUCGGGUCCGAAUGGCCAUCGAACAUGGGAAGCUGGGGUGGCUUAUAGGACGAAGGCCAAGGUGUAGCCUGCAGCUCAGCGGACAGAGGAGAAGCAUCGUCGAAAACAAAAUUUCCAUGAUGAAAAUUAUCAUACCAGUCAUCUUCAUUGAAGAAGCCCUCCUGAUGAAGGUCUUUUUGUUGAGGCCUUCGGUUCUGCUCAUUGUGGGUAAGAUGACGGACUUCUUCAGAAGCUUCGUCUAUCUGCCUCUGCAGCUCAGCUAGCCUGGCCAUCUUCUCCUUCUUCCUCUGCACUUGUUGAUGUAGCAUCUCCAUGUCCCUGAUUUCUUGGUCUAGUUCAUCCUCCUGAAUCGUCGGGCUGACAGCCUUCCUCUUCUGGUUUCGGGCCUCCCGGAGAGAGACGGUCUCCUGAUUGGGGUCCAGCGGUUGCAGUGCUGCAGCCCCAGUCGCUGAAGCUUUCUUCGGUGCCAUAGCGAGGGUCUAUAGCUUCCGAAGGUGUUCAAAAAAACUCGAAGUGGAAGUGAGUUCACCGACGGUGGGCGCCAAUGUUGGGGACUUGUUCUUAAAUGCUAAGAAUUAAGAACAAGGCAACACAAAAAGUGUUAAGUGUUAAAGUCCUUCGUCCUUCGAAGCAUUAUGUCCCUUCGGGAAAUAAUGAGUUUCGGACGAAGGUCAUAAGAGACAUACCUUCGUAAACAUAACAAGUAAUGACGAAGGAUUCAUAUAAAGCAUGAAAUUUAAUAUAAGCAUCAUCAUAAAAUCAUUUCUAUUUUAUUAACAUGGAAAAAUAGAAAUGAUUUCAAAUUACAAAUGUACCUUCGGUCCUGAGAGAAGGUAGAAAGUACAAGCGUGACGCAAAAGCAAAUGCCAAGUCAGCGUGAACAGUACGGGAGUACUGUUCAUCUAUUUAUAGACGCGGGACGCAGCCCACGUAAAAUUACAUUUAUGUCUAUUACAUUUGUCAAUGACUUAUGGAAAUCUGACAAGGUCCACGUAGUCUUUUCAUCUUUAAGUCGGUUCCCCUCUCUGCUAUCGCGACGAAGCUUCCCUGCACACAGCUUCGGCUGUGCACCAUCCUUCGUGGAGCUUGGUAAUUAGCCCGUCCUUCGUCUGGUUCAGGCUUCGUCCUGACCGCACUUCAUGUUCGUAAUUCUGAGUCCGAAGAUACCUGUUCACAUAAUCCACUUGGAAAACAUUGUCAAAUCAUGUUUUUGAGGACCUUCGGAGGACGAAGACCCCCAACAGUGAGUUUUCAAAAGAAAAUGCUUUUCAAAAUGUGUAUGAUGAAGGGUUUUCACCCUUAUCACCUUGUGAGUGGGAUAAUCAGGGACUCCCUGGUUUAGGGGAGGGCCUAAGGUGAUGGCUUAGCUGGUUUAGGCGUGAGCAGAAGGAUUGUCCCCUCGUAUAAGGACCGGUUUGUCAUCUUUCACUACCUGUACUCAUGAUAAGUACAACCACUCGAGACUGUGUGGGCAGUCACUCAAUUUGAACUCGUACGGUCCAACCCCAGGGUUAUGAAGGCUGGGGAGCACCGGGAGGAUAAGGAGGGGGAAAGUUUUGUCCGGUUUGGACAUGGUGGUGGCCUGACUCCUUCCGGAUAACCGUUAAGGUUAGGACGUGCGGGGAAAGAAAGAGAUUCGGAUUCGAAUCUCAUUGAUCAUGAGAUCGCAGAGCCGGACUAGUGGGUAAAGUGUACACCUCUGCGCAGAGUUUAAACCUAUUCGAAUAGUCUGUGUCCACAGGAAUGGACGAGUCUGGUAUGGUAUGGCAAUUAAUGUUUUGUUUUAAAAAAAAAGAUGCUUUUGAAAAGUGGUUUUUAAAAAGGUUCGGCGGUUGAGCCGUGAGCUAUGGUGGACGGGAAGUCCAGUAGCUGUUUUUGAAAAGGAAAACCAGUGGGAAACUGCUGAGAUACCUGGAUGGUUUAGUCCAAGGGAUUUUGUUAUAAUACUGAAAAACUUCCUGCUCCUUUUGGAGAGGACGCACUUUGCAAAAAUACAAAAUGUUUUUCAAAACAACUCUGCAUAAAAUAUUGUUGUUUCUGCAAAAUAUCCUGAGCUCCACAUAUUCCAUGCAUUAUAUCUGAUUUCCCCAUUCCGCGGGUGAAGGUGAGCUGCUGAGUACGUUUGUACUCACCCUUGCUUAUUUGUUGUUUUUCAGAAAAAGGAGAUCGGGUAAGAGUUACGACUGUUCCCAACCUUGCCUGUGGCUGUUGGACCGCUGAUUUGCUUCACUGCGUAUAUCGGGCUGCUUCAGCCCCACUCUGAUGAUAUGUCCCGAGUUGUGGACCAACUCUUAAAGUUGUUCGCCACCUUUAUAGGUUGGUCUCGUUUAAGAAGAUCUAGAAUCAUCUGAUGUAUAAAUGUGUUUACUAGCCUCCUGGGACUAGUAAUUGUAUCACAUUUGAGUCCCAGAGGAUCGCGACGCUUCAAUCCGGUCGCGGUCGUGGCAGAAGAGCGAAUGCCAGCUGGGAGUCAGAGUCAGUCUUGGAUCCAAGAUAUAUCGUAGAAGCUGGAGCUGGUACUAAAUCAGACUGAGGCUGCACUGCAGGAGCUGCCGGAGCUGAAGUGGUCACAAACACCGCCACAGCAGCAGUGGUAAUAGCAGGCGCUGGUGGCUGAGCACUGACGGAGCUGAUGACCGGUGAUGAGAAAUCCAGGGUGACCGGCCGGAGCGGAGAGGGAGAAGGACCGAAUGAAGGUAGUGGGGGUCCUGCCUGAAUGGCUAGCACAAUCGCUACCUGAAGCGCUGUAGCAUCCCAAAAAUUCAAAUUCUGAAAUGUUCUCAAACUCGCUCUAAAUUCAAAAUGAAUUUCAAAUUCGUUUCAAAAUGUUUGUUUGCGAGUUGAUAUCAGCAAAUAAAGUAUAGUGGUCUAUAUUCUCUCUAAAAUCCUCCUCAAAAUAUCCUACACAUAUUUCCCCAGUGAUCCCCCUCAAAUUGUUUUCAGAAAUACUGCCCAGAUAUUUCCCUAGUGAUCCCCUUCAAGUUCUUUCUAGAAAUACUGCCCAAUUAUUCCACCGAUAUAUCUCCAAGUAUUUUCUUCCUGAGAAAUACCUUCAGAAUCAUUUUUGAAGUCCCUACAAAUAUUUUCUUCAUAACUUUCCUCAUGCUCACACGUAUAUGUAUGCCUCCGGUGUCAUAUGUUGAGCUCUACAAGCUAAUUACACUCAUAUAAGACAAAUCCAUGCUAAUCUCCCACUAAUCCUCUCAUCCUCCCACUAAUCCUCUCAUCCCUCCCCCUAAUCCCCCCACCAUGGCUAUAAAUAGAGGGGCAAGGGCCUCCUCUCAUCCCACCCCAAGCCAUUUCAUGGCAACUCCCUCCCCCCCACACCCACACGUCCACUUCCACUCCACCUCCCACACAAGCACACACUAGCACAAGGAUCGUUCGGUCGUUCUUCGAUCGUUCGUCCCCCUGUUCUUAGUUUGUUUGUUCGUUCGUUCGAUCGUUCGAUCGUUCGUCCGAUCGUUCAUGGUUCGUUCGUCCGAUCGUUCGAUCGUUCGUCCGUUCGUUCGUCCAAAUAAUCUUUUUCCUGUCGUUAUGCUGCCGAAAUUCCGAUCGUUCGUUCGUUCGAUCAUUCGAUCGUUCAUCGUUCGUUCAUAGUUCCUAUUCAUCGUUCAUCGUUCGUUCAUCAUCACUAUUCACCGUUCAUCGUUCGUUCAUACGACUAUUCACCAUCACUAUUCAUCGUUACUAUUCAUCGUUACUAUUCACCGAUCAUCUGAUCACCCCAAAUUUCAACUACUCAUCCGUCAUGCUGUCCAGUCCACCUAAGACCAGCCAGACCCAUAUUCCAGUCAUACGAACUCCGGCGACUCUGAUUUUCCUUCCAGUAGGGAACUUCCCAUCUGGUCACCCAUCCCAGAUUUCUCCAAGUUGAGCACGCUUAACUUUGGGAUUCUUUUAAGCCAGACUUCCAAAAAGAAAGGCAAACCAUGUUUGUAUGGAUACGUCUUCAAUCCUAUAAAACCUGGCCCAAGAUACCACAGCCCACUCGGACCAGAGUACCACAACAUUCCAGCUAUUUGGGUCCCGCCUCACUAUUGUCUGAUGUGACACAGUAGGUAGGAACAGUUUCCACCAACAUAAACCUCUGCCCUAGAAAAGCCCAAAAAUAAUUCCUCGCACCCCGCUCAAAAAUACAUUGAUUUUCCAAAUAUCUCUAAAUAUUCAAAUUCUAGAAUAUUCCAAGAAUAUUCCUUUCCUUUUCUUCUUCUCCCUAUGAUUAUAAAAUCUAAAACUCCUCCAUCCAAACUCAGAUUUCAGUCAUUCUUGUUUCUAAAAUUCUUGUCAAACUAUUCCCUAUCCAACCAUGUCAUCCCUUAAGCAUGGUUCAUAUUCCAGAAAACUCCCAAAAUACCCUUGUCUCAUAUUCUGCCUAUAACUCUCCUGUUCAUAUUAAGUCAGACGAUUCAUUCGUCACUAUUCUCACCAACAGUGAACUUCACUGUGCUACACCACAUACACCCAGCCAUAAAUACAUCCAGCUACCCUCUCCCUCUCCACACACACUCAACACCCUCAGCCAAGGCAAACACCCCACCCACUCAGUUACUCUGCUCUGCCGGCUACACGCAUAGUGUCGCUUCGCCUCCAGUCCACCCUCCUGGUAAGCACCUCCGCUCCACCACCAGUAAUAUCACAACACCACAUGACACAGAUUCUACUCAAGACUCUACCCAUCCAUAUAUCGCUAUUCUGACCACUAUACUAAAUAUUUGUUGGUAUACUUGCUGGUUUGUAUGUUUGCUUGUUCAUGUUGCAUAGUUAUCAGAGCGUUCGUGUCGUCUCGUGGAGGCCAGAUCUGCAAGUCUAUGCCAGGCAGUGGAGCUAGAAGCCAGUUCCGCGAGCUCCUCUUCCCCCUUCGCCGGAUAAGCACGACAAGCUCACUGGAUCCCUUUGAUGCAUAAAUUACCUAUUAUUUUUCAACCACAACCCUCAGCCUGUUAUUUUAUGCAUGAUAUGAUUUUGAGACAAGUUAUUAUGGCCACCCAACCGCUUGCCGCAAACAAUCCUUGAUAUAUUUGUUACAAAUGAUUUGAGAAAAGGUUUGAGUGUUCAAAAGAAAAUGAUUUUCAAAAUGUGUAUGAUGAAGGGUUUUCACCCUUAUCACCUUUGAGUAGGGAUGAUCAGGGACUCCCUGGUUUAGGGGAGGGCCUAAGGUGGUGGCUCAGCUGGUUUAGGCGUGAGCAGAAGGAUUGUCCCCUCAUAUAAGGACCGGUUUGUCAUCCUUCACUACCUGUACGCAUGACAAGUACAACCACUCGAGACUGUGUGGGCAGUCACUCAAUCUGAACUCGUACGGUCCAACCCUAGGGUUAUGAAGGCUGGGGAGCACUAGGAGGAUACGGAGGGGGAAUGUUUUGUCCGGUUUGGACAUGGCGGUGGCCUGACUCCUUCCGGUAUAACCGUUAAGGUUAGGACGUGCGAGGAAAGAAAGAGAUUCGGCAUUCGGGUCUCACUAGCUAUGAGAUCGCAGAAACCGGACUAGUGGGUAAAGUGUACCCCUCUGCGCAGAGUUUAAACCUAUUCGAAUAGUCCGUGUCCACAGGAAUGGACGAGUCUGGUAUGGUAUGGCAAUUAGUGUUUUGUUUUAAAAAAAAGAGGUGCGUUUGAGAAAAGUGAUUUUUAAAAGGUCCGGUGGUUGAGCCGUGAGCUAUGGUGGACGGGAAGUCCAGUAGCUGUUUUUGAAAAGGAAAACCAGUGGGAAACUGCCGAGAUACCUGGAUGGUUUAGUCCAGGGGAUUUUGUUCUAAUAUUGAAAAACUUCCUGCUCCUUUGGGAGAGGAUGCGCUUUGCAAAAUACAAAAUAUUUUACAAAACAACCCUGCAUAAAAUAUUGUUGUUUCUGCAAAAUAUUCUGAGCUCCACAUAUUCCAUGCAUUAUAUCUGAUUUCCCCAUUCCGCGGGUGAAGGUGGGCUGCUGAGUACGUUUGUACUCACCCUUGCUUAUUUGUUGUUUUUCAGAAAAAGGAGAUCGGGUAAGAGUUACGACUGUUCCCAACCUUGCCUGUGGCUGUUGGACAGCUGAUUUGCUUCGCUGCGUAUAUCGGGCUGCUUCAGCCCCACUCUGAUGAUAUGUCCCGAGUUGUGGACCAACUCUUAAAGUUGAUCGCCACCUUUAUAGGUUUGUCUCGUUUAAGCAGAUCUCUAAUCAUCUGAUGUAUAAAUGUGUUUACUAGCCUCCUGGGACUAGUAAUUGUAUCACAUUUGAGUCCCAAGGGAUUGGGGCGCUUCAGCUGGUAUCAAAGCUGUUAGGUUGGCCGCAGGACGUAACCCUUAGCCUGAUCCAAAAGUUUUUGAGUCAAAACUAUUUUCUUAAAAAAAAUAUUGCUCUCAUCCCUUCAUUUCAAAAAUAUUUUCCCCUUUCCUUCUCUCAGAAGUCAGAUGGAGGUCCGUUGCCAAACCAGCUUUUGCCAGAAUGAAGAUGGUUUCCCCAAGUUGUUGAGAGCAUGCACAGUUCGCCUCGGAAUCAGGAGCCAGCCAGAGUAUGAUGGUCGUGAAUUUGUCGAGCAUGGCACAGAGAAGUGUGUCGUGACUGUAUACAUUGGAUCCAGUCCGCACCAUGUGGAAUGGAGUGUCACUGCUGCUGGGCACAUAUUCAAAGACACCUGCCAAGUCGUCGCCCACAAGGCAUUGAGGGCCCUGUGUCAGAUCUAUGAAUAAGAAGUGGCCGACACCCCGCUCAGAUUAUUUCCGCCCUUUCAGAGAAACCGUCCCGUUUGGAUGGCCAGGAUGCGUGCAUUGGAAGGGCAGCAGUUGCUUGAGGACGACCCCACAGUCGUGUACCUCACUGCAUACCUGCUCACCCUGGAUGCACAGUAUGAUUUCUUGGCUCGGCACCACCGUCAGAUGAUUGCCUGAGCAGAAGAUGCAGAGAAGUGCAACCGUAAGCUCCAUGUGGAUCUCACCACAGCUCAAGCCCGUGUAGCUGCCUUGGAAAGUCGUGAAGUCAUUGCUGUUGAAGCCCUGAAGCAAGCCAAAGUUGAGCACAUCCAGGAGUUGAUGGAGGCCUACUUGGUAACCCAUAACCAACGUAGAGCCCUGCGGAUCCAAGAGCCCGCUUCAUCCAACCCUGUUCAACCCAUCAGAGCUGAAGACCCCCAGAUUCUUGAAGGUCACCCGGUCUCUAUUAGAGGAGAGAUGAAGACUUAGGAACUACCGGAAGGAGCCAUAGUCUUGGAAGGAAUUCCAGUCUUCCCUCAGGCUACGGAUAAGCAAGAGCACCCUGAAUCCUCCCAAGAUCCCCCACCGGAGUUGUUUGAGCCCCUCACCAUGAAGAAGAUUCCAGCACCGUCCCAUGAGAUCAAAGAAGAAGCUACAAGCACCCCGCCAGCACCGCCACCCUCUAAGGAGCUACAAGGGUCAGUCCCGUUCGAAGAAGAGUUCAACCCCGUGUUGCCAUCUCAGUCGCCGCCAGAAGAAGUCAUCAACAUCAGCUCCCUCUUGACCCAUCCAGGAGAUGUCUUAGAUUGAAGUUGUGCGCCAGCCUUGCCAGAAGAGAAGCUGCCAGAUCUGAAGUUAGUUAUGCCCAGUCCUCUGCGUGCAUUGGGUAGUGAAGUUUUUCUUCACUUUGGUAGAGCCCUACAUGUAUGAGAGGUAACUGUGUAGCCGCGUGUUUUGAAAAACUCUAAUUGUGUGGCCCCCUAGGGCAUUUCAAAAUGAAUUUCGCUUGAUGUUUUCUCCUCUUUUUGAGUGCAUAUGUGAUGCUUUAACGUUAGUGCUCAUAAGUUGCAUUUAGCAUAGUCUUCAAUUCAGGAGCCAAGCAAUAGUAGUUAUGCUUAGCCCCCGAAUCUGAGUAGUUCGUGCUUUGGAAAAACUCUAUUCUUCCCUUAUUCAAAACAUUUGAUUUGUUUGUGCUUAUCAUUGCUGAGCUUGUGUGUUUUCUUUCUUUUUAAGAAAGGUUUUCUCUAAAAACAUAGAUCACAAAUUAGAGCUAAUCCUCACCUUAUGCUUCCAUUCUCAUCUUAACCCAUCUUAAGAGAAAAGCACCUUGCCCAAGAAGAUACCGGGAAGCUUACCAUUGAAGCCUGGAAUAAGCUAUAGAAGAAACCAGUCCAGCCGCUCAGUCAAAAGGACCGACCGUGAGAAUCAAAGCACUGCCCCUGAGUCAAAGUAAACAGAAAAAGAGGACAGAAGGAGUUAUUACCAUACAGAGAGGCAAAGAUUCUUGGAACCAGAGACCACAAACAUCAGGGUCGUUGACCCCACCACUCACCCAUGCUCCCCGCACGCGUGCCCUGCCUCCAUGCGCACUACCACCGCCCCAUGCCCUUUUUGCAGCGCACCCACCGCCGCCAUUACCGCCAGCAACACCAUCCCCCCUCCAUCGAACUUGUUACCUUGUGUCACCUGCUCCAUCACCACUACUCCGCAACCAAACACCCCCGCUCGCCUAUAAAACCCCCCCACCAGCUCCCUCAACUCCCAUCUCGCUCAAAGCAAAGCACACAUCUGAUAAAUCCCCUCUGCCAAAUAGCCAGCUGUGGGGGACAAAUAUCCCCCGGGUCCACUGGAAGGAUAAAAGACCUCACGAAAGGCCCGAGGGCCCAAUAAUUCGUAAGGUCAUCCCUUCGUGGACCUAGGGAAGAAUGACCAGUGAAGCAGAUCGACACGAGACCGGAUCGGUGCGAGCCCAGACGGCCCAACAACGUCGAGCAAGUAACCACAGCAGAGACCUGACUUUCCCGCGCUGGAGCCCCGUACAACGGAACCAAGAGAGGAUGAGUCGGCAGAACUAUAGGAAGAUAGACUCAAUCAGUUCACUAUCUCUUAGGUGUGCAUUAUUAUCAUAUCCACAUGUAUUGCCUCAUGGUCGAAUAUAUAAGACCUAGGGGCACCCCUUCAGAACGAUCGAUCUCACUACUCAGCCAUCCACCCUAGCUCUCUACGUUCUAGCGUUAGAGAGCUCCCUUGUAAUCCACCACAUAAAGCAUUCUCGCCAGGACGUAGGGUGUUACGCAUCUCAAAGCGGCCCGAGCCUGUACACCAUUCUCUACUGUUUCUCGUGCACCCUGCAUGAACCAUUGAGCUACAGUCGGUAACACCGUCCUACUCCUAAAAACACCUUGAGGGGCAACCCCGGGUGUGCGGUCGGACCCAAAACACCGACAGCUGGCGCGCCAGGUAGGGGGUGUGUCGCCGAUCUAAGCUAGAUCAAUGGCCGUCACCUUCCACUGCAAGAUCACCCUCCGCCCCGGAUCUAUGUUCCGCUUUGGAACUAUCUCAUCCGUAGCAGAUGAAGAAGGAACUCUACAUCGCAUCGCAGAUCCGCCAAGGAAGAAGUCUCCUCCAACAACCUCCAAAAAUGUCGGAGUAAGGCAGGGAAAAGCGCAACCUCCAGCGCUCCGAAAAAAGAUCGCCUUCAGCAAGCCAGGGGCCAAGGGCCCACUGACCCAGAGAACUCCACUGUCUACUUCCCCGACGAAAGAAUGGACACAAAUCGCAAGGAAGAAAGAAACAAAUAAAACUGGGAGGAAGCAAGUUGUUCUUUCCGUUCCUCCGCCCUCAAAGGAGAACGGAAAGAAGAUCGCCACGACCGCCGCACCAUUCUACCCCGACGUCCUCUUCAUCGGGAGAGUGGAGUCGUCCCCAUCUCCGACGACGAGCCGACCGCGCCCGGAGAAGAACCUCCUCAGCGGGAAUCCCGCCGACGGAGGAACCGACGCUGAAAUAUCCGGCGACACCACGAGGCCGGAGAGCGGGACCCGGAGCAGCCUGUCUCGCGAGACGAGGUCUCAGAGAUAGGAGAAACUCCGGAGGAACGCAUCUUCAGAGAACGAAGGAACUCCCGACCGCAUGAUCGCCGACGAGCUUAGGAACAAGCCGAGCAGGAGGCAAGGCAACAUCGGGAGAAUCCACUCUUCGGGCGCAACCUGAACCCCGACUUUGCCCGAGCCAUGAACACGCCGAGUGAAGUUGGCAGGGUACUAGCUCGGAUAGUUGAUGGACUCCCUCGGACUCCCGACGCCGAGGGCUAUCGACGACUGUUCACCCAAGCUGCCAACCAUCUUCUACCUCUCGCUCACCCGCCGAACGACCUACGACACACCAUCAACAGCCACCGGGACGCGCAAAGCUCCAUCAACGCUUCGAGUGAACGACGACAUGAGAACGAGAUCCGCCGCCGGGAAGAGUACGACAGGGAUCACGAUAUCUCAGCUCAGAGUCAGGCCACCAGAACUGAGUCGGCAACGACCUCGACUGGCGGUACCACCCGGGGACGGUCGAGGAACCACAACAACUACUCCCCUCCCCGGGACAGACAUCAUCCCCGACGACAAGAAGACACGUGUGGAGUGUCUGCACUUACUCCACGCCUUAGAGCCAUUCAAUGGCCCCCUAACUUCAAGGUAUCCAAUGUCAACAAAUAUGAACCUAAGCAGGAUCCAGGAGGCUGGCUGGCCGUCUACACCACCGCUGCUCGAGCUGCCGGGGCGUCCGAGGACGUGAUGACCGCAUACUUACCCAUUGUCCUCGGGCAAGACGCGCUACAAUGGCUGCGACAUCUACCCCGACACCGCAUCGACGACUGGAGCGACUUCAGUCGACGCUUCACUGCCAACUUUCAGUCCCUCUCCGAUAAACCAGCGCAACCAUGGGACCUCAAAUCCAUCAAGCGCCGGGGGACGAAACUCUUCGGUCAUACCUCAAAAGGUUCCAGACCAUGAGAAAUCGUAUCCCCGAGGUCACGGAGGCGGCCGUGAUCGAUGACUUCUACAGAGGAUCCAACGACUCGGCUUUCGUCCGGGCUAUAUUGCAGAAGGCGCCGACUACCUCCGAGCAACUGUUCCAGGAAGCCGACCUCUACAUCACCACCGACGAGCGAGCUCAGGACCUCAUCGGGGGAGCGAAGCCCGCACCGGCAGCACCACGACGCGACACGAACCAGUAACCCGACAAACGCUGGGAGAAGAGGCCUCGCGAAGAAGUGCACGCCGCCGGACCACCUGCCUCUCGUGCCCGGGGAGGGCCUCGCGGAGGCGAACGCACGCUGGACGACAUCCUCGACGCCCAGUGCCCAUACCACAAGGACAUGCACCACACCCUUCGGAACUGCAGAGACUUCAAGCACUCCGUCGGACAUGGCCGGCCCUUCCAACCUCUACCUCCUCCUCCACCGUGGGGAGGACCAGGAGAACCACGACAACCCCAGCAGGAGGAGGAGGGAGGAGGUGGAGCCUUCCCGCGCGUUGACAGAGAGGUCAACGUCAUCUUCGGCGGACACGGGUCGCAGGAGAACAGAAGACAACAAAAGCUCAACGAUCGCCAGAUAUUGGUGGCGACCACCGGUACUCCCACUCCGUAUCGAUGGUCGGAGCACCCGAUCACCUUCACUCGGGCAGAUCAAUGGCUCAACUUCGACCACCUAGGCAAAUACCCGCUCCUCGUCGAUCCGGUGAUCCGAGAGAGCAGGGUGAAGAAGGUAUUAGUGGACGAGGGGAGCAGCAUCAACGUCACCUUCCCCCGGACACUCCAAGGCUUGGGAGUUCACCUCAAAGAGCUCCACGAGUCAGACACUCCUUUCUUCGGCAUCGUGCCGACUAAAGGAGAAUACCCGCUGGGCCACAUCUACAUGCCAGUCACCUUCGGAACUCUGGAGAACUACAGAACCGAGUUCCUAAGAUUCGAAGUGGCAAACUUCGACUGCGGGUACAACGCCAUCAUCGAGAGGCCGGGAUUGGCAAAAUUCAUGGCCAUUCCACAUUACACAUACAUGAUAUUGAAGAUGCCAGGGCCGCAAGGAAUCAUAACUGUGCGCGCCGACUUCCAAGGCGUUGCAGAAUGUUUCCGAGUGGCCAUCCAGGCGGCCCUCACCACCAAACCGUCGACGACUUCUUCGACGCAGGCAAACUCUAAGCCUGAGGAAGACCUUGCAGCACCUGCAAAUGAAGCUCAAGUCGCGACCUCUAUGCGGCCGACUGAAGAAACCAAAAGGAUCAACCUUGGGUUCGCUGAUGAACGCAAGACUGCCAUCAUCAGCUCCAGCCUGGAUGACAAAUAGGAAGGCGCGCUCGUCCAGUUUCUGCAAGAUAACCGAGACAUAUUCGCAUGGCAACCUGCAGAUAUGCCGGGAGUCCCGAGAGAACUGGCCGAGCACAAACUGAAGGUCUAUCCCCAGGCGAGGCCGAUUCGGCAAAAACUACGUCGCUUCACGCCCGACAAGAGAGAGGCCAUUCGCGCUGAGCUGGCCCGCUUGGUCGCGGCUGGGUUUAUUAGAGAGGUGUUACAUCCUGAGUGGUUAGCCAACCCUGUUCUUGUACUCAAAAAGAAUAAAGUGGAUUAGCGCAUGUGCGUCGACUAUACGGAUCUCAACAAACACUGUCCAAAGGAUCCCUUCGGGCUUCCUAGGAUAGAUCAGGUGGUAGAUUCCACCGCUGGAUGUUCUGUGCUAUCUUUCCUGGAUUGCUACUUUGGAUAUCAUCAGAUUAGCUUGGCAAAAGAGGACGAGGAAAAAACAGCGUUCAUCACUCCGUUCGGUGCUUUCUGCUAUACCUCCAUGCCGUUCGGCUUCAAAAACGCUAGAGCGACUUAUCAGAGAGCCAUUCAAACAUGCUUAGCCGAUCACUGGGGCAAGCGUGUGGAAGCCUAUGUAGAUGAUGUGGUAAUCAAAACGGAGAACUCGGAAAAUUUCAUCAAAGACUUACAGCUGGUUUUCAACAGUCUACGGCGAUAUCGAUGGAAGCUUAAUCCCGAAAAAUGUGUCUUUGGGGUACCAGCAGGAAAGCUACUCGGAUUUAUUGUCAGCCACCGGGGAAUUGAAGCUAAUCCGGAUAAGAUCGAAGCUAUCAUGAAAAUGGAGGCACCACGAUCACAAAAGAAAGUUCAGAGACUUACCGGAUGUAUGGCAGCCCUGAGCAGAUUCAUAUCCAGACUGGGAGAAAAAGGCUUGCCAUUUUAUAAGCUACUCAAGAAGGUGGAUAAGUUUCAGUGGACCUCAGAAGCACAGGAAGCCCUAGAUGCACUGAAAACAUUCUUGACGACACCACCAGUGCUGAAGCCGCCACGGCGAGCCAUGUCAACUCAACCAGCUGAAGAUUUGCUGCUGUAUGUCUCUUGCACGACUCACGUGGUAAGCACCGCGUUGGUAGUCGAGCGAGCAGAAGAAGGACAUGCCUACCCAGUGCAACAUCCUGUUUAUUUCAUCAGUGAAGUUCUGGGUCCCUCGAAGAAAAAGUAUCCUCAAGUUCAGAAGCUAUUAUAUGCAGUACUUCUAACUGCCCGCAAGCUACGUCACUACUUUGACGACCACAAAGUCAUAGUAGUCACUGGUUUUCCGAUAGGGGAUAUCCUUCACAACAAGGAAGCCAUUGGCCGAAUAGCCAAGUGGGCCUGCGAACUGGGAUCUCAUGACAUCGAAUUUCGACCUCGCACUACCAUCAAAACUCAAGCAUUGGUUGACUUCGUAUCAGAAUGGACUGAACAACAAGUACCAGAUAACCCAAAAACCACAGAAGUAUGGCGAAUGUAUUUUGAUGGCUCAUUAAAACUGCAGGGAGCAGGCGCGGGGAUUCUCUUUACCGCACCUGGAGGCGAGCACCUCAAAUAUGCCCUCCAGUUGUUAUUUCCAGCCUCCAACAACGCAGCCGAAUAUGAAGCUCUGAUUCGUGGACUGAACAUUGCUAUAUCACUAGGCAUCAAGAGACUGAUGGUAUACGGAGAUUCUCUGGUAGUCAUAAGCCAGAUAAACAAAGAAUGGGACUGUUCGAGCGAUUCAAUGGGAAAGUACUGCACCGCCGUCCGGAAACUAGAAGAUAAAUUCGAAGGUCUGGAAUUUCACCAUGUAGAAAGAGAUCGAAACACGGCAGCUGAUGUAUUCUCCAAGCUAGGAUCCAGUCGAACUCAGGUCCCACCUGGAGUCUUUGUACAAGAAAUACCACAUCCAAGCAUCUCAAUGGACCAGACAGAAGAAUGUAAUACCGUGAACCAACUAGAGUCAGAUUCUGAUGACUGGAGAAGGCCGAUCAUCAGAUAUAUAAAGAAUGAAGAGGAACCAGAUGACAAAAACACAGUCGAGCACAUCGCUAGACAGUCAGCUCACUACACACUCAUUGGGGAGACACUAUACAGAAGGGGUGCAUCGGGCGUCCUCAUGAAAUGCAUUCUCUCAUCUACUGGGAAGCAACUUCUAGAUGAGGUCCAUGCUGGGCAAUGUGGAAUACACGCAGCAUCCAAGAUACUAGUCGGGAAGGUCUUCAGGUCGGGAUUCUAUUGGCCAACAGCGAAAAGUGAUGCAGCCGAGUUAGUUCAGAGGUGCGAAGCUUGCCAGUACUUGUCAAAGCAACAACAUCUACCAGCACAGCAACUGCAGACCAUACCAGUAACUUGGUCGUUCGCAUGCUGGGGACUGGAUAUGAUUGGACCUUUCAAGAAAGCUCAAGGAGGAUACACUCAUGUACUGGUAGCAAUCGACAAAUUCACUAAAUGGAUAGAAUUCAAACCCAUUGCUUCUUUAACCUCAACUAAGGCCGUGGAAUUCGUACAAGACAUAAUAUUCAGAUUCGGAAUACCGAACAGUAUCAUAACUGACCUAGGAUCCAACUUCACAAGUUCAGAGUUCUUCAAUUUCUGCGAACAAAAGAGCAUUCAGAUCAAGUAUGCUUCGGUGGCACACCCAAGAGCCAACGGGCAGGUUGAACGAGCUAACGGGAUGAUAUUAGAGGCACUCAGGAAAAAGGUCUUCGAUAAAAAUGAAAAGUUCGCAGGAAAAUGGAUAAGGGAGUUGCCCUACGUUGUUUGGAGCCUAAGAACUCAACCUAGUCGAGCUCUGCAUGGAAAUACUCCUUUCUUCAUGGUCCAUGGGUCAGAGGCAGUAUUACCCGCUGACCUCAAGUUUGGGGCACCAAGGUUGAUCUUUGAAAGCAUAGCAGAAGCCGAGGCUACUAGGCUAGAGGAUGUUGAUGUACUCGAAGAAGAACGGCUGAACACGGUAAUUCAAUCAGCACGGUACCAGCAAACUCUGAGGCGUUACCAUGAUAAGGCCAUGCGACGUCGAUCCUUUGCAGUGGGAGAUCUUGUCCUCCGCCGAAUUCUAACGGGGGAGGGACGACACAAGUUGUCACCCCUAUGGGAAGGACCAUUUAUAGUAGCAGAAGUCACUCGGCCGGGAUCAUAUCAUCUCACUCAGAUGGACGGCACGGAAAUUGGGAACUCAUGGAAUAUAGAACACCUUAGGAAGUUUUAUCCCUAGCUGUAUUUCAAAAGCUAUCGGGACGACAAUGUACUCUGUAAAAUGGGAAAUAUGUCAUCAAUAAAAAAGGCUUCAAGAAUACUCAGUUUGUUCAUGAUCGACCUACAUUCUUACUUAACUCGGGGUGACCACUAUGCCCUGCUAACGGAGCAAUCGGCUUAAGUCGGCAACGACUUAAGACGGUGCAACAUGCUCGCGCUUACUUAACUCGAGGUGACCACUAUGCCCUGCUAACGGAGCAAUCAGCUUAAGUCGGCAACGACUUAAGACGGUGCAACAUGCUCGCGCUUACUUAACUUAGGGUGACCACUAUGCCCUGCUAACGGAGCAAUUGGCUUAAGUCGGCAACGACUUAAGACGGUGCAACAUGCUCGCGCUUACUUAACUCAGGGUGACCACUAUGCCCGGCUAACAGAGCAAUCAGCUUAAGUCGGCAACGACUUAAGAUGGUGCAACAUGCUCGCUCUUACUUAACUCGGGAUUACUACUAUGCCCUAUUAACAAAAGCAAUCGCUUUAAGUCAACAACGACUUAAGACGGUUCCACAUGCUUACAAUUACUCAUAUAGGGGCGACUUCUAUGUCCUGUGAAGAAGUUUCAAAAUCAUCAUACAACAUUUUAGUUCUGCAAAUUUAGAUACUGCUGAAUUCUAAACCGAAAGGAGAAUAACAGUAGCAUUCAAAUGUCAAGCUGGUGUCCUCUAACAAAAUAUCCGAGCACGAUAACCGCGCGCUCAAAGCAUGCAAUGUUUUUCUAUUUUGCAACAUUCCUCUCAGGAGCAACCGACGAAGAAGGGCGACUUGAGGAAUCAGGAGCAGCGUUCACAUCAGCCCUUAUAUCGUCGGGAACAAUCACACCGGGUCUCCUCAUCAAGAUCCGCCCUGCGCGAAUGGCUUUAUCCAUGGCUCUGUCACGCUGGGCCCUCAGAGUAACGGAAGUCUCUUCAGCAACCUUGACAGCCAUCUGAGCGGUUUCUAGCUCCUAGGAGAGGGACUUUUUGGAAGCACGCAGUUCCUUGAUGACAGCAUCCUUAGCCGAUAUCGACUGCCUGAGACGAAUCACGUCAUCCGAAGACUCCUGCAGCUUACAGCGAUGAUUGUCUAACUCCUCCAUGGUGAAGCGAUGGCUCCUCUCCAAGAUGGUCAAUGAGUUGCUGGAGUCACGAUAUAGCUUGUCAAGAUUGUCACGAGAAGCAACAAGGGCACGUUUUUCUUCCUGCAAACAAGAAUUAACUUCUUCAAACAUCGAGCAAGCAAUAAGAACAUGGCAAAACAAAGCUCGGGUUUUCAGGUCACCUUUUCAGAAUCAAGCUGAGCGCGGAGAGUAGAGUUCAACACGUUGGCAUCGUUCAGAGCAGCAGAAACUUGGGCCAGCUCAGUCUGACUUUGAGAAUACUUUUCUUCAAAAUCAGAGCACCGCCGGACCAAUUCAGCCUGAUUUUGAGAAUGUUUCUCUUCAAGAACAGAAAACUGCCGAGCCAUAUCUAGCGAGAAACGGUCAAGCAAAAAGUUUAGCUUGAGAAGCAGUUUUAUAAGAUAGACGAAAGGAAGCAGAAAAGCACUAACCAGCAUUCAUCGCCUCUAAGUCAGAGACACGCUGUUGAAGCAGCACCAGAUUCCAACGUGCCAGAGACGAAGCUCUUUCUAGAACAGAAGCACCUUGCAACUUUAGCUGACUAGCCAUCCCGUCCACGAAUGCCUGAUAUUGAGAGCAGAUGAGUGUAAUGACAACAGUUCAUCUGGUGUAAAAGUCAGACUAGAAUAGAUCAUAGUACCUGGAGGUUGGAGAAGAAUGAGGGGACUCCCAAAUCGUGAGAAAUCAAUUGAUAGCUUGGCGUAGGGUCUCCACCCGGAGCAACUUGCAAUGAACCAGCAGGGACCAACUCAGUGUCAUCAGCAAAGCCCAAAACUUUGUCGUCAGGAACGCUAGCCUCUAAAGCGACUCCUUGACCAAAAGCUUGGGCUAACACCAUGCAACCAGAGUGUGGAGGAGAUCCUGCGUGAACAUCCAUGGAAGUACAAGAGGGAGACCCCGCUCGGACACCCUCGGGGGCUGGGUCAUAGUUUGCACUACCCACUUGAGCCGGAUCGUCUCCGGCAAUACCCUCGGGGGCUGGGUCGCGGCUUACGCUUCCCACCUGAGCCGAAUAAUCCCCGGCAACACCCUCGGGGGCUGGGUAAGUGUCAACACCAUCCUUGAGGGCCAAGUUCUCUGCGGCGGUCACCUCUAAGGCUGAAGGUCCCUCAGUUACUUCCAUGGGAGCAAGACGAUCCAAGUCAGUUUCCUGACCCUCAAGACCGCGCUCCAAGGUCGAUGAGGCGCGGGAUGCUGCCCGGGAUGACCCCAACCCGGCGUCGAACACAUCAGCACAAACAUCCAUCGCAUCACCGUCCGCCGGCUUUGAUAACAGAUCCUCUGGAACCAUAUCUUCAAGAGUCUGAUCAAAGUUCGCAAGAGACAAUUCUUGUAGACCAAUGGUGGCCUCUCUAUAACCUAUCCGGGGCAGUAGUGUCCGUCUCAUGAUCUAAUAGAGAUACUUGGCUGCUGGAGUGAAAUAUGCUGGAGAGCGCCGCGACCCAUCUGUGAAAGGCGGUCGGAACAGAGCCGCGACGUGAGCUGUGGCUGGAGCGACCCUGCCGUGAGGGCAUCGAGGAGGAUCAGAGGUACCAUAGCACAAGUUGUGAAGGCGAGUCGACGACUCGGGAAAUCCAAACAACUGACGGAUCUGGCUGGCAUGAAUAGUGAAAGGGAAAUAGGGUUAACAUUUUCCCAGUAUUAAUUUUGGUGGUUGAAUGCCCAACACAAUUAUUGAAUUAACUAGUUUGCUCUAGAUUAUAUACUCUACAGGUGCAUAAAGGUUCAACACAAACCAAUAUAAGAUUGAAGAAAGGGUUCAAAAAGAAAGGAGCAAAGGAACCGAGUGUGCCCUGGCCUAGCGCACCGGACUAUCCGGUGUGCCACCGGACAGUGUCCGGUGCACCAAGACAGUACAGAGUCCAACAAGCCACUCUCGGGUUUUAGCAGGCACACUCCGCUAAAAAUCACCGGACUGUCCGGUGUGCCAGCGGAGCAACGGCUACUUCACGCAACGAUCGACUGCAAAAGUACCUGACGCGAGGAACAGUGCGCGGCAGAGUCAGAGCGCAGUGUUAGAGGCGCACUUGACAGUGAACAGUACCUAUCCGGUGCGGCACCGGACUGUCCGGUGCCCCAUGAGGACAAAGCCUCCAAUGGUCGACCUGCUCCUAACCCUAACAGUUGGGUGACGUGGCCGGUGCGCCCAUCGCCAGCAGCCUUCCUCAACGGCUACAAGAUGGUUGGUGGCUAUAAAUACCACCCCAACCGGCCAUUUCAAGGUGUGGGAGCUCAAGCAAUAUUCCAAGUCAUAUAGUUGACAUAUCCAAGCUGAUGAGGACAUCAUUUCUAUACAUACAAUGAAUGGACCGAUAACACGAUCUCGUGCACGACAGCUAAAUCUCCAGGUACGUUCUACCCUAGUCAAUUGUGUUUCAGAGCUUACGCUUGGGGCCAUGGAUGUUUUGAUGAUUAGGUACCUUGGAGAGGACUAGCAAGGACUUGGGAAAGGCCAAGGUGUUGAGGAGGAGCAGCAAGGGCCGCCACAAUAGGAAGGAGAUCAAGUCCGACUCGGCUGCGACUCCAUCUCGGGUUCCAGCACUAGUCUGCACUAAAAUGGACGCCUAGGAUGCAUCCGGACUCCGAUUGCGACGAACUUGAUAUGGUUGGAAAGAUAAGGAGAUUAUCUAACCAACCCAACUGGUUCCACCUUAAAAUUCGUCCGGAGUCAAUAGGAAUCAUCGAAACAAUUCAGCGUUCAGAUUCUGUUUUGUUGCUGCGACACCGUCUAUUGUGCCGUUGGGCCGUGAAUCACGUCGAAGCCCAUUAGGGGCGAGUCCAGGGGUCACACACGCCCUAAUACUCUAUUUAUUCAGCAGCCGCCGCCAUAUUAGGUUUUGAGUUUUCCUUAGAUCAAUUCUGUCAUCGAACAGUAUCGUCGUCAUCGGUUUGUGAGACCCCAUCCCGUAAUCAAUACAAUUUUGGUUGCGUUUCUUUCCUGUUCUUGCUUGUGUUCUUGAUUGCGCUUGCAGGGAUAAGCCUUCGUGGCAAGGUCAUUCGUGUGUCAUGGGUGAUAACCAACGGAGCCGUGGUGUAGUGAUUGCGAGGAACCGUUCGCUCGGAGCCUUGGAUCAUCAACGUCGAGAUCUCCACUCAAUCAAGUUAUCUUAUCUCACGGAAGAUCGGGCCGCGUCUUCUAUCACAAGCCCUCCCAACCACCUCCAUUCAUUGAUCUAUCUCAUACACAAGAUUUUGGCCACCACAAGCAAUCCAAGUGCCACAAAAAAGAGAUCAAGCAAAAGAGAGCUACUCGUGUGAGUUUAGCAAUAGUGCCUUGUGAGAUUCAUUGAGAGAAAGUGUGUGCUACACCUUGUGAUCAUUUGAGCAUGGAGCUUUGACUCCCAUUCAUUGUAAAGCUAGCAAAAGCCCCUUAUCUUUGUGGUUGACCUUGCGGAGACUUUGGUCUUUUGUUGACCUCUUGCUUCAUUCUCCAUAAACUUAUUAUUUGUAUUGAUUUGUCAAUUCCACAUUCUUUGAAAGCAACACUCUUUGCAAGCAAAAGACUUGGUUUUACACUCCAACAAUUGUGCAUCUUGUUCUAACCACUAAUCAAGGGAUCAAGUCUGGGUUUAAAGUUAUAAUUUUCAGGUUUCGCCUAUCCACCCCCCUCUAGGCGACUUUCAAAUAGUGAUAUCCUCUCGCUCAAAACGGAACCUCAUCCACUGGUGAUCGAGGUCGAUCCAUACUGAAGCAUAAAACACUCGGACCCACUCCUCAACAUAUCUGCCGCUGGUAGUCAGUCGAGUGAGAAGUCCAGGCAGAUAGGAGAGGUGCACCUCGGAAUCCGCAUCGACUGCUAGCAGAAAAGUAGGGAGAUCCAUUAGCCGGUGCGCUCACAGAGCUAUCUGAGCUGACAACUGAGCUUGAAAGAAUGACUCCUGAAUUCUGGUGCUGAACAAAUCUACCGAUGCAGGGUCUCUCUGAGCAGGUAGUCAAGACUCCAUGAGUACGUGUCUGAACCGAUGUACCCGAGCCGUAGUAGCACGUUGUAGAUCGAUCAGACGAGGAUCGGUAGCCAAUGGUCGCACCUCGAUCUCGUCUCGCUCCCGGAAGCGGGCAGGUGGAAUGGGUGGAGCGGAAAUGGGAGCGGGAGGAGGAGCAGUGGAAGCGGGAGUGGUGGAGGUGGUAGGGAUUGAAAGGGAAAUGUGCCUUUGGGCCAUUUCUAAGUAUUUUGGUGAUUAAGCGUCAACACAAGUGCUUAAAUGUGAAUCUAUGCCCAUGGAUGAACAAAGUGCACAUCACAAGUAAAGGUAUGUUUCUAAGCCUUAGUACAUUGGUUUUGUGUACUAAUAUAUUUAUCUAAGUGUUAUAAACAGAGAGAAGAAGAAAAGGAGAUUGUUGGCUGUGUUCAGCCAACAGGCUGUUUCGGUCUGGGGCACCGGACUGUCCGGUGGUGCACCGGACAGUGUCCGGUGCGCUAGGCUGCCUCGGCCGAAGAGGCCGCUCUCGGGAAAUUGCUGACGGCGUACGGCUAAAAUUCACCGGACUGUCCGGUGUGCACCGGACUGUCCGGUGAGCCAACGGUCGGCCGAGCCAACGGUCGGCCGCGCGAUCUGCGCGCGACACGUGGUCUGGCCAACGGUCGGAAGGAGGCACCGGACUGUCCGGUGUGCACCGGACUGUCCGGUGCGCCAGAUCUGCAACGGUCGGCAACGGUCGGCUGCGCUGUUUAAGGAAAUAAAUCGGGCACCGGACAGUGUCCGGUGUGCACCGGACUGUCCGGUGCGCCCGAUGACAGAAGGCAAGGAUGGCCUUCCAGAUUUGUUCUCAACGGCUCCUAGCUGUCUUGGGGCUAUAAAAGGGACCCCUAGGCGCAUGGAGGAGGACACCAAGCAUUCCUUGAGCACUCUUGAUCACUCACACAUCAAUCUUGCACACUUGUUCGAUAUUCUAGUGAUUUGAGCUCCGUUCUAGUGUGCUAGUCUCUUGAGCUCAAGUCUGGGUCUUGUGUGUGCGUAUUCGCUGUGAUCUUUGUGUUGUGUGUGAGUUGCUAAUCCCUCCCUUGCUCCGUGAUUCUCUGUGAACAUCUUUUGUAAGGGCGAGAGGCUCCAAGUUGUGGAGAUUCCUCGCAAACGGGAUUGAGAAAAGAAAAGCAAGAACACCGUGGUAUUCAAGUUGAUCAUUGGAUCACUUGAGAGGAGUUGAGUGCAACUCUCGUCCAUUGGGACGCCACAACGUGGAGUAGGCAAGUUUUUGUACUUGGCCGAACCACGGGAUAACCACCGUGUCAUCUCUGUGAUUGAUUUCUUGUGGUUAUUGUGUUUUGACUCCUCUCUAGCCACUUGGCCAUACUUGUGCUAACACUUAACAAGUUUUUGUGGCUUAAGUUUUGAAGUUUUACAGGAUCACCUAUUCACCCCCCCCCCUCUAGGUGCUCUCAAUUGGUAUCAGAGCCGUUCUCUUCAAGAAAGGGACUAACCGCCCGAAGAAAUGGAUCCUAAGGGGAAGGGAAUCGUGAUCAACGACAAGGAAAAGGAGUCCUUCGUCAACGAGCCAAAAGAUGAUAAAUCCAACGACUCUGGCUCGGGUCACAGACGUAAAGAUGGGAAGAAGAAGAAGACAAGGCGCAUCAAGGAGAUCGUCUACUACGACAGUGACGAAUCCUCUUCUUCCCAAAAGGACGAUGACAACGACUACAGGAAGACGGUCAAUUCAAACUUUUCAUUUGAUUAUUCUCGUAUUCCACAUAGUUCGAAUUCGCAUUUGCUUUCCAUUCCUCUCGGCAAACCUCCACACUUUGAUGGGGAGGACUACGGAUUUUGGAGUCACAAAAUGCGUAGUCAUUUAUUCUCUCUCCAUCCAAGCAUAUGGGAGAUUGUAGAGAAUGGAAUGAAAUUUGAUAGCUCGGAUAGCCCUAUGUUUAUUAAUGAACAAAUUCAUAAAAAUGCACAAGCUACUACUGUGUUGCUAGCCUCUUUGUGCAGGGACGAGUACAAUAAGGUGAGCGGCUUGGACAAUGCCAAGCAGAUAUGGGACACCCUCAAGAUUUCUCACGAGGGGAACGACAUCACCAUGCUCACUAAAAUGGAGUUGGUGGAGGGCGAGCUUGGAAGGUUUGCAAUGAUAAGGGGCGAGGAGCCAACCCAAACAUACAACCGGCUCAAGACCCUUAUCAACAAAAUAAGGAGCUACGGAAGCACGCGAUGGACGGACCAUGACGUCGUCCGCCUAAUGCUAAGGUCAUUUACCGUUCUUGAUCCUCAUCUCGUGAACAAUAUUCGUGAGAAUCCCAGGUACACGAAGAUGACGCCCGAGGAGGUACUCGGAAAAUUCGUAAGCGGGCGGAUGAUGAUCAAGGAGGCAAGAUACGUGGACGACGCCUUGAAUGGACCGAUCAACGAGCCUCAACCUCUUGCUCUCAAGGCAACAAGAAGCAAGGAGGCGCUACCUAGCAGGGUGGCACAAAUUGAGGCGGCCGGACUUAAUGAUGAAGAGAUGGCUCUCAUCAUCAAACGCUUCAAGACGGUGCUAAAAGGUCACAAGGGGCAGCCAAGCAAGACCAAGACAAAAGGGAAACGCUCAUGCUUCAAGUGCGGUAAGAUUGGUCAUUUUAUCGCUAACUGCCCCGAUAACGAUAGUGACCAGGAACAGGGGAACAAGAGGGAAAAGAAGAAGAAUUACAAGAAGGCCAAGGGCGAGGCACAUAUCGGAAAGGAGUGGGAUUCGGAUUGCUCCUCCGACUCCGACAAUGAAGGACUCGCCGCCACCGCCUUCAACAAGUCAUCCCUCUUCCCCAACGAGCGUCACACAUGCCUUAUGGCAAGGGAGAAGAAGGUGAGUACUCGAAACUCCACUUAUGCUUCUUCUAGUGAUAAUGAGUCUAGUGAUGAUGAUGACAUAGACUAUUCAUGCUUAUUCAAGGGCUUAGAUAGAUCUAAGAUAGACAAAAUCAAUGAAUUGAUUGAUGCCCUGAAUGAUAAGAAUGUGCUUUUAGAAAAGCAAGAGGAUUUGUUAUAUGAAGAACAUGACAAGUUUGUAGAAGCACAAAAAUCACUUGCAUUAGAGAUUAGGAGAAAUGAAAUGCUUUCUUGUGAGUUGUCUACAUGUCAUGAUUCAAUUGCUAGUUUGAAGAGCAUAAAUGAUGAUUUAAAUGCUAAACUAGAAAAAUCUAGUAAAUCAACAUCUUGUGUAGAACAUGUUGAGAUUUGCACUAGGUGUAAAGAUUUCGAUGUUGAUGCCUGUAGUGAUCACUUGGUUUCAAUUUCUAAAUUAAAUGAUGAAGUGGCUAGUCUUAAUACACAACUUAAGGCUAGCAAAAAUGAUUUCGAUAAACUAAAAUUUGCAAGGGAUGCCUACACCAUUGGUAGACACCCCUCAAUUAAGGAUGGACUUGGCUUCAAAAGGGAAGCCAAGAACUUAACAAGCCAUAAGGCUUCCAUUACCGUUAAGGAGAAAGGGAAGGCCCCUAUGGCUACUAGUGCUAAAAAGAACCAUGCCUUUUUGUAUCAUGAUAGGAAAAAUUCUAGAAAUGUUUUUAGAAGUUAUGAUGCUUUUGAUUCACAUGCUUAUGAUUCUUAUGCCAUGACUGCUUCUAGUUCUUCCUAUAUGCAUGGUAGAGAUAUGACUAGGAGAAAUGCUAUUCAUCAUGUGCCUAGAAAGAAUACUAUUCAUGCUCCUAGGAAAGUAGUAAAUGAACCUUCUACAAUUUAUUGUGCUUUAAAUGCUUCCUUUGCUAUUUGUAGAAAGGAUAGGAAGAUAGUUGCUAGGAAGUUAGGGGCAAAAUGCAAGGGAGACAAAACUUGCAUUUGGGUCCCUAAGGAAAUUUGCACUAACCUUGUAGGACCCAACAAGAGUUGGGUACCUAAGUCCCAAGCCUAAAUUUGCCUUGCAGGUUUAUGCAUCCGGGGGAUCAAGCUGGAUUAUCGACAGCGGAUGCACAAACCAUAUGACGGGGGAGAAGAAGAUGUUCACUUCCUACGUCAAGAAUAAGGAUUCCCAGGAUUCAAUUAUAUUCGGUGAUGGGAAUCAAGGCAAGGUAAAAGGGUUAGGUAAAAUUGCAAUUUCUAAUGAGCAUUCUAUCUCUAAUGUAUUUUUAGUAGAGAGUCUUGGAUAUAAUUUGCUAUCUGUUAGUCAAUUAUGUCAUAUGGGAUAUAACUGUCUAUUUACAAAUGUAGAUGUGUCUGUCUUUAGAAGAAGCGAUGGUUCAUUAGCUUUUAAGGGUGUAUUAGACGACAAACUUUAUUUAGUUGAUUUUGCAAAAGAAGAGGCCGGUCUAGAUGCAUGCUUAAUAGCUAAGACUAGCAUGGGCUGGCUGUGGCAUCGCCGCUUAGCACAUGUGGGGAUGAAGAACCUUCACAAGCUUCUAAAGGGAGAACACGUGAUAGGUUUGACUAACGUGCAUUUCGAAAAAGAUAGACCUUGUGCAGCUUGUCAAGCAGGUAAACAAGUGGGAGGAGCGCAUCACAGCAAGAAUGUGAUGACCACUUCAAGACCCCUGGAGCUGCUACAUAUGGACCUCUUCGGACCUGUCGCCUAUCUGAGCAUAGGAGGGAGUAAGUAUGGUUUAGUUAUUGUUGAUGACUUUUCCCGCUUCACUUGGGUAUUCUUUUUGCAGGAUAAGUCUGAAACCCAAGGGACCCUCAAGCGCUUCCUCAGGAGAGCUCAAAAUGAGUUUGAGCUCAAGGUGAAGAAGAUAAGGAGCGACAAUGGGUCCGAAUUCAAGAACCUUCAAGUGGAGGAAUUUCUUGAGGAGGAAGGGAUCAAGCACGAGUUCUCCGCUCCCUACACACCACAGCAAAAUGGUGUGGUAGAGAGGAAGAACAGGACACUAAUCGAUAUGGCGAGGACAAUGCUUGGAGAAUUCAAGACCCCCGAGUGUUUUUGGUCGGAAGCCGUGAACACGGCUUGCCACGCCAUCAACAGGGUCUACCUUCAUCGCCUUCUCAAGAAGACUUCGUAUGAGCUACUAACCGGUAACAAACCCAAUGUAUCUUACUUUAGUGUUUUUGGGAGCAAGUGCUACAUUCUAGUGAAGAAAGGUAGAAAUUCUAAGUUUGCUCCCAAAGCUGUAGAAGGGUUUUUAUUAGGUUAUGACUCAAAUACAAAGUCGUAUAGAGUCUUCAACAAAUCAUCGGGUUUGGUUGAAGUCUCUAGCGACGUUGUAUUUGAUGAGACUAAUGGCUCUCCAAGAGAGCAAGUUGUUGAUUGUGAUGAUGUAGAUGAAGAAGAUGUUCCGACGGCCGCUAUACGAACCAUGGCGAUUGGAGAAAUACGGCCACAGGAACAAGAUGAACGAGAUCAACCUUCUUCCUCGACUAUGGUGCAUCCCCCAACCGAAGAUGACGAACAGGUACCUCAAGUGGAGGCGCUUGAUCAAGGGGGAGCACAAGAUGAUCAAGUGAUGGAGGAAGAAGCGCAACCGGCACCUCCAACCCAAGUUCGAGCGAUGAUUCAAAGGGAUCAUCCCGUCGAUCAAAUUCUGGGUGACAUUAGCAAGGGAGUAACUACUCGAUCUCGAUUAGCUAACUUUUGUGAGCAUUACUCUUUUGUCUCUUCUAUUGAGCCUUUCAGGGUAGAGGAGGCCUUGCUAGAUCCGGAUUGGGUAUUGGCCAUGCAGGAGGAGCUCAACAACUUCAAGCGCAAUGAAGUUUGGACACUGGUGCCUCGUCUGAAGCAAAAUGUUGUGGGAACCAAGUGGGUGUUCCGCAACAAACAGGACGAGCACGGGGUGGUGACAAGGAACAAGGCUCGACUUGUGGCAAAAGGUUAUGCCCAAGUCGCAGGUUUGGACUUUGAGGAGACUUUUGCUCCUGUGGCUAGGCUAGAGUCAAUUCGUAUCUUGCUAGCAUAUGCCGCUCACCAUUCUUUCAGGUUGUACCAAAUGGAUGUGAAGAGCGCUUUCCUCAACGGGCCAAUCAAGGAGGAGGUGUACGUGGAGCAACCCCCUGGCUUCGAGGAUGAACGGUACCCCGACCACGUGUGUAAGCUCUCUAAGGCGCUCUAUGGACUUAAGCAAGCCCCAAGAGCAUGGUAUGAAUGCCUUAGAGAUUUCUUAAUUGCUAAUGCUUUCAAGGUUGGGAAAGCCGAUCCAACUCUUUUUACUAAGACUUGUAAUGGUGAUUUGUUUGUGUGCCAAAUUUAUGUCGACGACAUAAUAUUUGGUUCUACUAACCAAAAGUCUUGUGAAGAGUUUAGCAGGGUGAUGACGCAGAAAUUCGAGAUGUCGAUGAUGGGCGAGUUGAACUACUUCCUUGGGUUCCAAGUGAAGCAACUCAAGGACAGCACUUUCAUCUCCCAAACGAAGUACACGCAAGACUUGCUAAAGAGGUUUGGGAUGAAGGACGCCAAGCCCGCAAAGACGCCGAUGGGAACCGAUGGACACACAGACCUCAACAAAGGAGGUAAGUCCGUUGAUCAAAAAGCAUACCGGUCAAUGAUAGGGUCUUUACUUUAUUUAUGUGCUAGUAGACCGGAUAUUAUGCUUAGCGUAUGCAUGUGUGCUAGAUUUCAAUCCGAUCCUAAGGAAUGUCACUUAGUGGCGGUGAAGCGAAUUCUUAGAUAUUUAGUUGCUACGCCUUGCUUCGGGCUCUGGUAUCCAAAGGGGUCUACCUUUGACUUAGUUGGAUACUCAGACUCCGACUAUGCUGGAUGUAAGGUCGAUAGGAAGAGCACAUCGGGGACGUGCCAAUUCUUAGGAAGGUCCCUGGUGUCAUGGAACUCUAAGAAACAAACCUCCGUUGCCCUAUCCACCGCUGAGGCCGAGUACGUUGCCGCAGGUCAGUGUUGCGCGCAACUACUUUGGAUGAGGCAAACCCUCCGGGACUUUGGCUACAAUCUGAGCAAAGUCCCACUCCUAUGUGAUAAUGAGAGUGCUAUCCGCAUGGCGGAGAAUCCUGUUGAGCACAGCCGCACAAAGCACAUAGACAUCCGGCAUCACUUUUUGAGAGACCACCAGCAAAAGGGAGAUAUCGAAGUGUUUCAUGUUAGCACCGAGAACCAGCUAGCCGAUAUCUUCACUAAGCCUCUAGAUGAGAAGACCUUUUGCAGGUUGCGUAGUGAGCUAAAUGUCUUAGAUUCGCGGAACUUGGAUUGAACUAUAGCAUACAUGUGUUUAUGCCUUUGAUCAUGUUCUUUCUGCAUUUUGUUGCUUAUUGUGGUGCUCAAGUUGUACAAACACUCCCUGGACCUCACAAGUCCGUUGCAAAGUGAUGCAUAGUUUGAGGGGGAGAUGUGUUACAACUUGACCCUUUGAGACUAACCGUAUGCUUGAGUUUGCUUGUUUUAGUCUCAAAGGAGAAUUGAAAGGGAAAGGUGAACUUGGACCAUGCAAGACUUCCACUGCACUCCGAUGAGAGGGUAACUUAUUCCAAGUUCAUCUCUAUGAUUUUAUUGCCUUUGUACUCUUAAUUGAAGAUUUUGGUGAGGCAAUGGGGUUAAAGGGCCAAGAUUGAUCCCGUUUUGGUGCUUGAUGCCAAAGGGGGAGAAAAUAAAGGCCAAAGCAAUAAAUGGAUCAGCUACCACUUGAGAGAUUUUGAAAAUAGUAAAAUAGAGCUUUUUGUUUGUUCAAAACUCUUGCAUUGUCUCUUUCGUCAAAAGUUGGCUUCUAGUGGGGAGAAGUAUUGAUUAUGGGAAAUAGGGGGGAGUUUUUGAAAUCUUUGAUCAAUCUCUUUUGGAAUGACUCUCCCUAUGCUUCAACAUGUGUGUUUGACUUAGAGAUAGAGAUUUGAGUUUGAUUUGCAAAAACAAACCAAGUGGUGGCAAAGGAUGAUCCAUAUAUGCCAAAAAUGAAUCAAAAUAGAUUUGAGUUCUAUUUCAAGUGAUUUUGCACUUGUUCUAGUUGCUUUAUGUUGUGUUGGCAUAAAUCACCAAAAAGGGGGAGAUUGAAAGGGAAAUGUGCCUUUGGGCCAUUUCUAAGUAUUUUGGUGAUUAAGCGUCAACACAAGUGCUUAAAUGUGAAUCUAUGCCCAUGGAUGAACAAAGUGCACAUCACAAGUAAAGGUAUGUUUCUAAGCCUUAGUACAUUGGUUUUGUGUACUAAUAUAUUUAUCUAAGUGUUAGAAACAGAGAGAAGAAGAAAAGGAGAUUGUUGGCUGUGUUCAGCCAACAGGCUGUUUCGGUCUGGGGCACCGGACUGUCCGGUGGUGCACCGGACAGUGUCCGGUGCGCCAGGCUGCCUCGGCCGAAGAGGCCGCUCUCGGGAAAUUGCUGACGGCGUACGGCUAAAAUUCACCGGACUGUCCGGUGUGCACCGGACUGUCCGGUGAGCCAACGGUCGGCCGAGCCAACGGUCGGCCGCGCGAUCUGCGCGCGACACGUGGUCUGGCCAACGGUCGGAAGGAGGCACCGGACUGUCCGGUGUGCACCGGACUGUCCGGUGCGCCAGAUCUGCAACGGUCGGCAACGGUCGGCUGCGCUGUUUAAGGAAAUAAAUCGGGCACCGGACAGUGUCCGGUGUGCACCGGACUGUCCGGUGCGCCCGAUGACAGAAGGCAAGGAUGGCCUUCCAGAUUUGUUCUCAACGGCUCCUAGCUGUCUUGGGGCUAUAAAAGGGACCCCUAGGCGCAUGGAGGAGGACACCAAGCAUUCCUUGAGCACUCUUGAUCACUCACACAUCAAUCUUGCACACUUGUUCGAUAUUCUAGUGAUUUGAGCUCCGUUCUAGUGUGCUAGUCUCUUGAGCUCAAGUCUGGGUCUUGUGUGUGCGUAUUCGCUGUGAUCUUUGUGUUGUGUGUGAGUUGCUAAUCCCUCCCUUGCUCCGUGAUUCUCUGUGAACAUCUUUUGUAAGGGCGAGAGGCUCCAAGUUGUGGAGAUUCCUCGCAAACGGGAUUGAGAAAAGAAAAGCAAGAACACCGUGGUAUUCAAGUUGAUCAUUGGAUCACUUGAGAGGAGUUGAGUGCAACUCUCGUCCAUUGGGACGCCACAACGUGGAGUAGGCAAGUUUUUGUACUUGGCCGAACCACGGGAUAACCACCGUGUCAUCUCUAUGAUUGAUUUCUUGUGGUUAUUGUGUUUUGACUCCUCUCUAGCCACUUGGCCAUACUUGUGCUAACACUUAACAAGUUUUUGUGGCUUAAGUUUUGAAGUUUUACAGGAUCACCUAUUCACCCCCCCCCUCUAGGUGCUCUCAGGGAUGGCUGAAGUGGUAGAUGGAUCUAUGGAGCGACUAGAGCGGGCGAAGUGGGAGGUGGAGUGGUAGCAGUGGCGGGUGUAGAUGGAGCGGAGGAGCGAGGUCGAGACGCGAGACGACGGACCCGGUAGGCAAUCUGAUCUGAUGAUAUCUGUAGUUGUCCACCUCUCUCUGCCUGCUCUGUUGUUGCUGCCGCUCCAAGAGCUUCUCGGGCUGCUCUAUCCAAACACCGCUUCUUGUGGCCUUCCUGCUGCUAUAAGUACAUGGUCUUCCCUUUGACCUGCCUAAAGGGGCGAGGAGGAUCCUCGUCGUCUCCUCCCCCUGGCGCUGACACAUUCUUUGUGCGCACCAUCCUGACCAGAGUGCUACAAAGAAGAGUGAAAGACUAAGCACAAGUAGAUAGCAGCUGAGGAGAUCAUAGUCGAAGUAAUAAUUACCUGGAAACCUCACGAGAGAGAGAGAAUCCAGGCAGGAUAGGAGAGAGGCACACCGGCACGUGAGGUCACUAAAAUGACAGAAGAGGUGAGCACAUAUUAGUCACAUAGUCAUAAGUAUAUGAAAUGUGAAUAAAUACAUACAUAGAGAAUUAUGACACAGAAACUGAGUGAUUUGGCGAUAUAGAGGUCAAACGACGCGAAAAACGACGUUUGAGUGAGGAAUAGUGCCAUAGGAGGUUUGAAAUUUGAAUUGAGGCAUGAAAUUACUUGGAAUUGAGCCGAUACUUCACGAGUAGGUUUAUAUGGGUAAAUAUGAGUGAAGUGUGUGCUUGGUUUGAAUUUAGGCGAAGGAAGUGAAUUUGUGGCACUCAGCUCGGAAUCGAUCGCUAUAAAUGUGGAUUUGGAAAACUGGUGUUUGGGAUAUCGGAUUGGCGUGAAAUUUGGCGAAUAUGUUACUUGAGGUGUCAUGAAGGUGCUGGAAAAAACUGAGGUCGAUUUGAGCAAAUUUGACUGGUUUGGGCAUUUCACCGAGCAGUUGGUGUGCGGGGUAUUGGUAUUGAGGUGAAAUGCUUAUUCUAGGGUUUAAAACCUCCCAACGGGAGAGAGGAACCUGCAUGGGGAUACAAAAAGACACUAUGGCACACAUCCAUGCACUAUGCUUCACAAAUUUGGACGAGAAUGAGAUUGUGAUUCAAAAGGUGGGAGGUGGAACCCUUAGCAGCUCAGAGAAUAGACAGAGAAAAAAAGGGAGAAGCAAGAACAUCUCACCAGAGAGGAGGAGGUGAGCAGGAGUACCACGCCGGAGCAGAGCACCGACGAUCAUCGGCGGCGAGGGAAGGAUCGCCGAGAGAGCAGAGAGGGCGAGAGAACAGAGAGCAGAGGGAGAAAAGAAUGCCUGGCCUCGGGUGAGGGAAGAAUUUUUUAAAAACGUUUCAUGGGCGCACCGGACAGCGCACAAUAGUUGUCUGGUCAUCUUGUGAACCACCGGACAACGCACAACAGAAAGGAGAUCUGCACGCGCCCAGCCGGUGCACCGGACUGUCCGGUGAGCCCAGACAGAGGAGAUUUUUGAAUUUUUUCAAAUUUUCUAUCUAAUUUUGAACCAAACCAAAUCCCAACUUAUAAGCACACAAAAGAACACCUGUUGGGAUAGGUAUUGGUACCCUCAUAUAUUUUCUCAAAAUUUUCAAAAUAUUUUGCCAUAGGCUAGAUAAUUUUUAGAGAAAAUAGCCAAAUGGUGAGAUUUGCAUUGCUGCUUUGCACUAGGGGUUUUAUUGAUGUUUUGAGUGUUGAAUACUCCCCCUAUGUGCAGUGCCUCAUGCAUAUCUCAAGAACCAACAAUUGCAUAGUAAAUAAGAAUUCAAGUACUAAAAAGCUUAAAAGUAAGACUUGACAAGUUUGAGCCCGAGAUAAACUUUUUCACUCGCUUUGUUAGCGGUUAUCUUAACUAGGUUAGACAAGCCCUAGAUGCAAUAUAAGAAAUUUAAAUAUGCAAUGCAGGCUUGACAACACCAUUUUGAGAUUUUAAAUGAAAUUUCUGAGAUCAAGGAUGUUUAACUCAUUCCUCAACGUGCAAAAGCGGGCUUUAUCUAGUGGCUUUGUGAAAAUGUCUGCUAAUUGAUCUUUCGAUCUCACUCCUUCUAAAAUAAUGUCUCCUUUAGCAACAUGAUCUCUAAGGAAGUGAUGACAGAUAUCAAUGUGCUUGGUGUGAGAGUGUUGUACAGGAUUAUUAGCAAUUUUAACAGCACUCUCAUUAUCACACAACAAAGGUACAUUUUCUAGAACUACGCCAUAGUCUAGAAGAGUUUGUUUCAUAUAUAAAAUCUGUAUGCAACAAGCACCCGCGGCAAUGUAUUCCGCUUCGACGGUUGAUAAGGCAACACUAUUUUGCUUCUUUGAUGCCCAUGACACUGGUGAUCUCCCAAGCAAUUGGCACGCCCCGGAAGUACUUUUUCUAUCAAUUUUGCAACCGACAUAAUCCGAAUCGGAAUAGCCAAUUAAAUCAAAAGUAGCUCCUUUGGGAUACCAAAGGCCAACGCUUGGGGUGUGCUUAAGAUACCUAAGAAUUCUUUUAACAGCACGAAGAUGAGCUUUCUUAGGAUUUGAUUGAAAUCUAGCACACAUACAGACACUAAACAUGAUAUCGGGCCUAGAUGCGGUAAGAUACAAUAAACUACCAAUCAUAGAACGGUAGAUAGUUUGAUCAACCGGGUUACCUCCCUCAUCUAGGUCGAGAUGUCCAUUUGUUGGCAUGGGUGUCUUAAUUGGUUUGCACUUCUUCAUGUUGAAUCUUUUCAACAAGUCUUUGGUAUACUUCUCUUGUGAGAGGAAGUUACCAUCUUUCAUUUGCUUGACUUGAAAGCCGAGGAAGUACGUCAUCUCACCAAUCAUAGACAUCUCGAACUCCUUCGACAUCAACUCACCAAAUUCCUUGCAAUGAUAAUCAUUUGUCGAGCCAAAGAUUAUAUCAUCAACAUAUACUUGACAAAUGAAAAUAUCACCAUUAUGUUUCUUUGUGAAUAAAGUUGUGUUGACGGUCCCGAUCUUGAAGUCCUUUUCGAUGAGGAAGUCACGAAGACGCUCAUACCAAGCCCUUGGAGCUUGCUUUGACCCAUAUAGCGCCUUGGAUAAUGUGUAAGCAUGGUUAGGAUAUCUAGGGUCUUCAAACCCGGGUGGUUGCUCAACAUAUACAAGUUCAUUUAUAAAGCCAUUUAAAAUGCACUUUUCACAUCCAUUUGAUAAAGUUUUAUGUCAUAGCAUGAUGCAUAUGCGAGUGGGAUACGGAUGGCUUCAAGUCGAGCAAUCGGUGCAAAGGUCUCUCCAAAAUCUAAGCCUUCAACUUGAGAGAAGCCCUUUGCAACAAGUCUUGCCUUGUUCCGCACAAUCACGCCUUGAUCAUCUUGUUUGUUUCUGAACAGCCACUUUGUUCCAAUGAUCCUUGCAUCUUGUGGAGGCUUCUCCAAGGUCCAAACUUAGUUACGGGUGAAGUUGUUUAGUUCUUCAUGCAUGUCAUUCACCCAGUCCGGAUCCUGUAGCGUCUCAUCUAUACAUGUAGGUUCAACACAAGAAACAAAAGAGUGAUGUUCAAUAAAUGAAGCAUGUUUAUGUGAAUGAGUGAUAACCCCUUGUGAAGGACUCCCAAUGAUUUGAUCUUGUGGGUGUGCUUGAAGUAGUGAUGGGUUUCUCCUGUCAACCACUUGGGAAGAAGGUCCUAGAGCAUCAACAUCUUCGGCUUGUACCCUUGCUUGUUGAAAGGGAAAUAGGGUCAAAUCUUUUCCUAAAUGAUUUUGGUGGUUGAAAUGUCCAACACAAAUUAUUGGACUAACUAGUUUGCUCUAGAUUAUAUGUUCUACAGGUGCCAAAGGUUCAACACAAACCAAUAAAAAGAUCAAAGUUAGGGUUCAAAAGAAAGGAGCAAAAGAAACCGAAGAGAACCCUGGUCUGGCGCACCGGACUGUCCGGUGUGCCACCGGACAGUGUCCGGUGCACCACCAGACAGUGUCCGGUGCGCCAGGGAGGAUCAACCUCAAACUCUUCACCUUCGGGUUUCUCCAGGCGCACUCCGCUAUAAUUCACCGGACUGUCUGGUGCACCAAACGGAGCAACGGCUAUCAGCGCAACGGUCGACUGACAGUGGCCUGACAGAGCUAUAGUUCGCGUCAGAAGUCAGAGCAGGCGCCAGAGGCGCACCAUACACUAAACAGUAGCUGUCCGGUGCGGCACUGGACUGUCCGGUGCACCAAGAUGUCAUAGCUCCAACGGUCGAAACCAUCAGAACCCUAACAGUUGGGUGACGUGGUUGGCGCACCGGACAGUGUCCGGUGCGCCCAUCGACAGCAACCCCUCCCCAACGGCUAUUUUGGUGGUUGGGGCUAUAAAUACCCCCCAACCACCACCAUUCAAGGCAUCCAAGUUUCCAACAUUUUGCAUUCAAUACAAGAGCUCUAGACUUCACUCCAAGACACAAACAAGAGAUCAAAUCCUCUCCCAAGUCCAAAAUCACUCCAAACACUUAGUGACUAGUGAGAGAGAGAUUUUCAUGUUCAUUUGAGUUCUUGUCGCUUGGAUCGCUUUUCUUCCUCCUCCAUUCUUGUUCUCAAGCAACUUGUAAUCAAAGCAAGAUACACCAAGUUGUGGUGGUCCUUGUAGGGGUCUGAGUGACCCAGUUUGAUUAAGGAGAAAGCUUACUCGGUCUAGGUGACCAUUUGAGAGAGGGAAAGGGCUGAAAGAGACCCGGUCUUUGUGACCACCUCAAUGGGGACUAGGUUUGCAAGAACCGAACCUCGGUAAAACAAAUCACCGUGUCCCUCGCCUUAUUUCUUGGUUGAUUAGUUUUUCGCCCUCUCUUUCGGACUCGGUUUUUAAUUCUAAUGCUAACCCCAGCUUGUAGUUGUGCUUUAAGUUUAUAAAUUUCAGAUUUGCCUAUUCACCCCCCUCUAGGCGACUUUCAAUUGGUAUCAGAGCCGGUACUUCAUUAAGGGUCUAACCACUUGAAGUGAUGUCGGGAGGAUCCGCUGUCGGUGUUUUGGGUCCGACCGCACACCCAGGGUUGCCCCUCAAGGUGUUUUUAGGAGUAGGACGGUGUUACCGACUGUAGCUCAAUGGUUCGUGCAGGGUGCACGAGAAACAGUAGACAAUGGUGUAUAGGUUCGGGCCGCUUUGAGAUGUGUAACACCCUACGUCCUGGCGAGAAUGCUUUAUGUGGUGGAUUACAAGGGAGCUCUCUAACGCUAGAACGUAGAGAGCUGGGGUGGAUGGCUGAGUAGUGAGAUCGAUCAUUCUGAAGGAGUGCCCCCUAGGUCUUAUAUAUUCGACCGUGAGGCAAUACAUGCGGAUAUGAUAACAAUGCGCACCUAAGAGAUAGUGAACUGAUUGAGUCUAUCUUCCUAUAGUUCUGCCGACUCAUCCUUGCUUGGUUCCGUUGUACGGGGCUCCAGCGCAGGAAAGUCGGGUCUCUGCUGUGGUUACUUGCUCGACGUUGUUGGGUCGUCUGGGCUCGCACCGAUCCGGCCUCGUGUCGAUCUGCUUCACUGGUCAUUCUUCCCCAGGCCCACGAAGGGAUGACCUUACGAAUUAUUGGGCCCUCGGGCCUUUCGUGAGGUCUUUUAUCCUUCCAGUGGACCCGGGGGAUAUCUGUCCCCCACAAGCCCCCGAUCUUUGGGUUGAUUUUGAAAUAAUCGGCCCAAAGAUCCUAGGUCCAGCUUGCGGUUUUUGUUUAUGACAGGAAAUGCUUCCCGGGUAGUCUGGUAAAAACGAUUUCUUACUGUCUCCUUCUGCUUUUAUCACUCGAAAACUGGUGUUCUGUCUUAAACUCGCGCUUUGGAGGUCAGCAUUUCGUACUGUAGGACCUUGAACUUCAUUGGGUGCACCGGAGGUGCACCCAAUGGGUUGUAGCCCCCGAGCUUCGAGAGGAUUUUUGAAAAUAAUCCACUCGAAGGUCUUCACUUCGAGUAUUAUCAGAAAUCAUUUUUAUUUUCCGCUUGCACUUUGUUGGAGGUCAGCCUUGCUUUUGAUCUUGCCAUAUGCUUUAGAAGUUAGCAUUAUCUUGACUUGAAAUGACGACUCAUUGGGUGCACCGAAGGUGCACCCAAUGGGUGUAGCCCCCGAGCUUCGAGUGGAUUUUUGAAAACAAUCCACUCGAAGGUCUUCAUUUCGUGCCCUUUUGCUGAGAAUCAUCCUUUCUUUUUCCGAAUGCUUUAGAGGUCAGCAUUAUGUCAUUGAUAUUAUGCUUUAGAGGUCAGCAUGUAUUUUGUCUUCGAGGCCGAGUUCAUGAUCUGCCCAUAUCUUGCUAGGUGGUGCAAUUUAUUUGAUCUGCGACUGAUUGGAUGUUCGAUGGACGUUCCCUGGCUAGUCUUCAUGUCGCUUCUGUCAAUCAGGCUUGUACUUCACCGGCUAUAUUUGGCUUUCCUUUGAUCCUUGCUGAUAUCUCACUUUUGUCUUGAGGUAUUCAUUGCAUACGCUGCACGGAUGUGACAGUUUUGAAAAAUAUACUGAUAAUUCCUGGGCGUCCCCCCCGAUGGGUGUGGGCAAGGGACGGCUUGGUACGCUUAGUGUUUGGCGAACUGCUUCUGAGUAGUAAUUUGAUGUGACCGCGGGUGUAAUCAUAUCGCCCGCGUGGUUGACUGGAAUCCCAAUGGGUGUUGUGUUGCGUGAGGUGGCGUCAGCCGCCUGACGUGUCUUCAGACGGUUUAAAUUGCAUAUUGAAUUUUUGUGACUAUUCAGUGGUCGUGGUAGGAGAUGGACGGUUGCCUUCUUCUUCUAUAAAUAGUGUUCUUGCUUCCCCGGCAUUUUCACAUCUCUUACUGCUCUCUGCUGCUUGCUUUCUUUUUCUCCCUUCAUUUCCACCAUGGGCAAGAGUAACAAACGCAAGCGCGAGCCGACUCCUCCAUCGGAGGACUUCGGCGACUCGGAGUACUCGGAGGAGGAGUUCUCCUCCGAGCCCGAGGGGUCUCCAGCUCCCGUCUCUGCCCCGGCGUCGUCUGAUGAUUCAGACGACUCCCAGGGGAUUGCCACGGAGGUCUGGACUUAUAUCCGGGCCGUCGAGCGCUCCGGGCUCGAGGGCUCGGAUGAGUCGGAGUACUCCUCGGACGAGGAGGACUCUUCGGACUCGUCCAAGGAGGGCAACGACGGUGAUGGCGGAGACGACGACGACGAUGGAGGCGACGGUGACGAUGACGACGACAGCGGCGGUGGCGGUGACGGCGGUAGCAAGGGCGGCAACGGCGGCAGCAGCAGGGGCAGCAACUGCGGCGGCAGUAGCAAGGGCAGCAACAAGGCCAGUGGCUAGAUGCCACUGGUUUUUAGUAGUUAGUAGUGUAGAGUAGUGUAGUGUAGUGCAGCAGCAGUAGUAGUAGGGGCAUCAUCAACUCAUAACGAGUUGAUUUGUAAGUUCUGUAGCUUCCCUUAAUGAAGAAUGAUUUCGUCUCCUCCUAUGUUGAUUAUUUUGCCUCAUGGUCAGUUGAUGAUUGUCGCGAUAUUUAUUGUCCGUAAUGCUCUCUGUCUGUUAUGCUUGUGUCAUAACUUGGAGUUUUCGAAUCAUUCCUCCGUUUGCCUUAUCUGUGAAGUCAAUUCCUCUGGAAUAGUAGCUGAGUAACUCGGGCAUCAUAUCAUCGCUUUUAGGGGUGAUGGUCGAGUUAUUAUUGUCAACAUUUACGAUUCUGAAGUAGCGUCCAAAUGAUGACGAAGCCACAUCAGUGUUUUAGAAUUAACGUUUGAGUGACUGAUGACCACGUCGGCGUUUUAGAGAUAACUGCCGAGUGACUGAAGACGACGUCGGCGUUUUAGAGAUAACUGCCGAGUGACUGAGGGUAACGUCGGCGUUUUAGAAAUAACAGCCGAGUUAGAACGGGCUGCGUCGGCCACUUUGAAGAUAAUAGCCGAGUGAUGAUGUGGCACACCGGUGUUUUUAGAAGUAACCACCGGGUGAUGACAUGGCACGUCAGCGUUUUAGAAAUAACCGCUGGGUGAUGACGUGGCACGCCAGCGUUUUAGAAAUAACCACCGAGUGAUGACUGGGCGCUUUUUGGAAACGGUAUCCGACCCGGGAAAACCCCAUAUGUACUGCGCCUUCGACCGCCUCUGCUUUUCGUGCCCUAGUUCUUGCUUUCCUGCUUCCAGACCCUCUCUGCCCUUUUGCAAUUCGGCUCCCGCUCUGCUCGCCUGUGGAGUUGAUAUGGCACUGAAGCGGAAGGCCUCGAGUUCGUCCACUGCUGUGAUUCCCCCUAUCGACCCCAACAACCAGUUGCCUUUCGCAGGUAACCAUAUGUCUGUUGUUUCUGAGCCUGACCUUCUCCAUCUCGUGUCCAUCGGGGUCCUUCCUCGGAAGGAGCUCUGUUCUUGGCGGAUUUGCCACGGGGUCACUGUUCCAACAGAGGAUACCCACGAAUCCAUGAUUUAUGUUCCUUUUCUUCUCUGCGGUCUCGCUCUUCCUAUUUCUCCCUUUUUCCGCGGUCUCCUUGAUUUCUAUCGCCUUAAUUUGACCCAUCUGAAUCCCAAUUCCAUUCUGCAAAUUUCCAUUUAUGUUCAUUUAUGCGAGGCUUUUCUUGGCGUCCUGCCACAUUUUGGACUGUGGAAGUACUUGUAUCACUGUCGCCCUAGGAUGGCCGGGGGGCAGCAUCAGCUGGUGGGGGGUGCGAGUUUGGAGAUGCGCCGUGGGAGGAAGACUGACUACCUUGAAAUCCCACUCAAGGAUAGUAUCGAAGGAUGGCGCUUGGAGUGGUUUAUUGUUGAGAACCACGGAAAAUCUCUCCCCCCACGGUCAGGGAGACAGCCGGAUGUUCGUACUCCGAGUUGGACCGAGUCCCCCACAGACCAGGAGGUGGCUGAGGCAGGGGCUUUGCUGGCUGAAGUUGGACUGCUGAAGGAGAGGGGUCUGACUGCAGAGGCUGUGGUUGUUGAUUUUGUCUUCAAGAAUAUUCAGCCUUUGAAGGACAGGGCAUACCCGGCCUAUCUGUAUCGAGGUCUAGCUGACUCAACCCGGGUCACCAACAGAAGAAUUCCUGCUGUAGACUUGGUGAACCGGCUUGAAAUGAUACUUAGAGGCAAGGUAUCAAAUGUUGGCGCCCGUGUCGCAUACUCGGUCUAGAAUCUGCCUCCUUCCAAGGCCUUUACUCAUUUUGUGUCGAAUCCUCCUGCUGCUGAUGGCGGUUUGGGCCUUAGAGUGUGACCCUCUACUGAAGAAGUUAGUGCUUUGCUUGCUUCGCUUGGAGAAAUUCCUGAUGAUGAACGGCAGGUCCACUUUGAGGUGCCUUUGGAUCCUAGUGAUGCAGAGAUAAGUGCUAUGCUUGAUAUGCUGGCCGAGGACUCUUCUGAUGCUGCUCCUGCUGGGACAUUGGUGGUGGCGCCUCUCCCGGAAGCUGGUACAACUUUGGAUAUUCAGAGGCCUAUCAGUGUUCGCCCGAAGCGCCCUUGCCGAGCCAAUCAACUUGAUUCUCCUGUUGAUGAGCAGAAAAAGAAAAAGAGACGUCUUCAGUGAGUAUCUAGCUUGGAUCGGGAUGCUGGUCCUUCGGUUCCUGCUGCUGAGGAAGUGUCUGUGCCUGAAUUUACCGAUGCUGACCCCAAUGGGUGUGAUCCAUCUGUCGCUGAACCCAAUGGGUGUGCUGUCUGUGUUGCUGAUGAAAACGAGGGGGAGGAAGAAGAUGAGGUCCCUUUGACUCGGAAGAACAGUCGGCGAUACGUAGCCAGUGGGGAAAGUAGUGGAGUUCCUUCUCCUGCUCUGUCUGCCCUCAUUGGUCUACAAGAAUUGUCUCUAGCGAACUUUGAUCAGACUCUUGAAGAUAUGGUUCUAGAGGAUCUGUUAUCAGAGCUGGCGGACGGUGAUGCGAUGGAUGUUUGUGCUGAUGUGUUCGACGCCGGGUUGGGGUCAUCCCGGGCAGCAUCCCGCGCCUCAUCGACCUUGGAGCGUGGUCUUGAGGGUCAGGAAACUGACUUGAAUCGUCUUGCUCCCAUGGAAGUAACUGAGGGACCUUCAGCCUUAGAGGUGGCCGCCGCAGAGAACUUGGCCCUCAAGGAUGGUGUUGACACUUACCUAGCCCCCGAGGGUGUUGUCGGGGAUGAUUCGGCUCGGGUGGGAAGCGUAAGCCGCGACCCAGCCCCCGAGGGUAUUGCCGGAGACGAUCCGGCUCAAGUGGGUAGUGCAAACUAUGACCCAGCCCCCGAGGGUGUCCGAGCGGGGUCUCCCUCUUGUACUUCCAUGGAUGUUCACGCAGGAUCUCCUCCACACUCUGGUUGCAUGGUGGUAGCCCAAGCUUUUGGUCAAGGAGUCGCUUUAGAGGCUAGCGUUCCUGACGACAAAGUUUUGGGCUCUGCUGAUGACACUGAGUUGGUCCCUGCUGGUUCAUUGCAAGUUGCUCCGGGUGGUGACCCUACGCCAAGCCAUCAAUUGAUUUCUCACGAUUUGGGAGUCCCCUCAUUCUUCUCCAACCUCCAGGUACUAUGAUCUAUUCUAGUCUGACUUUUACACCGGAUGAACUGCUGUCAUUACACUCAUCUGCUCUCAAUAUCAGACAUUGGUGGACGGGAUGGCUAGUCAGCUUAAGUUGCAAGGUGCUUCUGUUCCAGAAAGAGCUUCGUCUCUGGCACGUUGGAAUCCGGUGUUGCUUCAACAGCGUGUCUCUGACUUAGAGGCGACGAAUGCUGGUUAGUGCUUUUCUGCUUCCUUUCGUCUAUCUUAUAAAACUGCUUCUCAAGCUAAACUUUUUGCUUGACCGUUUCUCGCUAGAUAUGGCUCGGUAGUUUUCUGUUCUUGAAGAGAAACAUUCUCAAAAUCAGGCUGAAUUGGUCCGGCGGUGCUCUGAUUUUGAAGAAAAGUAUUCUCAAAGUCAGAUUGAGCUGGCCCAAGUUUCUGCUGCUCUGAACGAUGCCAACAUGUUGAACUCUACUCUCCGCGCUCAGCUUGAUUCUGAAAAGGUGACCUGAAAACCCGAGCUUUGUUUUGCCAUGUUCUUAUUGCUUGCUCGAUGUUUGAAGAAGUUAAUUCUUGUUUGCAGGAAGAAAACCGUGCCCUUGUUGCUUCUCGUGACAAUCUUGACAAGCUAUAUCGUGACUACAGCAACUCGUUGACCAUCCUGGAGAGGAGUCAUCGCUUCACCAUGGAGGAGUUAGACAAUCAUCGCUGUAAGCUGCAGGAGUCUUCGGAUGACGUGAUUCGUCUCAGGCAGUCGAUAUCGGCUAAGGAUGCUGUCAUCAAGGAACUGCGUGCUUCCAAGAAGUCCCUCACCCAGGAGCUAGAAACCGCUCAGUUGGCUAUCAAGGUUGCUGAAGAGACUUUCGUUAUUCUGAGGGCCCAGCGCGACAGAGCCAUGGAUAAAGCCAUUCGUGCAGGGCGGAUCUUGAUGAGGAGACCCGGUGUGAUUGUUCCCGACGAUAUAAGGGCUGAUGUGAACGCUGCUCCUGAUUCCUCAAGUCGCCCUUCUUCGUCGGUUGCUCCUGAGAGGAAUGUUGCAAAAUAGAAAAACAUUGCAUGCAUUGAGCGCGCGGUUAUCCUGCUCGGAUAUUUUGUUAGAGGACACCAGCUUGACAUUUGAAUGCUACUGUUAUUCUCCUAUCAUUUUAGAAUUCAGCAGUAUCUAAAUUUGCAGAAGUAAAAUGUUGUAUGAUGAUUUUGAAACUUCUUCACGGGACAUAGAAGUCGCCCCUAUAUGAGUAAUUGUAAGCAUGUGGAACCGUCUUAAGUCGUUGCUGACUUAAAGCGAUUGCUUUUGUUAAUAGGGCAUAGUAGUAAUCCCGAGUUAAGUAAGAGCGAGCAUGUUGCACCAUCUUAAGUCGUUGCCGACUUAAGCCGAUUGCUCUGUUAGCCGGGCAUAGUGGUCACCCUGAGUUAAGUAAGCGCGAGCAUGUUGCACCGUCUUAAGUCGUUGGCGACUUAAGCCGAUUGCUCCGUUAGCAGGGCAUAGUGGUCACCCUAAGUUAAGUAAGUGCGAGCAUGUUGCACCGUCUUAAGUCGUUGCCGACUUAAGCCGAUUGCUCCGUUAGCAGGGCAUAUUGGUCACCCCGAGUUAAGUAAGCGCGAGCAUGUUGCACCGUCUUAAGUCGUUGCCGACUUAAGCCGAUUGCUCCGUUAGCAGGGCAUAGUGGUCACCCCGAGUUAAGUAAGAAUGUAGGUCGAUCAUGAACAAACUGAGUAUUCUUGAAGCCUUUUUUAUUGAUGACAUAUUUCCCAUUUUACAGAGUACAUUGUCGUCCCGAUAGCUUUUGAAAUACAGCUAGGGAUAAAACUUCCUGAGGUGUUCUAUAUUCCAUGAGUUCCAAAUUUUCGUGCCGUCCAUCUGAGUGAGACAAUAUGAUCCCAACCGAGUGACUUCUGCUACUAUAAAUGGUCCUUCCCAUAGGGGUGACAACUUGUGUCGUCCCUCCCCCGUUAGAAUUCGGCGGAGGACGAGAUCUCCCACUGCAAAGGAUCGACGUCGCAUGGCCUUAUCGUGGUAACGCCUCAGAGUUUGCUGGUACCGUGCUGAUUGAAUUACCGUGUUCAGUCGUUCUUCUUCGAGUACAUCAACAUCCUCUAGCCUAGUAGCCUCGGCUUCUGCUAUGCUUUCAAAGAUCAACCUUGGUGCCCCAAACUUGAGGUCAGCGGGUAAUACUGCCUCUGACCCAUGGACCAUGAAGAAAGGAGUAUUUCCAUGCAGAGCUCGACUAGGUUGAGUUCUUAGGCUCCAAACGACGUAGGGCAACUCCCUUAUCCAUUUUCCUGCGAACUUUUCAUUUUUAUCGAAGACCUUUUUCCUGAGUGCCUCUAAUAUCAUCCCGUUAGCUCGUUCAACCUGCCCGUUGGCUGUUGGGUGUGCCACUGAAGCAUACUUGAUCUGAAUGCUCUUUUGUUCGCAGAAAUUGAAGAACUCUGAACUUGUGAAGUUGGAUCCUAGGUCAGUUAUGAUACUAUUCGGUAUUCCGAAUCUGAAUAUUAUGUCUUGUAUGAAUUCAACGACCUUAGCUGAGGUUAAAGAAGCAAUGGGUUUGAAUUCUAUCCAUUUAGUGAAUUUGUCGAUUGCUACCGGUACAUGAGUGUAUCCUCCUUGAGCUUUCUUGAAAGGUCCAAUCAUAUCCAGUCCCCAGCAUGCGAACGACCAAGUUACUGGUAUGGUCUGCAGUUGCUGUGCUGGUAGAUGUUGUUGCUUUGACAAGUACUGGCAAGCUUCGCACCUCUGAACUAACUCGACUGCAUCACUUUUCGCUGUUGGCCAAUAGAAUCCCGACCUGAAGACCUUCCCGACUAGUGUCUUGGAUGCUGCGUGUAUUCCACAUUGCCCAUCAUGGACCUCAUCUAGAAGUUGCUUUCCAGUAGAUGAGAGAAUGCAUUUCAUGAGGACGCCCGAUGCACCCCUUCUGUAUAGUGUCUCCCCAAUGAGUGUGUAGUGAGCUGACUGUCUAGCGAUGCGCUCGGCUGCGUUUUUGUCAUCUGGUUCCUCUUCAUUCUUUAUAUAUCUAAUGAUCGGCCUUCUCCAGUCAUCAGAAUCUGACUCUAGUUGGUUCAUGAUAUUACAUUCUUCUGCCUGGUCCAUUGAGAUGCUUGGAUGUGGUAUUUCUUGUACAAAGACUCCAGGUGGGACCUGAGUUCGACUGGAUCCUAGCUUGGACAAUACAUCAGCUGCCGUGUUUCGAUCUCUUUCUACAUGGUGAAAUUCCAGACCUUCGAAUUUAUCUUCUAGUUUCCGGACGGCGGUGUAGUACUUUCCCAUUGAAUCGCUCGAACAGUCCCAUUCUUUGUUUAUCUGGCUUAUGACUACCAGAGAAUCUCCGUAUACCAUCAGUCUCUUGCUGCCUAGCGAUAUAGCAAUGUUCAGUCCAUGAAUCAGAGCUUCAUAUUCGGCUGCGUUGUUGGAGGCUGGAAAUAACAACUGGAGGGCAUAUUUGAGGUGCUCGCCUCCAGGUGCGGUAAAGAGAAUCCCCGCGCCUGCUCCCUGUAGUUUUAACGAGCCAUCAAAAUACAUUCGCCAUACUUCUGUGGUUUCUGGGUUAUCUGGUACUUGUUGUUCAGUCCAUUCUGAUACGAAGUCAACCAAUGCUUGAGUUUUGAUGGAAGUGCGAGGUCGAAAUUCGAUGUCAUGAGAUCCCAGUUCGCAGGCCCACUUGGCUAUUCGGCCAAUGGCUUCCUUGUUGUGAAGGAUAUCCCCUAUCGGAAAACCAGUGACUACUAUGACUUUGUGGUCGUCAAAGUAGUGACGUAGCUUGCGGGCAGUUAGAAGUACUGCAUAUAAUAGCUUCUGAACUUGAGGAUACUUUUUCUUCGAGGGACCCAGAACUUCACUGAUGAAAUAAACAGGAUGUUGCACUGGGUAGGCAUGUCCUUCUGCUCGCUCGACUACCAACGCGGUGCUUACCACGUGAGUCGUGCAAGAGAUAUACAGCAGCAAAUCUUCAGCUGGUUGAGUUGACGUGGCUCGCCGUGGUGGCUUCAGCACUGGUGGUGUCGUCAAGAAUGUUUUCAGUGCAUCUAGGGCUUCCUGUGCUUCUGAGGUCCACUGAAACUUAUCCACCUUCUUGAGUAGCUUAUAAAAUGGUAAGCCUUUUUCUCCCAGUCUGGAUAUGAAUCUGCUCAGGGCUGUCAUACAUCCGGUAAGUCUCUGAACUUUCUUUUGUGAUCGUGGUGCCUCCAUUUUCAUGAUAGCUUCGAUCUUAUCCGGAUUAGCUUCAAUUCCCCGGUGGCUGACAAUAAAUCCGAGUAGCUUUCCUGCUGGUACCCCAAAGACACAUUUUUCGGGAUUAAGCUUCCAUCGAUAUUGCCGUAGACUGUUGAAAACCAGUUGUAAGUCUUUGAUGAAGUUUUCCGAGUUCUCCGUUUUGAUUACCACAUCAUCUACAUAGGCUUCCACACGCUUGCCCUAGUGAUCGGCUAAGCAUGUUUGAAUGGCUCUCUGAUAAGUCGAUCCAGCGUUUUUGAGGCCGAACGGCAUGGAGGUAUAGCAGAAAGCACCGAACGGAGUGAUGAACACUGUUUUUUCCUCAUCCUCUUUUGCCAAGCUAAUCUGAUGAUAUCUAGAGUAGCAAUCCAGGAAAGACAGCACAGAACAUCCAGCGGUGGAAUCUACCACCUGAUCUAUCCUAGGAAGCCCGAAGGGAUCCUUUGGACAGUGUUUGUUAAGAUCCGUAUAGUCGACGCACAUGCGCCAAUCCACUUUAUUCUUUUUUAGUACAAGAACAGGGUUGGCUAACCACUCCGAAUGUAACACCUCUCUAAUAAACCCAGCCACGACCAAGCGGGCCAGCUCAGCGUGAAUGGCCUCUCUCUUGUCAGGCGUGAAGCGAUGUAGUUUUUGCCGAAUCGGCCUCGCCUGGGGAUAGACCUUCAGCUUGUGCUCGGCCAGUUCUCUCGGGACUCCCGGCAUAUCCGCAGGUUGCCAUGCGAAUACGUCUCGUUUAUCUUGCAGAAACUGGACGAGCGCGCCUUCCUAUUUGUCAUCCAGGCUGGAGCUGAUGAUGGCAGUCUUGCGUUCAUCAGCGAACCCAAGGUUGAUCCUUUUGGUUUCUUCAGUCGGCCGCGUAGAGGUCGCGGCUUGAGCUUCAUUUGCAGGUGCUGCAAGGUCUUCCUCAGGCUUAGAGUUUGCCUGCGUCGAAGAAGUCGCCGACGGUUUGGUGGUGAGGGCCGCCUGGAUGGCCACUCAGAAACAUUCUGCGGCGCCUUGGAAGUCGGCGCGCACAGUUAUGAUUCCUUGCGGCCCUGGCAUCUUCAAUAUCAUGUAUGUGUAAUGUGGAAUGGCCAUGAAUUUUGCCAAUCCCGGCCUCCCGAUGAUGGCAUUGUACCCGCAGUCGAAGUUCGCCACUUCGAAUCUUAGGAACUCGGUUUUGUAGUUCUCCGGAGUUCCGAAGGUGACUGACAUGUAGAUGUGGCCCAGCUGGUAUUCUCCUUCAGUCGGCACGAUGCCGAAGAAAGGAGUGUCUGACUCGUGGAGCUCUUUGAGGUGAACUCCCAAGCCUUGGAGUGUCCGGGGGAAGGUGAUGUUGAUGCUGCUCCCCCCGUCCACUAAUACCUUCUUCACCCUGCUCUCUCGGAUCACCAGAUCGACGAGGAGCGGGUAUUUGCCUGGGUGGUCGAAGUUGAGCCAUUGAUCUGCCCGAGUGAAGGUGAUUGGGUUCUCCGACCAUCGGUACGGAGCGAGAGGACCGGUGGUCGCCACCAAUAUCUGGCGAUCGUUGAGCUUUUGUUGUCUUCUGUUCUCCUGCGACCCGUGUCCGCCGAAGAUGACGUUGACCUCCUCCCUCCUCCUCCUGCUGGGGUUGUCGUGGUUCUCCUGGUCCUCCCCGCGGCGGAGGAGGAGGUAGAGGUUGGAAGGGCCGGUCGUGUCCGACGGAGUGCUUGAAGUCUCUGCAGUUCCGAAGGGUGUGGCGCAUGUCCUUGUGGUACGGGCACUGGGCGUCAAGGAUGUCGUCCAGCGUGCGUUCGCCUCCACGAGGCCCUCCCCGGGCGCGAGAGGCAGGUGGUCCGACGGCGUGCACUUCUUCACGAGGCCUCUUCUCCCAGCGUUUGUCGGGUUGCUGGUUCGUGUCGCGUCGUGGUGCUGCCGGUGCGGGCUUCGCUCCCCCGAUGAGGUCCUGAGCUCGCUCGUCGGCAGUGAUGUAGAGGUCGGCUUCCCGGAACAGUUGCUCAGAGGUAGUCUGAGCCUUCUGCAAUAUGGCCCGGACGAAAGCCGAGUCGUUGGAUCCUCUAUAGAAGUCCUCGAUCACGGCCGCCUCCGUGACCUCGGGGAUACGAUUUCUCAUGGUCUGGAACCUUUUGAGGUAUGACCGAAGAGUUUCGUCCCCCCGGCGCUUGAUGGAUUUGAGGUCCCAUGGUUGCGCUAGUUUAUCGGAGAGGGACUGAAAGUUGGCGGUGAAGCGUCGACUGAAGUCGCUCCAGUCGUCGAUGCAGUGUCGGGGUAGAUGUCGCAGCCAUUGUAGCGCGUCUUGCCCGAGGACAAUGGGUAAGUAUGCGGUCAUCAUGUCCUCGGACGCCCCGGCAGCUCGAGCAGCGGUGGUGUAGACGGCCAGCCAGUCUCCUGGAUCCUGCUUAGGUUCAUAUUUGUCGACAUUGGAUACCUUGAAGUUAGGGGGCCAUUGAAUGGCUCUAAGGCGUGGAGUAAGUGCAGACACUCCACACGUGUCUUCUUGUCGUCGGGGAUGAUGUCUGUCCGGGGAGGGGAGUAGUUGUUGUGGUUCCUCGACCGUCCCCGAGUGGUACCGCCAGUCGAGGUCGUUGCCGACUCAGUUCUGGUGGCCUGACUCCGAGCUUGGAUGUCGUGAUCCCUGUCGUACUCUUCCCGGCGACGGAUCUCGUUCUCAUGUCGUCGUUCACGCGAAGCGUUGAUGGAGCUUCGCGCGUCCCGGCGGCUGUUGAUGGUGUGUCGUAGGUCGUUCGGCGGGUGAGCGAGAGGUAGAAGAUGGUUGGCUGCUUGGGUGAAUAGUCGUCGAUAGCCCUCGGCAUCGGGAGUCCGAGGGAGUCCAUCAGCUAUUCGAGUUAGUACCCCGCCAAUCUCACUCGGCGUGUUCAUGGCUCAGGCGAAGUCGGGGUUCAGGUUGCGCCCGAAGAGUGGAUUCUCCCGACGUUGCCUUGCCUCCUGCUCGGCUUGUUCCUGAGCUCGUCGGUGAUCACGCCGUCGGGAGUUCCUUCGUUCUCUGAAGACGCGUUCCUCCAGAGUUUCUCCUAUCUCUGAGACCUCGUCUCGCGAGAUAGGCUGCUCCGGGUCCCGCUCUCCGGCCUCGUGGUGUCGCCGGAUAUUUCAGCGUCGGUUCCUCCGUCGGCGGGAUUCCCGCUGAGGAGGUUCUUCUCCGGGCGCGGUCGGCUCGUCGUCGGAGACGGGGAGCGACUCCACUCUCCCGAUGAAGAGGACGUCAGGGUAGAAUGGUGCGGCGUUCGUGGUGAUCUUCUUUCCGUUCUCCUUUGAGGGCGGAGGAACAGAAAGAACAACUUGCUUCCUCCCAGUGUUAUUUGUUUCUUCCUUCCUUGCGAUUUGUGUCCAUUCUUUCGUCGGGGAAGUAGAUAGUGGAGUUCUCUGGGUCAGCGGGCUCUCGGCCCCUGGCUUGCUGAAGGCGAUCUUUUUUCGGAGCGCUGGAGGUUGCGCUUUUCCCUGCCUUACUUCGACAUUUUCGGAGGUUGUUGGAGGAGACUUCUUCCUUGGCGGAUCUGCGAUGCGAUGUAGAGCUCCUUCUUCAUCUGCUACGGAUGAGAUAGUUCCAAAGCGGAACACAGAUCCGGGGCGGAGCUAGCUUAGAUCGGCGACACACCCCCUACUUGGCGCGCCAGCUGUCGGUGUUUUGGGUCCGACCGCACACCCGGGGUUGCCCCUCAAGGUGUUUUUAGGAGUAGGACGGUGUUACCGACUGUAGCUCAAUGGUUCGUGCAGGGUGCACGAGAAACAGUAGAUAAUGGUGUACAGGUUCGGGCCGCUUUGAGAUGCGUAACACCCUACGUCCUGGCGAGAAUGCUUUAUGUGGUGGAUUACAAGGGAGCUCUCUAACGCUAGAACGUAGAGAGCUAGGGUGGAUGGCUGAGUAGUGAGAUCGAUCGUUCUGAAGGGGUGCCCCCUAGGUCUUAUAUAUUCGACCGUGAGGCAAUACAUGUGGAUAUGAUAACAAUGCGCACCUAAGAGAUAGUGAACUGAUUGAGUCUAUCUUCCUAUAGUUCUGCCGACUCAUCCUCGCUUGGUUCCGUUGUACGGGGCUCCAGCGCGGGAAAGUCGGGUCUCUGGUGUGGUUACUUGCUCGACGUUGUUGGGCCGUCUGGGCUCGCACCGAUCCGGCCUCGUGUCGAUCUGCUUCACUGGUCGUUCUUCCCCAGGCCCACGAAGGGAUGACCUUACGAAUUAUUGGGCCCUCGGGCCUUUCGUGAGGUCUUUUAUCCUUCCAGUGGACCCGAGGGAUAUCUGUCCCCCACAUCCGCCAAGAGGGAGAUGGAAACGGCCACAAGCCACGGGAAGGCUCCAUCAAGGGAGUCCGGCGGUAAACGAAGGGAGGAAUCACCUCCUCGCGUCAAGUCGCACCGGAGUGGUGACAAGAAGAAGAAAAUGAAGAAAGUGGUCUACUACGAGACCGAUUCCUCGUCGCCAUCCACCUUCGGCUCCGAAGCUCCGUCCAUCACUUCUAAGCGCCAUGAGCGCAAGAAGUUUAGUAAGAUUCACCUACGCUAUCCCCGCAUUUCCAAACGCACUCCUUUACUUUCCGUCCCAUUAGGCAAACCACCAGUUUUUUACGGUGAAGAUUAUUGUAUGUGGAGUGAUAAAAUGAGGCAUCACCUAACCUCACUCCACGCUAGCAUUUGGGACAUAGUUGAAUUUGGAGCGCAGGUACCAUCCGGGGGGAUGAAGGAUAUGAUUCGGACGAAGUCGCCCAAAUCCAACAUUUUGACUCCCAAGCCACCACUAUACUUCUCGCCUCUCUAUGUCGAGAGGAGUAUAACAAGGUGCAAGGGCUAAAAAGUGCCAAUGAGAUUUGGGAUGUGCUAAAGACCGCACAUGAAGGGGAUGAGGUGACCAAGAUCACCAAGCGGGAGACGAUCGAGGGGGAGCUCGGUCGUUUCAUCCUCAACCAAGGAGAGGAGCCACAAGCCAUGUACAACCGGCUCAAGACCUUGGUGAACCAAGUGCGCAACCUCGGGAGCACCAAAUGGGAUGACCAUGAAAUGGUCAAGGUUAUUCUAAGAUCACUUGUUUUUCGUAAUCCCACACAAGUUCAAUUAAUUCGUGGUGAUCCUAGAUAUAAGCUAAUGUCUCUCGAGGAGGUUAUAGGAAAGUUUGUGAGCUUUGAGUUGAUGAUCAAAGGCUCCAAACAAAUCAUCGAGCAAGGUGGCACCUCCACACCCGAGGUGCAACCCAUCACAUUUAAAGCGACGGAAGAAAAGAAAGAAGAGUCUACAUCAAGUAGGCUCCCCAUCGACGCCUCCAAGCUCGACAACGAGGAGAUAGCGCUCAUCAUCAAGAGCUUCCACCAAAUCCUCAAACAAAGGAGGGGGAAGGAUUACAAAUCCCGCUCCAAGAAAGUUUGAUACAAAUGUGGUAAGCCCGGUCAUUUUAUUGCUAAAUGUCCAUUAUCAAGUGAUAGUGACAGGCGCGACGACAAGAAGGGAAAGAGGAAGGAAAAGAAGAGAUACUACAAGAAGAAGGGCGGCGAUGCCCACGUGUGUCGAGAAUGGGACUCGGACGAGAGCUCCACCGACUCCUCCUUUGACGAGGACGCCGCCAACAUCGCCGUCACCAAAGGCCUCCUCUUCCCCAACGUCGGCCACAAGUGCCUCAUGGCAAAGGACAGCAAGAAAAAGAAGGUACAAGCUAGAACCACCCCCAAGUAUACUACAUCUAGUGAUGAGGGCAGUUCUAGUGAUGAUGAAGAUAACUUGCUUAGUCUUUUUGCCAACCUUAACAUGCAACAAAAGGAAAAAUUAAAUGAACUAAUAGGUUCCAUUCAUGAGAAGGAUGAACUCUUGGAUAGCCAAGAGGAAUUCCUUAUUAAAGAAAAUAAAAAACAUGUUAAGGUAAAGAAUGUUUAUGCUCAGGAAGUAGAAAAGAAUGAAAAUUUGACUAAGGAGCUUAGCAUUUGCCAUGACACAAUUUCCAACCUUAGAAAUGAGAACGGUAAUUUAAAUGCUAAGGUUGAAAAAUCAAAUGUUUGUCAUGAUUCAAUUGUCAAUCUUAAAAAUGAUAAUGCUAGUUUGGUUGCUAAGAUUGAUAAAUUGAAUGAAUCAAUUUCUAGCCUUAAAAUUGAAAAUGCUAGUUUAAUUUCAAAGGCUAAGGAAUUGAAUGUUUGCAAUAUUUCUAUUUCCAAUCUUAGAAAUGAGAAUGCCAUGUUACAUGCUAAGAUUGAUGAAUUAAAAUCUUGCAAACCCUAUACAUCCACUAUUGAUCAUGUUUCUAUUUGCAUGAGAUGUAGAGAUAUUAAUGUUGAUGCUAUCCAUGAUCACCUAGCUUUAAUUAAAGAACAAAAUGAUCACAUAGCUCAACUAACUGCUAAAAUUAAUGAGCAUGAGAUAGAAAAUGAAAAAUUUAAAUUUGCUAGAAGCAUGCUCUAUAAUGGGAGACGCCCUGGCAUUAAGGAUGGCAUUGGCUUCCAACAGGGAGACAAUAUCAAGCUUAAUACCCCUAAGAAAUUGUCUAAUUUUGUUAAGGGUAAGGCUCCCAUGGCUCAAGAUAACGAGGGUUACAUUUUAUAUCCUACUGGUUAUCCUGAGCACAAGAUUAGGAGAAUUCAUGCUAGGAAGUCUCAUUCUGUUUCCCAUCAUGCUUUUAUGUAUAAGACUGAGGCAUCCAGCUCUAGGCAUUCUACACAUGUUAAAAUGCCUAAAAAUAAAUCUCCUAUUGUAUCAAAUGAGCCCAGUGUUUCAUUUAAGACUUUUGAUGCUUCUUAUGUUUUAACUAACAAAUCAGGCAAAGUAGUUGCCAAAUAUGUUGGGGGCAAACACAAGGGCUCCAAGACUUGUGUUUGGGUACCCAAGGUGCUUGUCUCUAAUGUGAAAGGACCCAAGACCGUUUGGGUACCUAAGAACAAGGCCUAAACUUGUUUUGUAGGUUUAUGCAUCUGGGGGCUCAAGUUGGAUCAUUGAUAGCGGAUGCACAAACCACAAGACACGGGAGAAAAGGAUGUUCUCCUCCUACGAGAAAAACGAUGAUCCCCAAAGAGCUAUCACAUUUGGGGAUGAAAAUCAAGGUUUGGUCAAAGGACUUGGUAAAAUUGCUAUAUCACCUGACCAUUCCAUUUCCAAUGUUUUUCUUGUAGAUUCUUUAGAUUACAAUUUGCUUUCAGUUUCUCAAUUAUGCAAAAUGGGUUACAACUAUCUUUUUACAGAUAGGUGUUACUGUCUUUAUAAGAAGUGAUGAUUCAGUAGCAUUUAAGGGAGUAUUAGAGGGUCAGCUAUACUUAGUUGAUUUUAAUAGAGCUGAACUCGAUACUUGCUUAAUUGCUAAGACUAAUAUGGGUUGGCUCUGGCAUCGCCGACUAGCCCAUGUUGGGAUGAAGAAUCUUCACAAACUUCUAAAGGGAGAACACAUUUUGGGACUAACAAAUGUUCAUUUUGAGAAAGACAGGGUUUGUAGCGCAUGUCAAGCAGGAAAGCAAGUUGGUGCCCAUCAUCCACACAAGAACAUCAUGACGACCGACAGGACGCUUGAGCUACUCCACAUGGAUCUAUUCGGCCCGAUAGCUUACAUAAGCAUCGACGGGAGUAAGUAUUGUCUUGUAAUUGUGGAUGAUUAUUCUCGCUUCACUUGGGUAUUCUUCUUGCAGGAAAAAUCUCAAACCCAAGAGACCUUAAAGGGAUUCUUAAGACGAGCUCAAAACGAGUUCGGAUUAAGGAUCAAGAAGAUAAGAAGCGACAACGGGACGGAGUUCAAGAACUCUCAAAUUGAAGGAUUUCUUGAGGAGGAGGACAUCAAGCAUGAGUUCUCUUCUCCCUACACACCUAAACAAAAUGGUGUAGUGGAGAGGAAGAAUCGAACUCUACUGGACAUGGCAAGGACCAUGCUUGAUGAAUACAAGACUUUGGACCGGUUUUGGGCUGAGGCGAUUAACACCGCUUGCUACUCCAUCAACCGGCUUUAUCUUCACCGAAUCCUCAAGAAGACAUCUUAUGAACUCCUCACCGGUAAAAAGCCCAAUGUUUCAUAUUUUAGAGUCUUUGGUAGCAAAUGUUUUGUUCUUAUUAAAAGAGGUAGAAAAUCCAAAUUUGCUCCUAAGGCUGUAGAAUGCUUUUUACUUGGUUAUGACUCAAACACAAGGGCAUAUAGAGUCUUCAACAAAUCCACUGGAUUAGUUGAGGUUUCUUGUGACAUUGUAUUUGAUGAAAGUAAUGGCUCUCAAGUAGAGCAAGUUGAUCUUGAUGAGCUAGAUGGUGAAGAGGCUCCAUGCGUCGCGCUAAGGAACAUGUCCAUUGGGGAUGUGUGUCCUAAGGAAUCCGAAGAGCUCACUCAAGCUCAAGAUCAACUGUCAUCUUCCAUGCAAGCAUCUCCACCAACCCAAGAUAAGGAUCAGGCUCAAGAUAAUGAAGAAGAAGAUCAAGAAGAUGAGCCACCUCAAGAGGAGGACAAUGGUCAAGGGGGAGAUGAUAAUGAUCAAGAAAAGGAAGAUGAUCAAGAAGAUCAGGGUCAAAGACCGCCACACCCAAGAGUCCACCAAGCGAUACAACGAGAUCACCCUGUGAACUCCAUCCUCGUCGAUAUUCAUAAGGGGGUAACCACUCGAUCUCGUAUCGCUCAUUUUUGUGAACAUUACUCUUUUGUGUCUUCUAUUGAGCCAUACAGGGUAGAAGGCGCAUUAAGGGAUUUGGAUUGGGUGUUGGCAAUGCAAGAGGAGCUCAACAACUUCACGAGGAAUGAGGUAUGGCAUUUAGUUCCACGUCCUAACCAAAAUGUUGUAGGAACCAUGUGGGUAUUCCGCAACAAGCAAGAUGAGCAUGGUGUGGUGACAAGGAACAAAGCCCGACUUGUGACCAACGGCUAUUCACAAGUUGAAGGUUUGGAUUUUGGUGAAACCUAUGCACCCGUAGCUAGGCUUGAAUCAAUUCGUGUAUUACUUGUCUAUGCUACUUACAAUGGCUUUAAGCUCUAUCAAAUGGACGUGAAAAGUGCCUUCCUCAAUGGACCAAUCAAGGAAGAGGUCUAUGUGAAAGGAAAAUGUGCCCUUGGGCCAUUUCUACAAUGUUUUGGUGAUUAAAUGUCCAACACGUUUGAUUAAGUUCUUUUGUACCAAAUAAAGAGAGAAGUACAAAUCAAGGCACAAGGUAUGUUUCUAGACUUAGUACAUUGUUGUUUGAACGCUAAUGUGCUUGUCUAAGUGCUAGAAAUAGUGAGAAAAGAAGAAGAAAAGAAACCGAAAAGACUUGGCUCUGUGCAGCCAAACUUCAGCUCAGUCUGGCACACCGGACAGUGUCCGGUGCGCCAGGCUGAUCUCUGGUGAAAGUGCUGCUCUCGGGAAUCGACGGCGACGUACGGCUAAAAAUCACCGGACUGUCCGGUGGUGCACCGGACUGUCCGGUAAGCCAACGGUCGCCUGCGCCAACGGCCAGCCACGCAAUCUUCGUGUGACACGUGGUCGCGCUAACGGUCAGUUGGGCACACCGGACUGUCCGGUGCGCCAACCGACCCCGAGGACCAACGGUCGGAUACGCCUAAUUUGGAAGGCGAUCACGCAUCGGACAACUACAGUGGCUGUCCGGUGGUGCACCGGACUGUCCGGUGCACCACCCGACAGAAGGCAAGUUUGGCCUUCCAAGUUGGCCUCCAACGGCUCCUAGCUGCCUUGGGGCUAUAAAAGGGACCCCUAGGCGCAUGGAGGAGCUACCCAAGUAUUCACUAAGCAUUCUAAGACUCCCACACUCCGUCUCCGCGCACUUGAUCGAUUGUGUUAGUGAUUUGAGCUCCGUUCGAGUUGUGAACUCUCUGUGCUACAUUUCGAGCUCAAGUCUUGGCUUGUGUGCGUGUGUGUGCUGCGGAUUUGUGUUGUGUGUGUGCUGCUUCUCCCAACCUUACUCCAUGCUUUCCUUGUGAUCUUUAUUGUAAGGGCGAGAGACUCCAAAUUGUGGAGAUUCCUCGCAAACGAGAAGAUACUCUAAACAAAAAGACCGUGGUAUUCAAGUUGAUCAUUGGAUCACUUGGAAGGGGUUGAGUGCAACCCUCGUCCAUUGGGACGCCACAACGUGGAAGUAGGCAAGUGUUACUUGGCCGAACCACGGGAUAAAAAUCAUGUGUCUCUUGUGUUGGAUUAUCUGUGAUUGUUGUGUUCACAAGAACUCGCUUCAAAGCUACUUCGUCGCUAACGCUAUAACAUCUAAGUUUUGUGGCUAUUUAGAGUUUGAUUUUACAGGAUCACCUAUUCACCCCCCCCCCUCUAGGUGCUCUCAAUUGGUAUCAGAGUCGUACUCUUCACGUAAGGGACUAAUCGCCCGAAGAGAUGGAUCCUAAGGGAAAGGGGAUGGUGGUCAAUGACAAGGAGAAGGAGUCCAUCUUCAACGAGCCAAGAGAUAACAAGCCCACUGACUCAGGCUCGAGUCACAAGAAGAAGGACGGGAAGAAGAAGAGGCGCAUCAAGAAGAUCAUCUACUACGACAGCGAUGCAUCUUCUUCUUUACCAAGAGACGACGACGAUGACGAUUCUUCGUCAAAGAAAAAGAUGCUUAAUCAAAACUAUUCUUUUGAUUAUUCCUGCAUGUCGUACAAUUCAAAUGCGCAUCUACUUUCAAUUCCCCUUGGAAAACCUCCACACUUUGAUGGAGAGGACUAUUCGUUUUGGAGUCAUAAAAUGCGUAGUCAUUUAUUCUCUCUCCAUCCUAGCAUAUGGGAAAUUGUAGAAAAUGGGAUGCACUUUGACAUCACUGAUAAUCCUGUGAUUAUUAAUGAGCAAAUCCAUAAAAAUGCCUAAGCUACUACUGUGUUGUUAGCAUCUCUUUGCAGCGACGAGUAUAACAAAGUGAGUGGCUUGGACAAUGCCAAACAAAUCUAGGAUACCCUCAAGAUAUCACAUGAGGGAAAUGAUGCCACUAUGAUCACAAAGAUGGAACUAGUGGAAGGCGAGCUGGGGAGGUUCGCGAUGAUCAGGGGAGAGGAGCCAACUCAGACCUACAACAGGCUCAAGACUCUGGUCAACAAGAUCCGAAGGUAUGGAAGCACAAGAUGGACGGAUCAAGAUGUCAUCCGACUCACGUUAAGGUCAUUUACUGUAAUUGACCCCCAUCUUGUAAAUCUUAUUCGUGAAAAUCCCAGGUACACCAAGAUGACGCCCGAGGAGAUCCUUGGAAAAUUUGUGAGCGGGUGCAUGAUGGUGAAGGAGGCACGAUACGUGGAUGACGCUUUGAAUGGUCCACUACCCAUCUACGAGCCACGGCCUAUUGCUCUCAAAGCAACAAGCAGCAAGGAGGCACUACCAAGCAAGGUAGCUCAAGUGGAGGCUGCCGGACUCAAUGAAGAUGAGAUGGCGCUUAUCAUCAGCGUUUCAAGACCGCACUCAAAGGAUGCAAGGAGUACCCCAACAGAAAUAAAACAAAGGGAAGACGCUCCUGCUUCAAAUGCGGUAAGACUGGUUACUUUAUUGCAAACUUUCCCGAUAAUGAUAGUGACCAGGGACAAGAAAAGAGCGGGAAGAAGGAGAAAAAGAAGAACUACAGGAAGGCAAAGGGCGAGGCGCACCUUGGAAAGGAAUGGGACUCGGACUGCUCCUCUUCCGACUCUGACGACGAAGGACUUUCUGCCUCGGCUUUCAACAAAUCCUCACUCUUCCCCAACGAUCGUCAUACAUGUCUUAUGGCCAAGGAGAAAAAGGUACGUAUUCGAGAUUCUCCUAAGUACUCUACUUCUAGUGAUGAGGAAUCCUCCGAUGAUGAAGUAGAUUACUCUUAUUUAUUUAAAGGAUUAGAUAGAGCCAAGCUAGAGAAAAUUAAUGAAUUAAUUGAUGCUCUAAAUGAAAAGGAUAGAUUGCUAGAGAAACAAGAAGAUAUUUUGUAUGAAGAACAUGACAAAUUUAUUAGUGUUCAAAAAUCUCUUGCUCUAGAAAUUAAAAGAAAUGAAAUGCUAUCCUCUGAGUUGUCUGCUUGUCAUGAAUCUGUUUCUAGUUUAAGGAGUUUAAAUGAUGAAUUAAAUGCUAAGCUAGAGGAAGCUAGUAAAAUAAGUUCAUGUGUAGAGCAUGUAAGUCUUUGUAUAGAUGUAAAGACUUUGAUGUUGAUGCAUAUGAUGAACAUCUGAUUGCUAUUACUACAUUGAAUGAUGAGGUGGCAAGUCUUAAUGCUCAACUUAAUACUUGCAAAAGUGAUUUUGAUAAAUUAAAGUUUGCUAGGGAAUCCUACACUAUUGGUAGACACCCCUCAAUUAAGGAUGGACUUGGGUUUCGAAAGGAAACCAAGAACUUGACAAAGCCAAAAAGCUCCCGUUCUCAACAAGGAGAAAGGGAAGGCCCCUAUGGCUAGUAGUCUUCAAAGGAAUCAUGCUUUUAUUUAUGAUAGGUAAAUUGCUAGUCGUUCCAAUUAUAAUAAGAGUUAUGUUCAUGCUGCUUAUAAUGAUUCACAUGCUAUGUUUGCCUCUAGCUCUACUUUUGUUCAUGGUAGAAGUAGGCCUAGGAGAAAUAAUGUUGUGCCUCAUGUGCCUAGGAAAAUGUGCAAUGAACCUUCUACCAUUUACCAUGCUUGCAAUACUUCAUUUGUGCUUUUACGUAAAAAUGAAAAAGUAGUUGCUAGGAAGUUGGGAUCCAAAUGCAAGGGAGACAAAACUUGCAUAUGGGUUCCAAAAACUAUUUUGACUAACCUUGUAGGACCCAAUAAGAGUUGGGUACCUAAAACCCAAGCUUAAAUUCCUUGCAGGUUUAUGCAUCCAAGGGCUCAAGCUAGAUUAUCGACAACGGAUGCACAAACCACAUGACGGGGGAGAAGAAGAUGUUCACCUCCUACGUCAAGAACAAGGAUUCCCAGGAUACGAUCAUCUUUGGAGAUGGGAACCAAGGCAAGGUCAAAGGCUUGGGCAAGAUAGCCAUCACCAACGAGCACUCCAUAUCGAAUGUAUUUCUAGUAGAGUCGCUUGGUUACAACCUUCUGUCUAUAAGUCAAUUGUGUCACAUGGGUUACAAUUGUCUUCUUACAAACGUUGAUGUAUCUGUCUUUAGAAGGAGUGAUGGUUCAUUAGCUUUUAAGGGUGUAUUAGACGGCAAACUCUACUUAGUUGAUUUUUCGAAAGAGGAGGCCGAUCUAGAUGCAUGCUUAAUAGCUAAGACUAGUAUGGGUUGGUUGUGGCAUCGCCGUCUAGCACAUGUUGGGAUGAAGAACCUUCAUAAACUUCUAAAGGGAGAACAUGUGUUAGGACUAACCAAUGUUUGUUUCGAGAAAGAUAGGCCUUGUGCAGCAUGUCAGGCAGGGAAACAGGUGGGAAGCACUCAUCAUAGCAAGAAUGUGAUGACAACAUCAAGACCACUGGAGCUUCUUCACAUGGACCUCUUCGGAGCCGUUGCCUACCUUAGCAUCGGGGCAAGUAAGUAUGGUCUUGUAAUUGUUGAUGAUUUUCCUGCUUCACUUGGUGUUCUUUUUGCAGUUUAAAUCAGAAACCCAAGGGACCCUAAAACGCUUUCUAAGGAGGGCUCAAAACGAAUUUGAGCUAAAGGUGAAAAAGAUAAGGAGCGACAAUAGGUCCGAGUUUAAGAAUCUGCAAGUUGAGGAGUAUCUUGAGGAGGAAGGCGUCAAGCACGAGUUCUCCACUCCCUACACACCACAGCAAAACGGUGUGGUAGAGAGGAAGAACAUGACGCUUAUCGACAUGGCGAGAAUGAUGCUUGGAGAGUUCAAGACACCCGAGCGGUUUUGGUCGAAAGCUGUGAACACAGCUUGCCACGCCAUAAACUGACUCUAUCUGCAUCGCCUUCUCAAGAAGACCUCCUACGAACUCCUUACCGGUAACAAACCCUACGUCUCCUACUUUCGUGUAUUUGGGAGCAAAUGUUACAUUCUGGUGAAGAAAGGUAGACAUUCUAAAUUUGCUCCCAAGGCAGUAGAAGGGUUUUUACUAGGGUACGACUCAAAUACAAAGGCGUAUAGAGUCUUCAACAAAUCAUCAGGUUUGGUUGAAGUCUCUAGCAACGUUGUAUUUGAUGAGACUAAUGGCUCUCCAAGAGAGCAAGUUGGUCUUGAUGACAUAGAUGAAGAUGAUGUUCCAACGGCCGCAAUGCGCACGAUGGCGAUUGGUGAUGUGCGGCCACAGGAACAACAGGAGCAAGAUCAGCCAUCUUCCUCCACAAUGGUGCAUCCUCCAACUCAAGACGGUGCACAGGUACCUCAAGAAGAGGGACAAGAUCAAGGGGGAGCAUAGGAAGAACAAGUGAUGCAGGAAGAAGCACCACGUGCCCCUCCAACUCAAGUCCGAGCAACGAUCCAACGACAUCACCCCGUUGACCAGAUUCUGGGUGACAUAAGCAAGGGAGUAACUACUCGCUCAAGAUUAGCAAACUUUUGUGAGCAUUACUCGUUUGUCUCUUCUAUUGAGCCUUUCAGGGUAGAAGAGGCCUUGCAGGAUCCGGAUUGGGUGUUGGCCAUGCAGGAAGAGCUCAACAACUUCAAGAGAAAUGAAGUUUGGAGCCUGGUGCCACAUCCAAAGAAAAAUGUUGUGGGAACCAAGUGGGUGUUUCGCAAUAAGCAAGACGAGCACGGGGUGGUGACAAGAAACAAGGCUCGACUUGUGGCAAAAGGUUAUGCCCAAGUCGCAGGUUUGGAUUUCGAGGAGACUUUUUCUCCUGUGGCUAGGCUAGAGUCUAUUCGAAUUUUAUUGGCCUAUGCCGCUCACCACUCUUUCAGGCUAUUUCAAAUGGAUGUGAAGAGCGCUUUCCUCAAUGGGCCAAUAAAGGAGGAGGUAUACAUGGAACAACCACCUGGCUUUGAGGAUGACAGGUACACCGACCAUGUGUUCAAGCUCUCUAAGGCGCUCUAUGGACUUAAGCAAGCCCAAGAGCAUGGUAUGAAUGCCUUAGAGAUUUCUUAAUUGCUAAUGCCUUCAAGGUUGGGAAAGUCGAUCCCACUCUUUUUACAAAGACUUGUGAUGGUGAUAUUUUUGUGUGCCAAAUUUAUGUCGAUGACAUAAUAUUUGGUUCUACUAAUCAAAAGUCUUGUGAGGAGUUUAGCAGGGUGAUGACACAAAAGUUCGAGAUGUCGAUGAUGGGCAAGUUGACCUACUUUCUUGGGUUCCAAGUGAAGCAACUCAAGGAUGGCACCUUCAUCUCCCAAACGAAGUACACACAAGAUCUUCUUAAGCGGUUUGGGAUGAAGGACGCCAAGCCCGCGAAGACACCGAUGGGAACCGACGGGCAUGUUGACCUCAACAAAGGAGGUAAGUCCAUUGAUCAAAAGGCAUACCGGUCCAUGAUAGGUUCAUUGCUUUAUUUAUGUGCUAGUAGAGCGGACAUUAUGCUAAGUGUAUGCAUGUGUGCUAGAUAUCAAUCCGGCCCCAAGUAAUGUCACCUUGUGGCCGUUAAGCGAAUUCUUAGAUAUUUAGUUUCUACGCCUUGCUUUGGGAUCUGGUAUCCAAAGGGAUCUACCUUUGACUUGAUUGGAUACUCAGACUCCAAUUAUGCCGGGUGCAAGGUUGAUAGGAAGAGCACAUCUGGGACGUGCCAAUUUCUAGGAAGGUCCCCGGUGUCCUGGAGUUCAAAGAAACAAACAUUUGUUGCCCUAUCCACCGCUGAGGCCGAGUAUGUUGCCGCAGGACAGUGUUGCGCGCAACUACUUUGGAUGAGGCAAACCCUCCGAGACUUUGGCUACAAUCUGAGCAAAGUCCCACUCCUAUAUGACAAUGAGAGUGCUAUCCGCAUGGCGGAUAAUCCUGUUGACCACAGCCGCACUAAGCACAUAGACAUCCGGCAUCACUUCCUGAGAUACCACCAGCAAAAGGGAGAUAUCGAGGUGUACCAUAUUAGCAAUGAGAACUAGCUAGCCGAUAUCUUUACCAAGCCGUUGGAUGAGAAAACUUUUUGCAAGUUGCGUAGUGAGCUAAAUGUCUUAGAUUCGCGUAACUUGGAUUGAUCUAUAGCAUACAUGUGCUCUAUGCCUUUGAUCAUGUUACUUUGAAGCAUUUACAUUACUUGUUGUAUAUUUGUGGUGCUCAAGUUGUACAAGACCUCCCCGGACCUCACAAGUCAAUAUGCAAAUGGUGCACAUAUUUAGGGGGAGAUAUGCUACAACUUGACCCUUUGAGACUAACCUUUGUGUUUGAGUAUACUUGAUGUAGUCUCAAAAGUGCAUUGAAAGGGAAAGGUGAACUUGGAUGAUGUAAAGACUUCCACUGCACUCCGGUAUUAGUGUACUCACUUCCAAGUUCAUACUUGCAAUUUCAUUGCCUUUUUCUCUUAAUUGACAUUUUUGGUGAGGCAAUGGGGUUAAGAGGGCCAAAAAUGAUUCUGUUUUGGUGCUUAAUGCCAAAGGGGGGGAAAUUAAGGCCAAAGCAACUGGAUCAGCCAACCACUUGAGAAUUUUGAAAAUAGUAGAGUUAGAAUUUGAUUUUGUCAAAAUACUCUAAUUGCAAAAUUUGGUCUCUUGUGGGGGAGAAUUCUUGAUUAUGGUAAAAGGGGGAGUUUUUGGUACUUGAUCAAUUUUUCUCUUGGAAUAUCUCUUGAGUUGCCCAAACAAGUGUGCUUGACUUAGAGAUAGGAAAAAUGAUUUGAUUUACAAAAACAAACCAAGUGGUGGCAAAGAGUGAUCCAAAUAUGCCAAAUCAAUAGCGAAAACAAUUUGGUCUUCAAUUGCAUUGAUUUUGCACUUCUUUUGUUGCUUUUUGAUGUGUUGGCAUAAAUCACCAAAAAGGGGGAGAUUGAAAGGAAAAUGUGCCCUUGGGCCAUUUCUAUAAUGUUUUGGUGAUUAAAUGUCCAACACGUUUGAUUAAGUUCUUUUGUACCAAAUAAAGAGAGAAGUACAAAUCAAGGCACAAGGUAUGUUUCUAGACUUAGUACAUUGUUGUUUGAACGCUAAUGUGCUUGUCUAAGUGCUAGAAACAGUGAGAAAAGAAACUGAAAAGACUUGGCUCUGUGCAGCUAAACUUUAGCUCAGUCUGGCACACCGGACUGUCCGGUGGUGCACCAGACAGUGUCCGGUGCCCCAGGCUGGUCUCCGAUGAAAGUGCUGCUCUCGGGAAUCGACGGCGGCGUACGACUAAAAAUCACCGGACUGUCCAGUGAGCCAACGGUCGCCUGCGCCAACGGUCAACCGCGCAAUCUUCGCGUGACACGUGGUCGCGCCAACGGUCGGUUGGGCACACCGGACUGUCCGGUGUGCACCGGACAGUGUCCGGUGCGCCAACCAACCCUGAGAACCAAUGGUCGAAUGCGCCUAAUUUGGAAGGCGAUCGCACACCGGACAACUACAGUGACUCUCCGGUGCACCACCCGACAGAAGGCAAGUUUGGCCUUCCAAGUUGGCCUCCAACGGCUCCUAGCUGCCUUGGGGCUAUAAAAGGGACCCCUAGGCGCAUGGAGGAGCUUCACAAGUAUUCACUAAGCAUUCUAAGACUCACACACUCCGUCUCUGUGCACUUGAUCGAUUGUGUUAGUGAUUUGAGCUCCGUUCGAGUUGUGAACUCUCUGUGCUACGUUUCGAGCUCAAGUCUUGGCUUGUGUGCGUGUGUGUGCUGUGGAUUUGUGUUGUGUGUGUGUUGCUUCUCCCAACCUUACUCCAUGCUUUCCUUGUGAUCUUUAUUGUAAGGGCGAGAGACUCCAAAUUGUGGAGAUUCCUCGCAAACGGGAAGAUACUCUAAACAAAAAGACCAUGGUAUUCAAGUUGAUCAUUAGAUCACUUGAAAGGGGUUGAGUGCAACCCUCGUCCAUUGGGACGCCACAACGUGGAAGUAGGCAAGUGUUACUUGGCCGAACCAUGGGAUAAAAAUCGCGUGUCUCUUGUGUUGGAUUAUCUGUGAUUGUUGUGUUCACAAGAACUCGCUUCAAAGCUACUUCAUCACUAACGCUAUAACAUCUAAGUUUUGUGGCUAUUUAGAGUUUGAUUUUACAGGAUCACCUAUUCACCCCCCCCUCUAGGUGCUCUCACUAUGUUGAGCAACCUCCCGACUUUGAAGAUAGUGAGUACCCUAACCAUGUGUAUAAACUCUUAAAGGCGCUUUAUGGGCUCAAGCAAGCCCCAAGAGCAUGGUAUGAAUGCCUAAGAGAUUUCCUUAUCACUAAUGGUUUCAAAGUCGGAAAAGCCGAUCAUACUCUCUUUACUAAAAACAUUGCAAAAGAUUUGUUUGUAUGUCAAAUUUAUGUUGAUGAUAUCAUAUCUGGGUCUACUAACAAACCUACUUGUGAAGAGUUUAGUAGGAUAAUGAUUCAAAAAUUCGAGAUGUCUAUGAUGGAGGAGUUGAAGUAUUUCCUAGGAUUUCAAGUGAAGCAACUCCAAGAGGGAAUCUUCAUCAGCCAAACCAAGUACAUUCAAGAUAUACUUACCAAGUUUGGAAUGAAGGAUGCCAAGCCCAUCAAGACACCCAUGGGAACCAAUGGGCAUCUUGACCUCAACACGGGAGGUAAAUCCCUAGAUCAAAAGGUAUAUCAGUCGAUGAUAGGAUCUCUACUCUAUUUAUGUGCAUCUUGACCGGAUAUUAUGCUUUCUGUAUGCAUGUGUGCAAGAUUCCAAGUCGAUCCUAAGGAAGUUCACCUUAGGGCCGUAAAAAGAAUCUUGAGAUAUUUAGUUCACACACCUAAGUUUGGUCUUUGGUACCCCAAGGGAUCCACCUUUGAUUUAAUAGGUUAUUCAGAUGUUGAUUGGGCAGGGUGUAAAAUUGAUAGAAAGAGCACAUCAGGGACUUGUCAGUUUUUGGGAAGAUCCCUGGUGUCUUGGGCUUCAAAGAAACAAAAUUCAGUAGCUCUUUCUACCGCCGAAGCAGAAUAUAUUGCCGCAGGAAAUUAUUGUGCGCAAUUACUUUGGAUGAGGCAAAUCCUUAGGGACUACGACUACAAAUUUAGCAAAGUCCCUCUCCUAUGUGACAAUGAGAGUGCAAUCCGCAUGGCGGAUAAUCCCGUUGAACACAGCCGCACUAAGCACAUAUUCAUUCGGUAUCACUUUUUGAGGGAUCACCAACAAGGGGGGAUAUCGAGAUUGCUUAUGUUAGCACCAAAGAACAAUUAGCCGAUAUAUUUACCAAGCCAUUAGAUGAGAAAACCUUUACCAAACUUAGGAAUGAGCUAAACAUCCUUGAUUCUCGGAACUUUGAUUGACACUUUGCACACAUAGUUCAUUUAUGUACCUUUGAUCACAUCUCUUUCACUUUGGUACAAAUGCACAAUUCCCAUUAUUUAUGUACCAAAGCUAUGACUAAUGUGUAUUCAAGUGUAUUUCUACUAAGUCAUAGAAUGAAAGGGAAAUGGAGUCUUCGGCGACGACUAGGCUUCCACUCCACUCUAUCGAUAUCAAUUACCCUUCGCUGUCACUCCGCACCACUCUCCACUUUGGUAUAAUCUUCACUCUUAUUACUAGUACCAAUGGGGAGAAAGUAAAAAGGGCUCAUAUUUUACUUACAAAGUAUCCGUUUUUGGUGAUUCAUGUCAAAGGGGGAGAACGUAUUAGCCCAAAGCAAAAGGACCGCACCGACCGCACCACCACCAAUUUCAAAAAGUUUUUAAAAGCAGUCUUUCAAUUAGUAUUAGAGAAGUUUUUCAAUUGGUAUCUUACUUUUGAUAUAAUUUCAAAUUGGUAUGACCUCUUUCAAAAUUGACAUCUAAAAACCCUCUUGAUCCCUAAGAGGAGAAUUUCAUUGAGGGGGAGUUUUGUUUUAGUCAAAGGAAAUGCAUUUGAAAUAGGGGGAGAAAAUUUCAAAUCUUGAAAAUGCUUCUUACAAACUUAUUCAUAUACCUUUGACUAUUUGCAAAAGGACUUUGAAAAGAUUUUCCAAAAGAAUUUGCAAAAACAAAACAAGUGGUGCAAGCGUGGUCCAAAAUGUUAAAAGAAAGAAAGCAAUCCAUGCAUAUCUAAUAAAAGUUAAAUUGGUUUAAUUCCAAGCAACCUUUGCACUUCUUUAUGCAAACUAGUUCAAUUCUGCACUUAAAUAUUUGCUUUGGUUUGUGUUGGCAUCAAUCACCAAAAAGGGGGAGAUUGAAAGGGAAAUAGGGUCAAACCUUUUCCUAAAUGAUUUUGGUGGUUGAAAUGUCCAACACAAAUUAUUGGACUAACUAGUUUGCUCUAGAUUAUAUGUUCUACAGGUGCCAAAGGUUCAACACAAAUCAAUAAAAAGAUCAAAGUUAGGGUUCAAAAGAAAGGAGCAAAAGAAACCGAAGAGAACUCUGGUCUGGUGCACCGGACUGUCCGAUGCACCAGGGAGGAUCGACCUCAAACUCUUCACCUUCGGGUUUCUCCAGGCGCACUCCGCUAUAAUUCACCGGACUGUCCAAUGUGCCACCGGACUGUCCGGUGCACCAAGCGGAGCAACGGCUAUCAGCGCAAUGGUCGACUACACGGUGUCCUGACAGAGCUACAGUUCAUGGCAGAAGUCAGAGCAGGCGCCAGAGGCGCACCGGACACUGAACAGUAGCUGUCUGGUGCGGCACCGGACUGUUCGGUGCACCAAGAUGUCAGAGCUCCAACGGUCGAACCCGUUAGAACCCUAACGGUUGGGUGAUGUGGCUGGCGCACCAGACUGUCUGGUGCGCCCAUCGACAGCAGCCCUCCCCAACGGCUGUUUUGGUGGUUGGGGCUAUAAAUACCCCCCAACCACCACCAUUCAAGGCAUCCAAGUUUCCAACAUUUUGCAUUCAAUACAAGAGCUCUAGACUUCACUCCAAGACACAAACAAGAGAUCAAAUCCUCUCCCAAGUCCAAAAUCACUCCAAACACUUAGUGACUAGUGAGAGAGAGAUUUUCGUGUUCAUUUGAGUUCUUGACGCUUGGAUCGCUUUUCUUCUUCCUCCAUUCUUGUUCUCAAGCAACUUGUAAUCAAAGAAAGAGACACCAAGUUGUGGUGGUCCUUGUAGGGGUCUGAGUGACCCGGUUUGAUUAAGGAGAAAGCUCACUCGGUCUAGGUGACUGUUUGAGAGAGGGAAAGGGCUGAAAGAGACCCGGUCUUUGUGACCACCUCAACGGGGACUAGGUUUGCACGAACCGAACCUCGGUAAAACAAAUCACUGUGUCCCUCGCCUUAUUUCUUGGUUGAUUAGUUUUUUGCCCUCUCUUUCGGACUCGGUUUUUAAUUCUAACACUAACCCCGACUUGUAGUUGUGCUUUAAGUUUAUAAAUUUCAGAUUUGCCUAUUCACCCCCCCCCCCUCUAGGCAACUUUCACUUGUUCAUGAGAGACAAAUGUAUCUUCAUUUGCAUGCCUCUCAUAUUUUUCAUCAUCUUGUGGUACAUUAGAUGAAGAAGGCAUGUCAACAAUUUGCACCUCUUCUUCAUCUUCUUUUGGUUUGAUGGCUCCAAUAGGCAUGUUCUUCAUGGCUUCCCUAAGUGGCUCAUCACCUACAUCAUCAAGAUUUUCAAGUGCUCCUUGGGAGCCAUUAGUCUCAUCAAACUCCACAUCAUAUGUUUCUUCUACCACGCGAGUGGCAUGAUUGAAUACUCGAUAUGCUUUGGAUUUUGAUGUAUAACCAAGUACAAAACCAAUAUCACAACGUCUUUGAAACUUCCCUAGAGGAUGGCGUUUCUUGCAGAUGUAGUAUUUGCAUCCAAACACCCGAAAGAAAGAGACAUCUAGCUUUUUCCCAUUUAGCAGUUCAUAGGGAGUCUUCUCAAGUAGCCGGUGAGGAAAUAGCAUGUUUGACGCAUAACAUGUAGUGUUGAUAGCUUCGGCCCAAAACCUCUCCAGAGUGUUAUACUCAUCAAUCGUUGUCCUUGCAAGUGUGAUCAAGGUCCUGUUCUUCCUUUCAAAAACUUCAUUUUGUUGAGGUGUAUAUGUUGCUGAAACUUCAUGCUUAAUCCUAAUCUCAUCACAAUAUCCAUGUAUGUUGGUGUUAUCAAAUUCUUUUCUAUUAUCACUUCUAAUCUUCUUGAUCUUGCAAUCAAAUUCAUUUUGAGCUUUCUUAGCAAACUUCUUGAAUAUAGAUGCAACUUCAGAUUUAUCAUGGAGAAAGAACACCCAAGUGUAUCUUGAAAAAUCAUCAACUAUAACCAGACAGUAGAGGUUGCCACCAGCACUAUCAUAAGUUGUUGGUCCAAAUAGAUCCAUGGAAAGUAGUUCGAGUGGCCUUGAUGUUGACAUGAAAGCUUUUGUAGGAUGUGUGUUAGCAACUUGCUUUCCAACUUGACAUGCACUACAAGGCAUGUCCUUCUCAAAUACAACAUCCUUUAGUCCUCUAACCAUGUCCUUCCUUAGUACUUUCUUGAGUGUGCUCAUUCCAACAUGUGGAAGCCUUCUAUGCCAUAGCCAUCCAAGUGAUGCUUUGGUAAAGAGGCAAGUUCUUAAGUUUGCAUCUUCAGAGGUGAAAUCCACUAAGCAGAGAUUGUUGUAUCUAAAUUCUUUGAACACCAUUGAUUCAUCAUCCAUUUUUGAUACAAUAACCUCUGUAGGAGUGAAUAAGCAUUGAAGGCCAAGAUCACAAAGUUGACCCACUGAUAAUAAGUUGAAGCUCAAAGGUGCAACCAAGAGAACAUUUGAAAUUGAUAGAUCAUUUGAAAUUGCCACCUUGCCAAGUCCUUAAACUUUUCCCUUUGAAUUAUCCCCAAAAGUGAUUUUGUCUUGUCCAUCAACAUUCUCAUCAAGUGAGGUGAACAUUCGUGGGUUGCCUGUCAUAUGUUGUGUGCAUCCACUGUCAAUAACCCAAUGGCUCCCACCGGUCUUGUAGUUCACCUACAUCCACAGACAAAUCAAGCUUGAAUUUUGAGGGCCCUAUUUUGCAUAGGGUCAGUGACUUUCUCAAUCAAGGACUUUGCAACCCAAAUUUGUCUAGGUCUACUCUUGCUUGGUGGACCUAGGAAUGUAACUUUGACUUUUCCAUUUGCUACUUUUUUUAGAACAUAAAGGGCAUUGAAAGCAAAUGGUCUUGAGUGCUUUGGCAAGGGAGUUGGUGGUUUGGCUUUGCAGUUGUGGGCAAAAUGACCUUCUUUUCCACACUCAAAGAAUUUGAUAGGCUUAUGAGUCUGCUUUGGCUUGUAUUGAUUUGUAGCUUUCUUUUGCACAAAAGAAUUAUAUCCAAUACCACUCUUAUUGUUUUUCAUGACAGUGUUCAUGAGCAAUUCAUUUUGGAGGUAUUGGCCAUUGUUAAACUUUUGCACACUUGUUGCAAGAUGUUCAUUUUCACUCUUAAGUUUCUUGACCUCGUUUUUAAGCCUUUCAUUAUCCACUGCCAACUCAUUGUUGAAGUCAUUGUUCUCAACGGUAACCUUUCCUCUAGUAGUUGCAUCAGUCAAAUAUCUCUUCAAUUUUUGGUUGUCCAAUGUCAAGACUUCAACUUUUUCAGCCAGUUCAUCAUGAAGACUAGUUUGAUCAUCUUGGCCCAAAUCAUCACAUGAGGUUGCUACAUCAAUCUUAACAAUAGGGUUAAUAGCCUCAUGUGUAUUGCAAGAUAAAAGCUUAUUUGCAACAAGAAGGUUAUCAUGAUCAAUUUUAAUCUUUGUAUAGUCUUCCUUAAUUUUCACAAGUCUUUCUUUCAACUCCCUAUUUGCUUCAUUUAAAUUGUCACACUUAUCCUUAGCAUCUUUUAGGGAGGAUUUAAGCUCACUUACAAUGGAUGACAUAGUUUUGUUUUCUUAUUUCAUCUCAUCACUAGCUUUUACAACUAUGUCAUAUUUGGUAGUUAGAAAUUCAUUUUCAUCUUUCAACUUAUCACAUUUAGCCUUUGACUUUCUAAUGACUUGAGUGUAUUCCUUAAGCAAGUCAGCUAGUUCAUCAUAGGAAGGUGAAGCAAAUUCAUCAUCACUAUCACUAUCACUAUCAUCAAUAAUAUCAUUAUCAUUUUGUACCUUUCGUUCACCUCUAGCCAUGAGGCAUAGGUGAGAAGUCGAUGAAGGUGAUGGUGGUGAUGAAGAGAAGUCCCCAGCAAUGGCGGUAACUUUUUCAUCAUUUUCUUCUUCACUUGAAGAAGACCCGCUAGAUGACUCAAUGUCAGUGAGCCAAUAACCAAGAAUGUAUGUCUUUCCAUUUUUAUUUUUGUGGAACCUUUUCUGCUUCCCAUCCUUUCUCCUAAAGAAUUUCUUUUCCUUUUUCUCUUCAUCACUGUCAUCAUCUUUCUUGCCCUUGAACUUGUUCUUCUUGGGCUUAUUGCACUGAUGAGCAAGAUGACCAAGCUCUCCACAGUUAUAGCAGUCCAUUUCAGAGAUGGGAUUUCUUUUACUAGAGAAGAAUUUCUUCUUUCUUGAGUCAAACUUGAUGCCUUCUCUGUUGAGCUUCUUUAACAUCUUGGUGGUCUUCCUCACCAUCAAGGCAAUGUUAGCAUCAAGAUCAUCAUCACUUGAGGAUUCCUCCUCAAUUUGUACUUUAGCUUUUCCUUUCUUUUCUUGAUUGGCUUUGAGAGCCAAAUCCUUUCUCUUGGAAUAUGACUCUUCCUUGUCAUUGAUGUGCAUGUACAUCUCAUGAGCAUUGAUAUUUCCCAAUAUUCGUGUAGGAGUAGCAACUGAAAGAUUCAUCUGGUGCAGCACUAUACAAUGUGUCUAUAUUUGUUAAUUGGGAGGACACUAAGAAUCUUCCUCACAACAUUCGGUUGUGAAAUUUGUGUAAGCCCCAAGCCAUUUACUUCCUCUACAAGAAUAUUGAGACGUGGGUACAUAGCAUUGGCAUUUUCAUUUGCAAGCAUCUCAAAAGAAUUUAACUUUCUCAUAGCAAUAUGAUAUCUUCCUCACGCUCACUUCUAGUCCCUUCAUGUAGAGCACAUAUAUCCAUCCACAAAUCAUGAGCAUUUCUAUGGUUUCUUACUCUAUCAAAGACAUCUUUGCAAAGGCCUCUAAAAAGAGUGUUUUUGGCCUUAGCAUUCCAUUUCUCAUAGUUAUACUCUUCUCCUACAAGAUUUGUGGGAUCUCUAGGUUCUGGGAACCCUUAUGUGGCGACUUUGUAGACACCAAUGUCUAUACCAUCUAGAUAAGCUUCCAUACGAAUUUUCCAAUAUGGAAAAUCGUCAUCAUCAAAAACGGGAGGAGGUCCAUCCCCACCGGACAUCGUUACUCUAGCGGUUAAGCUAAUCUAAGAGCAACAAGGCUCUGAUACCAAUUGAAAGGAUCAUGAUGCCCAAGAUGGGGGGUGAAUUGGGCUUUUCUAAAAUUCAACAAUAAUUAAACCCUAAGCAAAAGCCCAACUUCACCCCAACAACUAGCAAUAAGAUAAUACUACUAGAAAUACAACAAUGCUAAGGCAAUACUUCAACUACUUGCUAAACAAAUGCAUAAGGUAAAAUACUUGAAUUAAGUGUGAAAUGUAAAGCAAUGUUUAGAAGACUCCUCCAAUUUUUCCCGAGGUAUCGAAGAGUCGGCACUCUCCCCUAGUCCUCGUUGGAGCACCCGCGCAAGGGUAUCACUCCCCCUUGGUCCUCGCAAGAACCAAGUGCUCACUAUGGGAUGAUUCUUUGCCACUCCAGCAUGGUGGAUCCCUCAUGACCGCUUACAAACUUGAGUCGGGUCACCAACAAGAUCUCCAAGGUGAUCAUCGAGCUCCCAACACCACUAAGCCGUCUAGGUGAUGCCGAUCACCAAGAGUAACAAGUCGUAGACUUUCACUUGACCAAGAGAAGCCUAAUGCAUGCAGUGUGUGCUCUAGGUGACUCUCGCUAGCACUAAUGAGGUCCAAAUACGGGAUUAAAAUUUUUCUAAUCACCUCACUAAGCUUUGUGGUGCUUGCAAUGCUUUACCAAUGUGUAGGAGUAAAUGUGCGCAACAAGACAAUCAAUAUGGUGGGUGGAGGGGGUAUAAAUAGCCCUCACCCACCAACUAGCCGUUAGCAGAACCUGGCUACGCAUGGGCGCACCGGACAGUCCGGUGCGCCAACGGUCAUCUCCAACGGCUAGUUCUGACAGCUAGCCGUUGGGCAGAUGGCACACCGGACAGUGAACAGUUACUAUCAGGUGCACACCGGACUGUCCGGUGUGCCGGCUAAAAUUCAAUUUUCCAACUCCGCGCUCUCGGGUUUCUGGAGGGGGAAGGGUCUUCCUCGGGCCAACCUGCCCCCACUGUCAGAGGGCGCACCGGACGGUCCGGUGCCCUUAGGCCAGAAACCCUAAGUUCUAUUUUCUUCUGUUUUUCAGAUCGGUUUUCGUUCUAACUCAUGACUAUGUUCUAGAGUGACACCUAGCACUAUAUGUGAGUGUGAAUAUGCACCAACACUACACUAGAACUCUCUUGGUCAAACUACUCAUCGACAACCUCUCUUUAUAGUACGACUAAAACAAAAUAAAAGACCUAACUCUAUACCGAGUGUCCGCAACUCCUUGACACUCGGAAUACGAAGACCUUCAUCUUUUGUUUCGUCGUUUUAGCUGUCACUUCAAGUUCUUAUCUUAGGGAUUGUUUUCACCGUUGUAGUACAUCUUCCUGUAAUGCGACCUAACUUACCAUUUGUCUCAGCAAAACACACGUUAGUCACAUAUAAUAUUACAUUGUCAUUAAUCACUAAAACCAACUAGGGGCCUAGAUGCUUUCAUGGUGGUAUACGGUGACUCCCUAGUCGUCAUCAGCUAGGUCAACAAAAACUGGGAUUGCUCCAAUGAUUCAAUGGGCAGCUACUGCGCCACGGUUAGGAAAAUUGAAGAUAAAUUCGAAGGACUAGAAUUCCACCACAUAGAGAGGGAUCACAAUGUAGCAGCAGAUACAAUGUCAAAGCUGGGGUCGAGCCGGGUGCAAGUUUCACCCGACAUCUUUCUCCAGGAGAUACAACAGCCAAGCACCACACCAGGACCAGCGGAGGAAUGCAAGGCAGUGGAUUAGGCAGAGCCAGACCCAAAGGACCGGAGGAAACCAAUUAUCAAAUACAUCAAAAAUGAGGAGGAACCAGACGACAAGGCCGCUGUCGAGCGCAUUGCAAGGCAGUCGACUCAUUAUGCUAUCAUAGGAGGAUUGCUAUAUAGGAGAGGGGCAUCCCGAGUCCUUAGGAAAUGCAUUCAUUUAGAUAUGGGAAAGCGUCUAUAGGAAGAAAUCCAUGCAGAACAAUGUGGAAUACAUGCAACAUCAAGAACUUUAGUGGGGAAGGCUUUCAGAGCAGGCUUCUAUUGGCCAACAACAAAGAAAGAUGCAGCUGAUCUAGUCCAAAGAUGCGAAACAUGCUAGUUCUUAUCUAAGCAGCAACACCUACCAGCUCGGCAGUUGCAAACUAUUUCGAUAACCUGACCCUCUGUGUGUUGCAGGUUGGACAUGAUUGGACCUUUCAAGAAGGGUACACCCACGUACUGGUCACCAUCGACAAAUUUACAAAGUGGAUAUAGUACAAGCCGAUUACAAGUCUGACCUCAGCCAAGACAGCAUCUAGAAAAUCAUAUUCAGGUUCGAGAUAUCCAACAGUAUCAUCACAGACCUAUGAUUUAACUUCACCAGCGCAGAGUUCUUCGAUUUUUGUGAGCAGAGAUGCAUUCAAGUCAAAUAUACGUCGGUAGCACACCCAGAGCUAAUGGACAAGUCUUAUUGUAUAUAUGUGUAUAUUGCUUUUUUAUUAUGGCCUGCGAGUUAAACGAGUCAGUUUAAUGUUGCAAAUGAGACAAGCUGAGCUAAUUCUCUUGCUCGAUUCCGAGCCAAUCAUAGCUGGCUUCUCUCCCAUCCUAGUAUCACACAUCUUAUUUAAAUUUCACUUUUUAAAUAUUGUUAUCUAUAUUGUCUAGUGCAAAAUAGAAUUUUUUUUUACAUGGCUAUACACGCUUUUAAGCCAGUCCAGAGGCCUCACCGAGGCGAGGUCCGCUGCCGUUUCUUUUAAGAAAACCAAUCUAUUAGUAUAAACCGUGCAAGCAAGAUGGAUAUUCUUGUGUGUUGUUUUGUACAUAUUCUAGUGUAUUGUUUUGUACAUAACAUGUUCCCUUCUUCCAGUAGAACUCGUGAGGUAUCGGAGUGGAGCUGGAAAAGGUGAGAGCCUGUUGGGAGCAAACAUUUCAACGGGGGAGUCGAAUGAAAUGGUGCUGAAGAUGAGUUGGUAGAUGCAUGAAUACAUACACUUCCCUUCCAGAUUGGUAAGAGUUUAUCCUAAAUAAAUUGAACUUCUCUAACUUUAAUCAAACUUAUAGAAAAUUAAAUAUUGAAUUUUUAAAUAUACGCAUAACCGAGACAAUUUUAUUACAAAAGUUAUUAAACUAAUUUAAUGAUGUAAUUGAUUUUUUAAAAUUUUAUUGAAGUCAGCAAAAUUACACCUCAAGAAAUUGCUAAAUAAAAGUUCAAUAAUUUAAAAUGGAAUAAGUAGAAAGGACACAGUUCCGGUUGCCCACUAACGAUACUUACCGAAAUAUGGCACAUAUCAGGUGAACAGUGACCAAAACUACAAUAACAGAGUUGCUAUUGUCAUAUAGUAUUGUGUCAUCGACAACAAGGUAAAACAUAACAGAAGGCCCAAAUGUUGGGUAAACAAACACGGUUCAACAACCACACAGCAAUACAGCCCAACAUUGUCCAUGAAACUGACUAGGAGCAGCACCUCAGUUCUUGAUCUUCUUCUUGGCCCUCAGCUGCAAGGAGAAAAGCAAGAGACAGCUCGUUAACUUUGUUGGGCUUCAAUGCUUUACAAAUGGCAGGACAAACAAAGAUGCUAGCCUACAUACAUACAGGCGCGAUACUUUCCAAUGCAAUAACACUAACCUGGUUGCUGUGACCACACUUCUUCUUGCGGCAGUUGACAGCCCUAGGGUGCAGUCGUGCAUAGCAUCUGUAGAGAAAGGGUAGAACAUGAGGACAAUGACCUAAAAGAGCUUCCUGAUACCAUAACAUGGAGCGAGAGGGCCUCUAUAUGAGUGGGUUCUGUGGUAUGAGUGGCGCUCAGUAUGUCUAAAUUCAACUGAGCAAAUUUUAAUUUAGGAUUAAAAAAUUUUCGUCGUCUAUCCCACAACAAAGCACAAGUCUAAGACCUGGCCCCAAUCGUUCUCACAUAGCCUACAGUCUGUGUAUGGGUGUAGCAGGGAUUCUAUGGCUUUCUCAAAGGGAAAUUACAUCAUUUUCCCUCCCUUGAAAAAUGGAGUUACCAAACUAGCCCUAACAUGGAAAAUGGCAAGUAAAUUGGCAAAUCGGACAUGAUUAGGCCUGAAGACUCAGCUCAUAAGUUCACUUCAGGCGUCUAACUGAUUAUCACUCGUGUCAUCAUUUUCCUCAGAAAAAAGAACACUUCCACAUAAAGAACAAUAACCAAAACAGGCCCAAGUAAUAAAAUGUACUAAUACACCUAACAGGCCCCCAAAUAAUAAAAUGUACCCAUAAAACACAAUGCUGGGCCGGUGAGAAAAUGCUUGAAUAUACUAGAAACAAAUCGUGUUUCUUUGAGAGAAAAAAACAAGUGGAGUUUCUGCAUGUUUGCUUGAAGGAUCUCUGGCGGUCUCAUGUUAACAAGGCGUAAACGGUGGAAACCUAAAAAUGGAAAACUACAAUAUACCUCAGCUAGUGCAAUCGCAGAAUUAUAUAUCAAAGCUUCUACUAAUGCUGAAGUUAAAUUCUGUUUGCAAAAUUAUCCACUUCCUACUAGCAUUAGUUACCAAAAACAAUUGUGAAUGCCGUUGAUAAAAUUAGAACUUUCUUUUGGCAAGGUGGUGUUAAUAAAAAAAAAUAAGUAUUGUCUGAUCAGAUGGACCAAAAUCUGUAAGAGCUUGAAAAAGGGGAUCUUGGUAUCCAAGACAUCAAGGAUGGGCCGGUUUGCACUGUGAAACAUAGGCAAACUGACUCGCCCAUUUGGCCAGAUGACUCAGAUCUACUGGAGGUCAAAGAUAUAAACUUGCAAAGGAGGAAACUUUCCAUUAAAAUGGACAAAAGCUCUCUUCUGGAACGAUAUCUUUCUUUAUGACAAACCUCUUUAUCAGUUACAUCUUGAACUGCUUAAAGCGUGUAAACAAGAUAUAACUGUAUAAGGGUGUGUUUGUUUGGGAUUAUAAUAUGCCCAGAUUAUAUAACACAACAAAUUUUGAACCAACACUUAAUUCAAAUUUUGUUGGAUUAUAUAAUCUGGGCAGAUUAUAAUCCCAAACAAACACCCGCAAAGUGUAUAUAAUAUGAAAUCUAACCUCAGAUGAUUAAGAUUCACAAGAUGGCUGGUGCAUGAAUGGAGAUUGGGAUGAAAAAUCCUAGCAGAUGUUGCAAAUGUGCCAAUGAGGGUGACGAUGAGAUAGCAUGGAGGUUUGGCUGUUAGGGACACUUCAGUGUCAAAUCUGUUUACGAUGGUCUGAAUUCAAAUGAAACUAGUCCAUUUCAUAAGAAAAUAUUGAAAGGAAAAUUCCAGCUAGAAGAAAAAUCUUUCUCUAGCUAACACUGAAUAAUGCAACUUUGACAAUGCUAAUAUGAUUAGAAGUGGCUUGGUGAUCCUACCUGCUACUUUUGCAUUUGUAACGAAUCUGUUUCUCAUCUUUUGUUCCAGUAUAGUGUAGCUGGGCAAUUAAUGCAAAGUACAAUGGUGCUACAAAUGUACCUAGAUAUUUUGAACAAUGUUGGUUAUGGGUUCAAAAAUGGCUCCCAUCUGGAAAAAAGGUUCCAUGCUGUAGGGAUUGCUGCUAUUUGCUGGACAAUAUGAAAAACAAAUGACAAACUAAGCUUUGAAGACAAAUAUGUGACCCUGCUACUAUUUUUUACAGGGAACAUAAAAAGUGUACCUGCGACACCUUUGGUGCACAUGGUACAGAUAUUAAAUUGCGACAAUUCAUUCUGGAUCCAACACCCUCCCCAACAGUCCUCUCGCUACACUGUAUAUUUUUGCAAAAACACUCUACACCACUUCUACCCUGAUCUGUGAACAAAGGGAGGUUGUGAGAGGACGUUGGAUCUAAAAUGGAUGGUCUUGAUCUUGAUUUAAUAUAUGCACCAAAGUUCUAUGAGCACCUAAUAUGUUCCUUUUUUAUAUGCAUGCGCGUUCAUGGGAAAAGAUCCCAAGGCACUAAUGUGUAAUGAGUGAUGCAUGGGAAGGAUAAAAGGAAAGGGUGGAAUAUACCCAAAGAUUUAGGGUCUGUUUAGUUCGUGUCUAACUGUGCCACACUUUGACUAAGGUUAGUCGUUCGAAUUGAGGGCAUGUUUGGGUCCCUGCCUAACUUGCCACACUUUGCCUAACUUUUCUGCCUAAGGUUAGUUCUUCAAUUUAAACGACUAACAUUAGGCAAAGUGUGGCGUAGUUAGCCACGAACCAAACAGGCCCUGAAUAACUAACAUUAGGCAAAAAAAGUUAGUCAAAGUGUGGCAAGUUAGCUGCACUUAGUCUUGAAUAAGAAUAUAUGGAAAACAGUUAUCCAUGUGGCUGAACCUUGACAGAUGGUUUCUGUUGGGUUUCGGUAUCUGUUGGGUUUCAACUCUAGCCUACCCCGACUUGUUGUGACAAGAUGGCUCUGGUUGAAGGCGUCAAUAAAAUGCUAAAUAUUGUGGUGAGGCUCCUUAGCAAGAAGCGAACAACAGUUGCCGCAGGACAAGGAUGGAUAUAAUCAGAAGAACUGACAAAGUUCUGGGCUGAUGCUGAUUGAUGUUCUUUUAGGCCUUGUUUUGGUACACAUAUUCACCUCAAUCCACAUGGGUUGUAGUGGUUAGUUUAAAACCCACACCAAACCAAUCCAACCCACAUGGAUCGAAGUGGAUACAUGCACAUUUAAAAGCCCUCAGUUGUUUUGCGAUCUGGUGGUUGUCUUGCAAGUUCUAGCAGUUGUACUGUUUUUGGAAAGACUUAUGAUGGUUUAGGGUCUGUUUGGUUGGGCUGUGGCUGUGAAAAAAGUUGUUGUGGGCUGUGAGCUGUGAAAAAAGCUGCUGUAGGUUGUGAGCUGUUAAAAAGCUAAAAACCGUUUGGUGGAAACCACUAAAAGUCGUUAAAAAUUCUUCGAUAUAUGUUUUCACAGUUCCAUCCGAAAAGCCACUAAAAGCAGGUCCAGGGGUGCUUUCAGAUUUGCACUACGAGAAAGCCGGCUUUUAGAAAAAGCUGCUUUCUGGAUCCAGCCCUUUGGUUAGCUUUUGGCUUUUAGGGGGGCAAAAGCCAAAGCCAAAAGUCAAACCAAACACACUCUUAGACCUUCUGUUACGUUACUACUCUCUCUUGUGAUUCUUAGGAUUCAGGCGUCUUGUGGUGGUAAGGAUAGCUAGCUGGUCUCUGACGUUAAUUUCGUAAUUCAAAUGUGGAAUCCUCUCAGUUCGAAAAAAAUAUCUUUCCUACAUUAGUUCCUGCAGAAGUAAAUGCACGUGUGGUUAUCAAUUCCACAUUCGAUGCAAAGUUACCACAAAUAAUCCUCGUCGCUAUAAUUCGAGAUGACGUUUUCGAACAAUAAUAUUAGGGAAAUUUGGAUCCAUAUCAUUAAAAGAUCACCACUUUGGAUCCAUACCAUUACUAUCUCACUUACAUGUGGGUCCACAUGAGUCAAUGACAUGUGGGGUCCAUGGUAUAUAUCUAAAGUUUGGAUCUUUUAAUGGUAUAGAUCCAAUUGUUCCAUAAUAUUAGCAAACUUUCCAUUCGGGGUGACAGAAGUGUUAAAAAGGUGAAGGCGUAGGUGGUGACUUACUUGCGGCAGAUCAUCUUGUCCUGGUUGUACUUGCGAGCGAGCGCCUGCAGCGAGGGCUCAAUGAUGCCACCGCGGAGCCUAAGCACGAGGUGAAGCGUAGACUCCUUUUGGAUGUUAUAGUCCGCAAGGGUGCGGCCAUCCUCCAGCUGCUUCCCGGCAAAGAUCAGCCGCUGCUGGUCCGGCGGGAUCC